UCGAACCAACACCAUUAGAUGAAUCGUGUCUGACAGCACUGUAAUAUCAAAAUUAAGAAUUUUGUAUGGCUGAGAACAAGCCUCUUCAAAAGGAAAGUCUCAUGUAAGAUUAUGAUACAAAGUAUUGGCAGCAGUGCUACAGUUUGAAAAAUGACCCUGUGCUGGCCAUAUAUAGAGAGAUAUAAUAGCUUGAAAAAAUGACCCUGCGCUGGCAGCAUUUAUAAUAAUAAAAUGACCCUGCGUAUAAUAAUAAAAUGACCCUGUGCAGGCAGCAUAUAAUUCAGAAAUUCAACAAGCCCCCAUUUCCCACAUCAACUCGGCUUUUUUGCAGAUAUUUCUUGAAAAAUGAUCCUGCGCUGGAAUUACAUAGAAAGAUAUGGCCGCGCUUCUCAAAGAAAUCUUGUAUUUAGUCCACUCUUUCGAUCUUCAUCGUUGGAGUUCAAGAUUCCUGCAAACAAGACGCAAUGUUGUCAUAUAGCUCUCGUCAGUUCCAAAAUCCCAAGAGUCAGCACAGGGCUGUUGUAUAGCCCCAUCCGCUUAAAAAUUUCAGAAGCAGCGUAGGAAAAUGAUAAAUAUAAGACAACGUCACUCAGGGCAGAUCACCACACGAUCACCACACGAUCAGUGGAUAACUCGUUUUCUCAAACCCACCACAUUUAACACCACAAUAUACAUACACCUAUACCGAUAUGCAGGUAUAAUGCUGGCACUGACUAGAAUAGCAGCAGGAGGUAUCUGGUUCAUCAGGAAUUAAUGUAGUAAAAAAAAUAACUUAGCCUCUCCUUGAAGACCACCGCCUGCGCUGCCCUCUUAAUGCUCUAAUUUCCCUUGAAGACUGCCGCCUGCGCUGCCCUCUUGAUGCUCCAAUUUCCCUUGAAGACCACCACCUGCUCAUCAAGAAGUCAUCCAGGCUCUGAGAAAACCAUAAGUGUGUAACUCUCUGGUUGCAUUAGUUCGGAAAUAACCCAAAUUCAUAGCAAAAUCAGAAUGAAAUCAUCUCGACAUUCGCCAAUACUCCAUUUAGCAUUUUAACAAUGUUCGAAACGUGUUUCACAAAUUCAAAGGCAAUCAAAGGCAUAUGCGAUCUAGUUUUCCCAAAUAAGAAUAACAAUACAAAUGCUACACCAAUACCCACUAAGAUAGCAGCCGAAUAACAUAACCCAAUUUCCCCGAUCAAUUCCAAAGUAGGUUAAAUUUAAAGAGAAAAACAGAGAUAACUUAGCUUCUUCGUGUGGAGAUAUUCAUCCCUGAUUCAAAGUCUUAUUGUAUUUCCCAAAAUCUUGCUCUAAGAGUGUUAGAUAAACUGAUUUCAUCGAAUCAAGAUAACAAAGAUAAGGUACAAGGUAGAACAAUAGCUAAUGAUCGGAUCACACAAUAAUUGACCCAAAAGUUGAAAUCUCAACACCAGGUUCUCACACAGAUUCAAUAGACACCCAACAAUUAUCUCCAAAUUAUUUAAAUGCAAUGCCCAUGCCUUAGCCAAUUAAAGUUAGCACUCAAAUGGUUAAAUCAACACCAACUUUGAUAGUAGUAAAAGAAGCAUGACUGAUUCCAACAAAACAAAAGAAUAGUGAAGCACUUAGCUCUUGUUGGAAGAGGGUUCACUGCCCUGUUUAGUCGAGACUGCUCGCCGGGGAAACGAAGCAGCCAAGCCAGAGAAGGCUUUGAGAAAUUGAGACUGAGCUGAGGCGACACCGCCGAAUCGCGAAUGCCCAAUAGUGGCUUCCCCACAUAUCUUUGAUUUGACUGUGAUUUCUUUCUUUUUGACAUGAUGAAGCCCAACCAAGCAUUUCCAUUCUAGCAAUUACAAGCUAAACGAACAAAAAGAAGAAGAAAUCAGAAUCCCCAAAAUUUCUAUAAGUAAUUGAAAUAAUAGCUGAAUGAAAAGAAGCAGAUAGCGUCGAUUGCUAUCAAUAGACGCGAUUCUCCAGGCUGGCAAGAAGUUGCCGUUUGGUGGCGAUAAACCCAGAUCGGAGCUGUGGCAGCUAGGGGUGAGCAAAAAGAUCCAAAACCGAAUAACCCAACCGAUCCAAACCAAAAUUUUAAAAUAUGGUUCGACUUUUUCGAUUUUUCGGUUCAGUUCGGAUUUUUUUUUUCAUAAAAUUUGGGUUUUUCGGUUCGGUUCGAUUCGAUUCGAUUCGGAUUUUUUAAAACCGAAAACAAAAUGGGCAAAUGGUUUUUAAUACCCACUUUUAUAAUAUAUCUAUCAAAUCUACCCACCUUUAUAAAACAUCUAUGAAAAAUACCCACUUCAUAGUGAAAUACCAUUCCUACCCUUAUACUUAAUCUCUCUUAAUAAUUUUGAUUAAGCUUAAAUGGUAUAUCGGCUGGAAACUUUCCUCGUGCCCGAUAGAUUACUUUGUAAUCUGGGUUUGGACUGUGAGACAACGCCACGUACUUUUAAGCAAAAAAUUGUUUAAAACAGUUAGAUCCCGCGCUUCUCAAAAUGGUAUCAGAGCGGGUUUUUAUAGAGGAAUUAUGUAAUUUUUAAUUUAUUUUAUAAUUAACCUAUGUGGGAGGAGACUCCACUGAAAAUUAUGGAUCCGGACGAGUGUCCGAGAUGUGUACGAUACAGGAAUUCUCUCCAAAAUCUGGAGGAAGAAACCAGUCGCCUAAUAGGCGAUCUCAACGGGAACAAUCGAGUUCUCGUUACCAACUUACGAUGAGGAGGAGAUAUCGAGUUUAUUCGCGAAAUCAUCGCGAGUAUCCAAUUCUACCAUGAGAACCUCAUGAGAUUCGCCGCAACCAGAGCGGCGAUAGAACGAAACAGAGACGAGGCCCAUCAGUCACACGAUUGAUGGAACCAAAAAACAAGGCGGAAGUAGCUUAUCCAGCUACCACAAGAUCGAGCCAGACUCUUCCGAAAUGUCAACCUGCGGGAGAUUCAAAAGACGGUGGAGUAUUACGGCAACAAGCUGUAUGAGCUACCGAUGGAGAUGAGCAAAAUAUCACUAAACAAGAGAAAUACUAACCCUCUUGCGUGAUAUCCAGAAAAAUGGAGGAAUCGAAAGGAAAACCAUGUUCCGGAAAAAUUCGGAAUCAAUGGUCAAAGACCAACGUAUCACCUAUUUGAUGCAGCACCCAAGGAGUUGCAGCCGAAGGACAUAAUCCGAAUCAUGAAAGGCAAAUAUCAUGAAUAGCCUUGACAGAAUCGGAUUAGAAGAUCUACAAGAGUUAGCAGAAUCUUUUGCUAACCUCAAUAUGGUUGAUCUAAAGAUGAACCAAGGAGAUGAGGUCCCAAAACCGAGCCUCAAGAAGGAGAACCGUCAAGAAGGGCGCUCAAGAUAAUGCAGGCCAGUUCCAACGAACCAGACGACGGAGGCCUCAGAUGCAGGAUACUCCUGUAGGAAAGGUCACACUAGAACCAAUCCAUCCAUAUGGAUUGAUUCUCAACCUCGACGAAGCCAGUUUCAAAGAAUGGGAGGGUCUCAUCGACGAAUGGGCUUCAUCAUUAAAAGUCGUAAUUGCCACAAUAGAUUACGACAAAAAAGAAUUUGCCAGAAUCUUCGAAGCAAGCUUGGCAGGCAUGGCAAAACAAUACUGGGAUAAAAUUGAAGUCUCAGCAAGGGAAGAGAUGUUUAGUAGCACGUCAAUUUAUGAAAUCAUUAAGGAGACUACUAAACAAAUUAAAAUCCAUUUCUUGGGAAUGGGUUUUUUCGAAGGAUCCGCAGAGGAGAAGCGCAAGAAAUAUCAACAGGCACUUUACAAUCUAAGAUUGAUGGUGCUAGAGCCAAAAGCUCUCGAUGAAUUUCUGCGCCUGUACACCCUAUAUGUCCAUAUGGGGGUGGUUGAAGAUCAGAAGGCCAUGGACCUCUUUUUCCCAAAGUUUCCAAGUCCAUGGAGGGAGAUGCUCAUCAAUGAGUAUGUAUCACCAGGAGGAUAUCCACUUGAUAGCGCUUCAAGAAGGAUGUCUUAUGUUCACAAGAAGCUGUCCGAAUGGUGCCAGAAGGCGGCGGACCUAAGGAAUCUCAAGAGAUUAAGGAGACUCAACAAGAAAUCCCCAUUGAUGUGCGACAACAUUGAUCUUCCAACAGAGAUUGGUGCUGAGUUGCUGUAUCAAAGGAGGAGCCGAAAGAAACAUAGGUAUCAACCCUAUGAAAGAAAGUCCAGAAGAAGUUCUUGGAAGCCAAGAACUAUGUGGACCAGACAGAAGGCGCGCUCCUACAAGUCAGGCCAACGGAGUGGACCAUCAAGAAACCGAUUCUCAAAUCAAAAGAGAAUCCCGACAAGAAAAACUUUCAGGCGUACUCAAGCCAAAACAAAUGAAAGUUUUAAAGAUUGCAACUGCUGGACAUGCGGUGCUAAGGGGCAUAUUUCAACCAAUUGCCCAGACAACAAGAUAAGGAAAUUCGAAUCCACACCGGAUAUCGAAGAUGCCAUCUACCACCAGGAAUUGAUACCCGUGUAUCAAUUCGAAGAUAUAUCCUCUGAUGAGAGUAUAUAUGAGCAAGAAGAAAUCUUUAGUUCUGAAGAUUCGGAGAUGACCGAUGGAUCAACCGGAGACGAGUCAGACUAAAGAAGAACACGAGGUCCACCACAUCCAGAAGGAGGAUCAGAAGGGAUUCACUAGCCAUUUUCUGAUUCCACAGGAAGAAGUGGUAAAGAAGCUCGUGAAAAAACUCAAGAAGGAAACCCUAGUUCCGGACAUGAAAGUCAAGAUUAAAUGUCCCGAAGGAUGGAGACAGGUUUCCUCAAAAUUUGAUACAACUAACAAGGAGAACAAAUUUCCUUGUAGUUCGUUAUAUUAUUUGGCAAAUCCAGGAGACAACCGAUACAUUGGGAUUCUGGAGGUUGGAGGUUUUGAAAUCCAAACCGAAGGCCAAGCCGGACAAGAAGCAGACGUCCUGAUCUUAGGGCGAGAUUUCCUUGACAAAUAUAACCAUGGUCAUGGAAUCAGGAGGAAUGGGAUCACAUGGGCAAAGAUGUGAUCCAUGACAGCCAUUCUCGAUAUACAUUCUAUUGGGAUGUUAUACGAGAAAUACAAAGCAGAAUAUUUUGCUGCUUAUGUAGAUUCAGGAGCAGGAAUCUGUACAGCAAAACGAGGAGUCUUUCCAGCAGAAGUGGAAGAAGAUCUACCUCGAAUUGCAGGAAGGGAUUUCUCCAAAAAGAUUUUUGCUCUAUCAAAGGGAGUAAAACAGACGGAAAUACUAUGGCGGGCAGGACAGACACCUUGGUACAAGUCAAACUCCACCAUUAUUUCCAUGAUACCGGAGCAGAUAUAUUAUUGGAAAUAAUUUUCUGCAAAGCUUCAAGGUAAUACAGACAAUGAAGCCAGGGGCUAGUGUUCACAACAAUUGUGACACAAAAUCAUUGUGCAAAGGCUCAAUGGAGCUUUCAUGUCAAUGCCAAUCAAAUUCCGCAGCAAGCGUGGUGAUGAUGGCAGACUCCGGCGACCCCAAAUGAAGGAUCAAAGGAGGUUCGGAGAAGUUCUGCUCAAAUGCAGAACUGAGGGAUUCCCAGAUCUCUCUGAGGAAGAAAUUCAAAUCCUCAAAGUUUCCCUGAUAUCGCACCAGGAUAUCAAGGAAGAAGAACAGGUGUCCAUAGCCGACGUCAAAAGGAGAAUCCAGAAGUGUUACCACGAGGAUCCUUUGGCAUGGUGGGACAAGAACCAGCUCAGAGCAACCUUGAAAGUUAAAACUGGAAAGGAGUAUGAGUUCGUAAGGUUCAAACCUAUCCUGAUGAAUCCUCAAGAUCAACAGGAUAUGAUGAGUAUAAUCAAGGAACACCUUGAUUUAAAGCUGAUCGAAGGAGGAAGAUCACCCUACAGCAGUCCGGGAUUUCUGGUGAGAAAUCAUGGGGAGAUCAAGCGAGGAAAACCAAGAUUGGUCAUUAAUUACAAAGGAAUUAAUGAUAUUCUUGAGUUUGACGGAUACUUCAUCCCAAGCAGAGAACACCUUAUCAACUGCAUCAGAGGAGCAAAGGUAUUCUCAAAGUUUGAUUGCAAAUCCGGAUUUUACCAGAUUCGCAUGGAGGAAGGGAGUAAGAAGUUUACAGCCUUCUCAACUCCACAAGGACAUUACGUCUGGAAUGUCAUGCCGAUGGGGUUAGCCAACGCGCCUCAGAUAUUCCAAAGAAAGAUGGAUAAUCUCUUCAAAGAUUAUUCUUCGUUUAUGUUUGUUUACAUUGAUGACAUUCUUAUUGCAUCAAAAAACAUUCAUGAACAUGUCAGGCAUCUGGAUAUCUUUGCGGAUGUUUGCCAACAAGAAGGACUAGUACUGUCAGAGAAGAAGGCAGUCAUAGCCACCCAGAAGAUGGAGUUCCUGGGAAUAGAGAUCGAUGAAUCUGGAAUUAUUCUACAAGAACAUAUUGUGGAAAAGGUUCAGAAUUUCUCAGAGGAUCUCAAAGAAAAGAAGCAGCUCCAAAGCUUUCUCGGAGUUGUUAACUUUGCAGGAAUGUUUAUCAAAAAUCUUGCAGAGUACCGGAAAGUCUUCAGUCCGUUACUGAAGAAAGAUGUUCCAUUCAUAUGGAAAGAGGAGCAUCGGGAGGGUAUGAAAAAGUUAAAAGAGAUUUGUAAAAAUCUCCCAAAACUUUCAAUACCACAAGACGAGGAUGACUUGGUCCUCUACACCGACGCGAGUGAUUUCUGGUGGGCAGCUGUGCUUACAAAGAUCACCCCCUAUGGAGAAGAACCUUGCAGAUACUGUAGCGGUCUUUUCUCCGACGACGAAGCUGUGCGAUGGCACAUCAACGAAAAGGAAUUCUUUGCAGUGCGAAAGGCGUUUAAAAAAUGGCCGCUUUUCUUACUUGCUAAGAAAUUUGUUUUGAAAGUAGAUAACACUAACGUUAAAGCUUUCUUAACAAAAAAGAUUGAAUCUAAGCCUGAAAAAUCUAGAUUGCUUAGAUGGCAAGCCGAAUGUCAAUAUUAUGAUUAUGAUAUUGUCGUUUUGAAAUCUGAUCAGAAUGUUCUUGCAGAUUUCCUUACAAGGGAUGGAGCUCCCUGAAGCGGAGGCCAUCGAGGCAAUACAGGGGCAGCUCUUUGAAAGCCUAGAGCUGCUACAACAAGAAUGGCAGAAGUGUGUACUACACACUAAACAAGCAGGAAAGAUACAAGCGGCUGACGAAGCCAAAGUAUCUAGCCAAAUUGAUGUCUGUUUCAUGAAGAUGUUCAAUCUUCAGGAAGCAACUGAAAAGCCGCUCUUGCGCGCUGUCCGUGAAAAUCGGGCUAAAGCAAUGCUUUCCGUACAGGGCGGAUUACCUGUAGCAGGGGAUUCAAGUACCCCUAGCCCAAGUCCUGAGAGAAUGGCUUCACAGCCGGACGCUCGAGGAAAAGAUGUUGUUAAGGGGUCACUCCCUGAAUCAACAUGUCAACCCUCCACCUCUGGGGUAAAAGAGGGAGAGAUCAGCCUUAGGCCCAUGACAGGCCAAGUUAAGGUUGAUACUAAUUUUAUUAUUUCUUCUCCUUCUUGGCAGAUUUAUCAAGACAGGUGGGAGAAACUUCUUACGAGAAAGGGCAUUAAUCCGGGAAAUUGCCGGGUUGAUGUUGCAGGAAAAUAUCCAAGGGUUUGGUUCACGCCAGGAGCCAAUCCAAACGAUGUUAAAGAAUGGUAUGAAUUUGGGGCAUUAGCUUCAGUUUAUACCACUUCUCCAGCAUUCACCGAAAUCAAGGGUCUACCCAAAUGGAUCCAGAAAACGGUGUUCGACGCAUGGGAGAACAACGAGUCCCUCAAAAGGGGAGACGUUCUGGAAUUGUACUUCUUCAGUGCAGCUCCAGAGCCAGUUGGCAAAGGAGUCUACGAAGCCUUCCAUUUCAUCAAGCUUCGGAGACCAGAUACAGGAGCCUUGAACCGGAUCAAAGUUCCUGAGUUUAAUGCCGCAAUCGUCUCAACAUUUACGGAGGAUCAAAUCUCCACGAGGCGAGCAUGGGGUCUAUGGGUCUGUCUUACAGAGAUGGACAAAAUGAAGUCCAGAUUUAAGUUCUUUCAAAGCUCAGAUCUGGGAACGUUCCUGGUUAACACAAUGACAGGAACAACAACUCAGUUUGCUGAAAAUUCUUUCGAGAAUAAGAGGGAAACUAUUUGGGGAAACAAGAUCGCGGGGAGCAAAGAGACUCGUCGCAAAUUAUGCAAUAUGGCUCAUGUGAGCCAUUGGAUCGAGAGAAUCUGCGACCAAUGUUCGUCGCAGAAGGAGCCAGAAUUCGGCAAAGGUUUCCUCCCGAAACCGGACAGAAGAAGGUUCCGGUCUGAUGAACAUGACGAGCGUCAGACACCAAAGGGAAGAACACCUCGGGCACCAAAAAAGUAAGGUGGCCGACAAAACUUGGUGAAUCAUGUGAUUCACAGCAAGGAUCGCACCCACAAAAGAAACGACAAAAGUGGGUGAAAGAACAGGAGGACCACUCACCAAAAGCUUCAGGACAAAAGUGAGUGGAAGGAAAAGUAGCCGGCCCCUACCAGCAUUAUCACAAGACGAUAAGGCGAGGGUCCAGCACCAUGUGAUGCCAUUAACAAGUGUCGGCAAUCAAGGCCGACAAAAGAAGGUGGAUGUCAUAUUCAAGCAAGCUGGCCACGAAGAAGGAAUCUGAGGCCAACAACCAAGCAAUAAUAGAGGGGUUCAGACCUCUAUAUAAACACAAGUGCUGGAGAGAAGAGAUCAUCGAAAAAUUCACAACAUUUUCACACACCACUUCCUCUCUCUAGAAUUAUCUUUGUAAUUUUAAUUUUGUUUUCAAAGUUUUUCGUAUUUAGUUUUAGUUCCUUUCUAUUUUUAUGUACACAAGUAUUGGCUACUAUGAGUAGCUAAAACAAGUUAGUCUCCUCCAUUGGGGAGUAUUUUAUGAAAUAAAAUUAAAUUUUAUAUAAUUCCUCUAUAAACACUUAGUUUUUGUCCAACUAUUCCGGUUUAGUAUAAAUAUUUUCUUUUCAUUUUUCAACAAAAAUAUUUGGAGUCGACACACAGCGAAGGAGGGAAACUGAUUCCUGAAGGUGACCAUUCGGCGGAAGCCGGAACACAGUGAAGGAAGAAGGUUGCAACCAUCACUUGCGAGUGUGUGGUUGGACGAAGGCCGAGGUGGCAAGAAGUCCGUAAAACGCGAUAAAAACUCCGGAAGGUGACCAGUCGACAAGAGGUAUGCUGUUGAUUUAUGAUUUGAAUUAUUUAGAAGUUGUACGGAAGCAUGUUGGGCCUGAUUAUAUCUUAAUUGAAUUUCGAUAAUUUGAACAUAAAAUGGUUUAAUGAUGGAUUUGUUGAGGAUUGGUUGAAGGGUAGUUUGGGUAUUAAUAAUGAGUUGGAUAUGGUUGAUAUGUGUUUUGUGAAAGUGGGUAUUUUUGAUAGAUAAGUUAUGAAGGUGGGUAUUUUAAAUUUUGACCCUAUAUAUAAAGGGGCUGUGAUGAUUGUUAUUGAUUCGUCUGAGCUCGUGGCUCGAGCAAUGAGGUAUAACGGCCUGUAUCUUGGCGGGGCGACCCGGAUGGCAUAAUCUGCAACCGGUGUUCUUCGCAGCCAUGGCGGGGUUCGUAUCUCCUUGCUUGACCCAGUGCCCUAGAUCUGAGCCUCCAUUCCGUUUCUAUUCCUUAUUAUUCCCAUUAUUAUUGAAUUCUUUUUGCCCCUUUAAUUUAGAAGAAAGUAACUCAGAUUUGCAGAAUUGCUAAACAAAUUUAUCUUUUCCAUCGAUAAUUUUUAUUAUUAUUUAUUAUUACGUAAUCUAUUAUAGAAAACCAAACGAGAUAGUUUUAUAAACCUUUAAUCCAAAUACAAAUGCUCAUUUUUAUUGUGUUACUAGAAAAAUGAUUAUGUUGAUUUCAGAUUUUAAAAGUAAAUUUAUCGGCUAAAAAUAAAUUAAAUGUGCAGAACUCGGAAAAAAAAAUUAUAACAUCCACCAGCAGAACUCGGUAAUAAAUCAAACGUGGUUUCUUAAGGAAAAUCCUAAAUUAAUUAACACACUUUCUCUAGAAAAUUGAGAGAAUAGAUGAAGUUUCUUGAAAUAACUAAAACCAACAUCAACAAAAAUACGAAAAGGAGCAAUCUCUAACAAUAGCAAGGGGCCAAGGGCACAGUUGAUAUUUUCUGGAAACUAUUUGAUCAAUGAUGAGUUUAAAUUUUGAAACUCAAAACUGGUCUCAAGUGCGAAGCAGGGGACCAGAUCCCAUGUUGUCUCCUCCAUGGAGGCCUCUCACUAUCAGCCUGGUCCUCAUCAUCGUCAAAGGCUCUCACUAUCAGCCUGGUCCUCAUCAUCGUCCAACAUGGUUGCUCCUGAACCUUCUCCUGGUGCUACACCUGCUGACAAUAUGCCCAAAACAUGAAUACAAAAGUUCUGAUCUGAUCCAUGACGGUGCACAAGGUAACAAUUACCAGCUAGAAUUCAGGAAUUUUAAUAAUAAUUAUAAGCAUCGACAUACCUUCAAAAGCUAACAAACAAACUAGAAUAGACCUAGAACCGCCAGUUGGGGAAAAGAUCUUGAAACUCUUUGUGAGGGUGGCAAAUUCAUCGUCACUACCCUCGAAAUUGGGAUGAAAUCUCACCACAUCCAACGUCCAGUAUGCAUUAAAUGCAAUAUCAAAUCCCACUUAUACAAUAAAUCCAUCUUCCUCUCCAUCUUCUUGGGUAACUAAUUCCAUGUAACAAUUAUUAAGCUCUGGGCAAGCCAAGUAAGAAGAUAGAGGGAAUUUGACAAGCUCACGAUUGUUUAUUGAAUAUCCAAUCGGACUCAAAAUCUUGUUCUCCUUAACAUAAGAGUUAAGAAGAGGGGGAUAAAAUCGCUGACCCUUGUAUUCUUCCCAAGAAGACUCUGCGUAAUUGGCGACGUUCAAAAGAAAACACAUUCCUCCAAUAUCAGAUUGAACAACAAAAGUCGUAUUUUCAUUAAUAAAAAAAAUGAUAAGAUAGUGAAAUAUGACAUGUUACAGCAACUAAUAAACUCGUUGCUGCUGUUCUCCCACUUGCAAGGGCAAGUAGACCGGAUCCACUCAGGAGAAAGAUGAAUGUAUGUGUCACCAUGUACCAAAUAGAAAGAACAUGCUUCUUGCGGUCGCCAGACACGUCGAAUACAUAGUGAAGGAAGUGAGAUGGAAGAAGAGGAUGAUGGCAUGUACAACUCAAAAUUAACAAUACUAGAAUGGAAUUUCCGCUCCAACAUUGGGUUGUUCACAUAUGGAAUUAUUUUAGAAAAACUAAAAUAUUUUCGUCAAGUCGAAUUGCCGAUGGCUCCACCUUAACACUAUUUAUCUUACCCACUGAAGUCAUUUUUUCUUUGUGAAGCAAUGAGUUUGAGUUGAUCAUUGAAGGCUCAAAACGAUAAACUCUUCGCAUAUGAGCAAUUUUAAACAUAUGCCUUGCCACUACCUCCACUUCCCCAACAUCGUGGCUGUCGUACAUCCCAUUAAAGCUCAAGUCGUCCAACUCCGUUCUCGUAAUAACUUCAAAUAUCAAAAUAUCUGUGUUAGUUUCAGCACAAAAACAAGGAAAAUUGAAUCCUUGCAUCAGUUCUCGUAAUACCUUCAAAUAUCAAAAUAUCUUUGUGAUGAGGACUGAAAUAUGCACCAGCGCUGUGCUAAACAUAACGGGAAUAUUUCUAAUUAUUAUUGUUAUUGUGGUUAUUUCUGAUAUUUGGUACAGGAUUGCCCUGACUCUCAGCUUGGCUCAGCUCGGCUCCGCUUUUCAGCUCUGAUGGCUCAAUUGCAAGAUGUAGAUUAGAAUAACGAGGCUUGGGCUUGAUUCAUUGGGCUAAUGGGCUUUAGGGGUCUAAUGGGCCCAAGGGCCUUAAGUUUAUGUUCAUGCUUAUAAAUAGAGGCUGGAUGCAUAGAUUAAGGGGAUAGUCAUUUUUUCUAGCCAUAACUUGUAAAGUGUAAAAUACUCUCUCGAUUAUAGUGGAAAACCCCAAAACCCCCGUGGACGUAGGUCUUCUCGACCGAACCACGUAAAUCCGGUGUCGUUUACUGCUUUCUAGUUUAGGUGUUGGUUUCUCGUUUCACCACUUUGUUAGUUCCAGCACAAAAACAAGGAAAAUUGAAUCCUUGCAUCAGUUUAUCGGGCAUUUUCACCACAAAUUUAUGGCUACUACUACGUGGAUUAUCUAAAUUGAUAAUCUCAUGCUUCAUAUCCCCACCAUCCUCACUUAAAAUCUAAAUCUAAGACAUAAAUAGCCUUCUCAUACUUAUCCCCAAAAUAAAAAACCACACACAAGUUCCUCAUAUUUCUUGCGAAAAAGAAAAGACGGUGAGAUAGAGGUGGGAGGAGAAGAACUCGACGGAAGCGGACAAGAGUGAGAUAGUUGCGAAAAGAAAAGAGGGAGAGAGAGAGAGAGAGAGAGAGGAGGGAUAGAGAGGGAGAGGUAUAAACUGAGUAGUUGCCAAGCAAUAAAAGAAAGAAACAGAGAGAAAUUGUGAAUGUUUCGAUGAGAGAAAAAGUUGUUCACAUUAACUACAAUCUACAGUAAAUCUGGCGUGAAUUGAAACAAAGGGUUGGCAAGUGUUAGCCCCUUGAGCGUUAGCGCCGAGACGUGUCGAGAAAUUGGCACGCCUCGGCAUGAUGGUGUCGGGUUGUCCCCGUCCUAGGAAACUCGGCUGGUUCGGAAUGUGGGCAAGGGUUGUCGGGCACGUAUGCCGCCGAGUGGGCGCGCCGGGUGAUGCCGGACGCCGCACAUCGGGCGUACGGGGCACUGAGACCAAGUGUCGGGCGAGCAUCAGACGAGCGCUAUGCCAAGGGCACGCACGCUGCCGAGCGAGUGCGCCGGGUGAUGCCAGGCAUUGCGCAUCGGGCGUGCGGGGCGCCGAGACACGGGCGCCCGCCGAGACGGUUAGCAAGCGNNNNNNNNNNNNNNNNNNNNNNNNNNNNNNNNNNNNNNNNNNNNNNNNNNNNNNNNNNNNNNNNNNNNNNNNNNNNNNNNNNNNNNNNNNNNNNNNNNNNNNNNNNNNNNNNNNNNNNNNNNNNNNNNNNNNNNNNNNNNNNNNNNNNNNNNNNNNNNNNNNNNNNNNNNNNNNNNNNNNNNNNNNNNNNNNNNNNNNNNNNNNNNNNNNNNNNNNNNNNNNNNNNNNNNNNNNNNNNNNNNNNNNNNNNNNNNNNNNNNNNNNNNNNNNNNNNNNNNNNNNNNNNNNNNNNNNNNNNNNNNNNNNNNNNNNNNNNNNNNNNNNNNNNNNNNNNNNNNNACAAAAAAGAAAGUUUAUGUUCACAAGAACACCAAGAGGAGAAGGGAACAUUGACAUCCACAAAUUGGUAAAUCUUGUUCCAACUCCAGAUUCUACCCUUAAACUCCAAAACAAGCUUCUUAGCAUCCCACACCCUACCCUCAAACCUGCUCUCGUUUAUAUAUUUCCAAAUCAGCCACACAAUCCCAACCCAAAGAGCAAGAAGCAGUUUUCUCCCUUUCUUCCUUCUAGCACCAAAGACAAAGGAUUUAAAGUGUUGAAUAAUACCUUUAGGCUUUGCUGUUUUAAUGUCCAGCCAUUGAAAAAUUUCAUCCCAGACCAUCUCAACUUUGGGACAAUGCAAAAAGAUAUGUUCCGCCGUUUCUUCUUGCAUCACACAUGAAUUACACCAUCUCUCUUCAAAACCAAUUGCAACAUUUCUCCUAAGCAAAUUAUCACAUGUAGGCAAUCUGUUAAGCAAGACUCUCCAUGCUGUCAUAGCUGCGUUGUUGUGGCCGAGAUGGUUCAAAAUCGUGAGUUCAUUGCUCUUGAGGAGCGGGUGAAUCGGUUGGAAAGCUUGUUGGGGACGCCUCCUGAAACUUCCGCACGGGUUGAUGUCUUUGAACGGAUGCGAGAAGCGGAGAUCGUGCUUGACACUAUUCAAACAUCGGUUGUGGAUGUACGGAAGUCUAUGGAGGAUCUGCCCGGAUUUGUGGAAAGCCGAGUUGUCUCUUGCGAGGAAGAUGUGAACAAUCAAGUGGAGGAGUUGUCCAUGAAAGUGGAACACCUCCUUGAUGAGAUGCACGUGAUGAAGCAAGCGAUGCGUUCUACAUCAAAGGUCCGGAUCCCUGACCCAAAAUCGUUCGAGGGAACUCGAAGUUCUAAGGAGUUGGAGAACUUCUUGUGGGAUAUGGAGUUGUAUUUCAAAGCCGCUCACGUUGCUGACGAAGCAAAAGUCUCAAUCACCACCAUGUACCUGUCGGCUGAUGCAAAAUUAUGGUGGCAGUCAAGGCAAUCCGGGGAGAACAAUGCCCGAAACUGGAUUGAGACGUGGGAAGAUCUUAAAAGGGAAUUGAAAGAGCAAUUCCUCCCUUGCAAUACAUCAUGGCUCGCAAGGGAUGCCUUGAGGAAACUCAAGCACAGUGGCACCGUUCGUGACUAUGUGAAGGAAUUCAGUUCCUUAAUGCUUGAUGUCCGUGAAAUGUCCGAGGAAGACAAGUUGUUCAACUUCCUUGUCGGGUUACAAACUUGGGCUCAAACUGAAUUGAGGCGCCAAGGUGUGAAGGACUUGCAAUCCGCCAUUGCUGCUGCCGAUAGUUUGGUGGACUAUAAGACCGUGGGAUCUACCGAGUUCGGAUCGAAAAAGAAGGAUGUCGGCAAAAGCAUAGGCAAGGAAAGGAAGGGCAAGUUCGAUUGGAAAAGUAAGAAGAAGUCCGGUGAGGCAAGUGGUGCUGCGAGAGACUCUAGCCAACAAGCGGGUGGCGAGAAGCGGUGUGGUUGCUUCAUUUGCAACGGAGACCACCGGAUGUGUGAUUGUCCAAAGAAGGGGAAGUUGAACGCCCUUGUUGCUCAGUCGGAAAAAGAGAAUGAGUCCGGAGGCCCUCGGAUGAACCCAUUGCAAUUGCUAUCCGCAAGUCAAGGGGAUGGUAAGUCGGAUUAUGGUUUGUUAUACAUCAAGUGUGUUGUGAAUGGCCGGAAGGUGAUGGCCAUGGUGAACUGCGGACCCACCCACAAUUUUAUUGCUGACAAGCUUGUGAGUAAGUUUGAUAUGCAGUUGGUGCCGUACGCUAGCCGAAUCAAAGCUGUUAAUUCGGAGGCGAAGCUGAUUCAAGGCGUGGGAAAGGUUGAUCUACAGAUCGACCAAUGGAAGGGCUCGUGCUCGUUGAUGGCGGUUCCUUUGGAUGAUUUCGAAAUUAUCCUUGGGAUGGAAUUCUUAAAGAUGGCUAAGGUUGCUGUGAUGCCCCACGUGGGCGGGAUUAUGAUCCUUGACGAACACUGUCCAACGUUCGUGAAAGGAGAGUUCUUGGCCGAGAGGAAGUCCGUUGGUUUGAUUUCAGCCCUUCAAUUAAAGAAAUGUUUGAAGCAGGGUGUGCCUACUUAUCUUGCUGCGUUGGUUGAGAUCAAACCCGGUGUAUCCCACGAAGUCCCUGACGCUGUGGCGAACUUGUUGGAAGAGUUCAAAGAUGUGAUGCCCCCCGAACUACGUAAGGAGUUGCUGCCGAGGCAAGCAACGGAUCACCGGAUCGAGUUGGAACCGGGUGCGAGACCACCUGCACAAGCCCCUUAUCGAAUGCCACCUUCGGAGUUGGCGGAGUUGAGGAAGCAGUUGGAUGAAUUGUUGCUUGCGGGUCUCGUGCAGCCUUCCAAGGCCCCCUACGGGUCGCCGGUGUUAUUUCAAAGGAAGCAAGAUGGUGAUAAACAUGCAUUUUUACCUCUUGGUGUGUCAUUUUUUAUGCUUAGUUGUGAGGAUUUUGUGUGUUUGAUGGUCUAUUUGAGCUUAUAUUCGUUUAUGGUCAAGAACUUGUUACUUGCUUGUGUUUGAACGAAUUUUCAGAAAUAAUGAAGCAGAACGGAUCAUGUUUGGACGAGAGAGAACGAACCAAAACAAAAUUGUUUGUAGUUCGUCUCGAGAGGAGUUCGUGAGCGCAAACGGAUCAUAAAUCGGAGUUCGGACGAGAGAGAACGAACCAAAACAAAAUUGCUGCGCAAAGCUGUCAGGAGUUCUGUUUCGUCACGCGGGCCAGCCAUGCGGCCGCGCGACGUGGCCGCGCGAGUCGCCGUAUUUCCGCCCAAAAUUCGUUUUUNUUUGCGAUUUUGGGUAUUUUUGAGAGCUACAAGACCUAGGGCAUAUAAAUACUCCCCAAGAACUUAUUCUCUAAAGACCUUUUAUCACCUUUCAUCAUAUUUUACUUUUCCUGAGAGCUGAGAGAGACGGAGAACAGAGCAAGAACAAGAUUGAAGAUUCUCGAUUUCAAUACGGUUUUUCAUUGUUAAAUGUUUAUUUGUUUUAUUGAGAAUUAUAUUCUAGUUCAUAUGUCUAUGUGUGGCUAGAAUCCCUUUUUCCCAGGGUUUAGGGAGUAGACAUGGUUUGAUUUCUUGACUGUUUGAUUCAAUUAAUUGAGAUUGUUAUUCCUUUUUAUGUUCUUGUUAUAAUUAUUUGCUUUAUUGAUUGGCCACCAAUUUAGCAUAAUCAUAGGUUUUAAUUUGAUAUUAGGAGAUGAUAAUUAUUACCUGAACUAAGAACAUAGAACACUUAUAUUUAAUUCUAAAGGGAAUUGAUAUUUGUGAGGGCGUUAAUCCUAUGAGCUUUUAGGAGUUGCAUGUUAGAAGUGCGAUCCGGGGACGGUAGCCUUGCAUGUAAUCAACGGUUUGUAUGCCACGGGAGUGGGUAUAGACUAGUUUUGAGAUUGCCUUAGGAAUCAUCUUAUUAAUUGAAUUGAACAUGUUAAUUAGGAGAAUCUGUUGAAACCUUUACCUUGGGAAUUCUUCUCUUAUCUGUUUCUUUGUUUCCCAGCUUGAUUUAUUUGUUUCCUGUUUAUUUAUUUAGUUUUAAAAUCAAAACUCUUAAUUUCGUUUGUCCAGAUAGAGUAGAAUAAUUUAGGAUAGGAAUUGGUUCUAAUCAGUCUCUGUGGAAUACGACCUUGCUUGCUACUGUACACAAUUGCACCCGUACACUUGCGGCGUGUUAAAUAAAAUAGCGAACAGAUGGGUCUUUGAGAUUCUGCAUCGACUAUAGGGCUUUGAAUAAGGUUACUAUAAAAAACAAGUAUCCUAUUCCGAAUGCCCUAGAUCUCUUUGACAAGCUGUCGAGGGCGAGUUUAUACACCAAGAUCGACCUACGGUCCGGAUAUUGGCAAGUCAGAAUUGCUCCAGGGGACGAGGCAAAGACCACAUGCGUGACAAGGUAUGGGUCAUUCGAGUUCUUAGUGAUGCCCUUCGGCUUAACUAAUGGCCCUGCGACGUUUUGCAAUUUGAUGAAUGAUGUGCUAUAUGAGUAUUUGGAUCGGUUUGUGGUGGUGUAUCUUGAUGACAUUGUUAUUUAUUCGGAAUCAUUGAAUGAGCAUGUUAUGCAUAUGCGGGCUGUAUUCUUGAAAUUGCGUGAGAAUAUUUGGGGGAAUUCGACUUUGAUUGGGUGCACCGUCCCGGGAAGCAUAAUGAUGUUGCGGAUGCUUUGAGCCGAAAAGUGGUGGGCGAGUUCGUGGCUGCACUGACUCUUGUGGAGUUCGAUUUUCUUGGCAAGAUUCGAGAAUCUUCCAAGGCUGACCCCCUCUAUCAAAAGCUUGUUUUGCAGGUUAAGGAAGGGGAAAUGCGAAAAUAUUGGCUGGAUGAUGAUAUCUUAUUUGCUCGUGGCAGUCGGGCGUAUGUGCCCGCGGGUGCGUUGAGACGGGAACUUUUGAGGGAGACACAUGAUCCUCAUUGGGCAGGCCAUCCCGGUGUUGAGCGCAUGUAUGCCUUGCUUUCCCGACAGUAUUAUUGGCCAAAGAUGGAGGACGACGUUGAGGCGUACGUCAAGACUUGUCUUGUGUGUCAGCAAGACAAGCUCGAAAGAAAGAAAGAGGCCGAAUUGUUACAGCCGUUGCCCAUUCCGGAGAGACCGUUCCAAUCAAUAUCGAUGGAUUUCAUUUCGGGCUUCCCGAAAGUCGAUGGAAUGGCCUCAAUCUUUGUGGUGGUGGAUAGGUUUUCAAAGUAUGGGAUCUUCAUUGCUUGUCCAAAUGCUUGCCCCGCCGAUGUUGCUGCUGACUUAUUUGUGAAGAAUGUGGUGAAAUAUUUUGGUAUCCCGGAGGAUAUUAUCAGUGACCGGGAUACUCGGUUCACAGGGCGGUUCUGGACCAAUCUAUUUAACAUGUUGGGGACUGAUCUGAAGUUCUCACGCUAAUCAUCCUCAGACCGACGGGCAAACGGAGAGGAUGAAUCAAUUGUUGGAGGAGUAUUUGAGGCACUACGUGUCAGCAAGUCAGAGGGAUUGGGUUGGUUUGUUGGACGUGGCUCAGUUCAGUUAUAACCUACACCGAUCGUCGGCCACGGGGAAAGUCCCUUUGAGAUAGUUAUGGGCAGCAGCCUUUAGCACCACACGAAUCGCGUCAGAGGAGUGGUGGAGAUUGUCCCGCCUACCGAUUUGCUCGGAGAACAGAGUUGUUGGAUGAGGCACGAGAUAGCCUCGCAAGGCACAGCGCCGAUGAAGAAUAUGCGAUAAGCACGCGUGAUGUGGAAUUUGAGUGGGGAUCAAGUAUUGCUGAAUUGACGCCCCAAAUUUGGAAGAAAAUCUCUUCCAAGUCCGUGCAUAGAGGGUUGAUACCGAAGUAUGACGGGCCAUUCAAAGUCAUGAAGAGGGUUGGGCGAGUGCGUAUCGGUUGGUGUUACCGGACAGGCUAAAGAUACACCCAACAUUUCAUGUAUCGUUCUUGAAGAAGUUCAGUGCGGAUUUGCUGGAUUCUUCAAGGAAGCAGGCGCGACGCGCGCCACCCGUGAUUAGGCAACAGUAUUCCAAGUCUGUGGAGAGAAUCCUUGAUCACCGUACCAUGGGGCAGAGCAAGAAAAAUCGACGGACAGAUUACUUGGUGCAAUGAGGCGGAGAAUCAGAGGCUGAUGCAACUUGGGAAAAGGCUGUUGGCUUGUGGCAAUUCGAGAAGCAAAUUGCCGAAUAUUAGGAGAAAGCAGAUGGAGGAACACCACCAACGACGAGGGCGUCGUCGAGCUCUGGUGGGGGUGGUUUGUUAGCCCCUUGAGCGUUGGCGCCGAGACGUGUCGAGAAAUUGGCACGCCUCGGCAUGAUGGUGUCGGGUUGCCCCCGUCCUAGGCAACUCGGCUGGUUCGGAAUGAGGGCAAGGGUCGUCGGGCACGUACGUCGCCGAGUGGGCGCGCCAGGUGAUGCCGGGCGCCGCACAUCGGGCGUGCGGGGCGCCGAGACCAAAUGUCGGGCGAGCAUGGGGUGAGCGCCGUGUCGAGGGCACGCACGCUGCCGAGCGAGUGCACCGGGUGAUGCCGGGCAUUGCGCGUCGGGCGAUGGGCGACGGGAGACGUGCGCACGUGCGCCGAGCGAUGGGCGUGCGGGCCGCGCGCGCGGACUCCCGCCACGACGAGGAAUUGGCGCCCAGUCCACCCGACAGCCACGCGGGCGACAGUUGGCUAUGCGGGCCAACAAGGCAAAGCACGUAAGUUGGCAUCCGGGCGGUUGGGCACAAGUUCGUUGGCAAGGCUAGAGUUAGUGGGCGGUUCUUGACGGCCAUAACCGCCCACGAUGUGGGAAGCCCCUGAUUGGCUAGACGGUUGACCCGACGGUUAUCCUAGUGAUGGGGGAUUGUCCAUCACAUAGAUAGGGCAUUUUUGGACGGAUCUGACUAGAGAGAGAGAUUCGUGUGUGCAAGCCUAUUGUUUCCUUUGUACGAAUUGUGAGUAAUGCAAAGGUUGGGAGUGAGUUGUCCCGUAUGUUGAUGCGUGCUUUACGUUUAUGUCCGUUGUGCAUGUUCUUGAUUGUUGCUUGCGCGAGUACACGAAUAUUCACCCAAAUCUAAACACGAGUGUUGGUGAGGGAGUGUUGGCUGGUCGAUUGUGAGUGAUCGGCGCCGCACAAGGCGAAAAAUUCUAGUCCGAAAGAAAACCUUGUGACACCAUGUCACUGACUCGUACAUGGCACUCUGCUUGCAUUGCUUCCAUUGAUUCUCGCAUCUUGUAACACCCCGUAUUUUUAUCCUAUGAUUGAUAGGAUCGAGACACUAUUAUCAGUACUGAGUUUUUAGCAGCUCUGGCAACCAAGCAGUCUCUGCGCUGACCCAGAGCUGAAGCUGCUCUGCCCUUUGAGCUGAAUCUGCUCUGGCAUUCGAGCUGUCUCUGCUCUGGUACCAGAGCUGAACCAGAACUGAAUCUGCUCUGGUUCCCGAGCUAAAUCUGCUCUGGCAUCCCAGCUGUCUCUGCUCUGGUAGCAGAGCUGAAGCCGAGCUGUCUCUGCUCUGGUAGUAGAGCUGAAGUCGAGUCGUCUCUGCUCUGAUAGCAGAGCUGAAGCCGAGCUGUCUCUGCUCUGAUAGCAGAGCUGAAGCCGAGCUGUCUCUACUCUGAUAGCAGAGCUAAAGUCGAGCGAUCUCUGCUCUGGUCCCAGAGCUGAAGUCGAGUUGUCCCUGUGUCACGACCGGCCCUAAUUAAGGAUAAUUAAGCCGGGAAAACCGUGACUAAUGGAGGGAGAUUAGAAGCGGGGUAGAAAGGGAAUAAUCAAACAAGGAAGGAUCACAUUUCAUCAUUUAACAAAAUGGAUAUUUAUAAAAUAACAUAGGUUUAGUCGUAUAGACUCAAAUAAUUAGUAAGUUCAUAUAACUCCGACUUAGCCAAAAUAACAUAAAACUUCUGAGUGCGCAGCGGAAUAAGGUUCUGAUUACAUAUAUGAAGACAUGUAUCCCCAGAGUUCAUUUAUACAUAAAGAUAAGACAAAAGACUCCGCUCGUCACUUCAUCACCAUCGGCAGCUGCUCAACCUGCACAUUUAGAAAUAUAUGCAGGGCUGAGUACAAAAGUACUCAGUGGGCACGUAUGCCUACGUAUAAAAAUACAUGCUUCAAAAACUGUAAAUUGUCAUGCCAUCAUAAACAGUACAGCAUGGGAGUUUUUCGCUAAAAAGGCCCAAACUUACUAAGUUCAUUUGUGAUCCUUAAAGUUCGUCUGCAGACUAAGUUCUCUUGUAAUCUAUCAUAUCUGAAGCUUGUGUGCCGGAGAGGUGGCCACCUCUCACGGUCACUUACCGGCAACCCGCUAGAUGACUCACGGUCACUGGUGUACACUAGUCCUGGCAGGAUAGCUAUCAACUGCUCAGGACCCGAAUUCGAUUACAUAACUGGCAAAGCCAUAUCAGAUAGAUAUCAUACCAAACAUUGAAACAUUUAUGGCAAGACAACAGUUGAAAUAAUUUUCAGUUCAAUGAUUUUGCAAUGAAAUAACUGUUCAAACAUAACAUUAAACUCAUUUGAUAUAUAUAUGAAAGUAACCCACCUGAUAGUAAAGCUUUGCUACAAAUUAGUGACUCCUUGACGAGCUCUUAUUCUUGCGCUCGACCUUUAUUGCGAUGAUAUAAAGUAAGAUAUUUGCUCGAUAAAAUCCUCAAUUAAUGAGAAUGCGUAUUUAACUAUGCAUGACUCGUAUUCCGAUAAUUAUUAUUCCUGAGAUAAUAAUUUGGAAGAUUCUAUUAUAAAUCAUACUUGUCGGAUUAAAUAAUAAAUUAACUAAUUGAGGAUCGUCUCAUGAGGAUGGAUAAUAAUUAAUCCGCUCAUCUUAGUAGUAUUUUAACUCACUUACUAAUUAAUAGCCUCAUUCUAAAUUAAUAAAUAUUAAAAUUAACUCAAUUUAAUUAAUAGAUUAAUCUAGACUACCCUUAAAUCGGGCUAAAUAGAUAAAAAUCUACCCAACAUAAAUGGAAAAUCUGGGCCCAGUCAGAUAAUUAUGGCAGCCCAAUCUACAUAAGAUAAAAGCCCAAAAGCUCAACCUCCUUAUAUAAAAUAAUUCAGCCCAACUGAAAUAGACAUCAAGCCCACAUAAGAAUAAAAUCGACCCAACUGCAAUAUGAAACCAACACCCAACUUAAAAAAACAAAAGACCCAACCUCUACUUCUCCUCCCCCUCGCUCGGUUAUCUCUCUCUCUCUCGCUGAAAAACUCACUCUCACGCUCAAUCGACGCCUCUCUCGACCUCGGCUCCGACGAGGUUGCCGGCGUCGCCGCCGCCCUAAGCCCCGGCAAGGUCGUGCCUCCCUUCCUCCUCGUACAUUUCUCCCUCUCGCUAAUCAUCUCUCCAACUUCUCCCAAAUCCGGAAAUCGUGCCAAGUCCCUAACUUUUUCUCCCAAAUCUGAAAUCGCCACUGCCGUGGUUCUCUGGCCGUCAAUCGGCGAGGCCGACGUCGCCUCGCUCUCUCUUCCGAGCCAUUCAAGUGUCCCAACUCAGACGUCAAGGUGGGCAGAGAGUCGAGCCCUGGUUCUCCUCUACUUUCGCCUCUGUUUUCGAUCCUCCGCCGCCGCCUGGGAGCGGCGUCGUUUAUCUCCUGAAAACUGGCGUCCCUCCUCUCACUUCACAGAUGCGAGGUAGAAAGGAGGUGAGCCCUAAUUUCCUGGAUCAGAAAUCGCCUCCACCGCCGUCACCGGAAAACCAGCGAGCGAGGUUGCUUCUGUCGCCAUUCUGAGGUCCGACGAGGUCGGCUCCCUCCGUAGCUGUCGGUGCUGGGUGAAGGCACCGCGAACCGCUGUCGUUGCUCUUCCGGGCGAUGGUGAGGCAGACGCAAUUUCAGGAUACACAACUCAAAAGAAUUGAGCCCUAGCUUCUCUUUCCACAAGGCGUCGCCGCUCUGUGAUUCGGCGAGAGCCUCACCGUCGUCGUCGCCGGGUUCUCCCCUGAUCUCGCCCGACAAGCAGCAUAGCUCUGCCUCCGCCGAUGCUCCUCGGUUCGGCGAAACAGGGCAGCCUCCCCUCUUAAUGAAAGCUAAGUUCAUUCUUAAUACUCUAUUGUGAACGAAACUCAAAGUUUGUUGUAAACCCAGUUCAUAUUUCUAUUGAGUUCUAGCAUUUCUAUAAUUCGAUUAUGCAGUGGGUAAAACUAGCCAUAGUAGUUUGUUUAUCUGCUUAAGUGUAGAGUAUGUAUGAUGGGAAAGUAGUAUAUGGAGCUCAAUGAAUACCUUGAAUGCUUUGCGAAUGUUUGGUGCAUGGUUGGCUGCUGCUGUUGUUGAAUCCAGAGGAUAGGAACUGAAAUAAACUGUGGAUUGCUUUCAUUCUGAAUGCAGGUUGAAAAUUCAAGAAGGAAGUUUGCAGCGAAUUGUUACAGGCUGAAUUUGGUAGUUAUACUUGAGUAUCUAGUCAUCUAUGCCAUGUGAAAGCCUUGAGAGAGAAUAGGUAGAGUUGCGGCUGAUUGACAGCUUCUCUCAUUUUUCUCUCCUUCGCAUGCUUGUAGGUAUGUAGCUGUAGUGUUUUGUGAUAGUGAUAGGUUUUGAUUGUAAGUAGGAAUAGUGGUGAUGUAAAUAAUUCCCUACAGUCAUUGUGUAAAGUUAUCUGAAAUCUAAUUUCUUUGUAUCAUGAUAUCUAUAAAAUGUUCUAGUUUGCUGAAUAACUAUGCUUCGAUAUAACAUCUCUACGAAUUAAAUAACUAAUUAACUCGUUCUCAUUAGUCUGAACCAAAUCACGACUUUCAAGUAACUAAUAGAAAUAAAAUCUCUAUCGCAUAUAAAAUAACAACUUUAAGUUGACUUUGCUAAGUCAGUUAUAGAUUUGAAAAUAUAAAUUAUUAACUGGCUCAAUAAUUCAUAUCCCGAUUCUCUCACGCGAAGCUAACAAGCAUAACUAAAAUAAUAAUAGGCAAAGAAUUCAUAUAAUUUAGAAUCCUAGUUGAAUUCUAAAUAUAAAUAAUUAUUAGACUUUUCAAUUACUGAAAGAUGCAAUAAUAAUUAUCGAUUUACUGGUCUUAAUCAUAAAUAAAAGAGCGGGCUACUACAUACUACCCCUCUUAACAAAAAUUUCGUCCCGAAAUUUGCAUAUCAUCGUAAAAGUUUUGGGUAAGUUCUCUCAUCUUGCUUUCGAGUUCUCACGUUGCUUUUUCUUAUCCAUGGUGUCUCCAUUGGACUUUUACUAAAGUGAUAGACUUGCUCCUGGGUUGUUUCACUUUUUGAUCCCAGAUGGCUUUUGGCCUUUCUUUAUAGCUCAAUCUGGGCUAAGAAUCAUCUUCUUUUGGUAGAUCACGUGCUUUGGAUCGAAAACAUACUUCCUAAGUUGGGAUGUGUGGAAACAUUGGGCAUUCCCAUAAAUUGGCGGUAACGCCAAUCCUAAGCCGCUAGGCCUAUUUUAUCUAGAAUCUCCUAAGGUUCCAGAAAUCGUGACAUAAGCUUACCUUUGACACCAAACCUAAUUAUUCAUUUGGAGGGAGAUGGCUUUUUAGGAAGACCUUGUCUCCUACUAAAGAUGUAACUCAGGUCGGCGCGUAUCAAAGUAAAAAAAAAAAAAAUUACUAUCGCCUCUUUUAUUCUUUCUCUGACAAUCGAACUAUCUCGAUCAUCUUGCUGAGCAUUUUUGGUCCUAAGAUUCUCCUUCACCUACUUUGCCCAGUAAAGUAACGAUCUGCAUUUUCUUUCAUAUAUUGCCUCAUAAGGCGUCAUAUCGAUGGUUGCCUGCUAAUUAUUAUCUUAUGCAAACUAAAUCAAUGACAGCACUGAUUCCUCACUUCAACCUCUGUCUAGUACUAUUACUCUUAACACUUCUUCGAGAGUUUGAAUCGUUCUCUCAAACUGUCCAUCCGUUUGUAAGUGGAAGACAACACUAAAAUUUGACCUCGUGCCUGAUUCCUUCUACAAGUUCAUCCAAAACCUGGAUGUAAACUUCGAAUCUCCGAUAGCCUGAAUUUUUCUCUUAAACAUCCAUAAGUGAUUGUCACGGGCACACCGUGUAACGCACAAUUUCUCGGGUAUACAACUAGGCUAGCUUGUUCGAUUAGUAUCUAAUUGGUAUUGUUAUACAAUGAGCGCAUUUCGUGAGUCACUACACUAUUACGCAAAUGGCGGUGUUCCCUCCUUUCGACUUUGUAAACUAGCCACGAAAUCCAUUGUAAUGUGCUCCCACUUCCAAUCUGGAAAUUCCAAUGGGUGUAACUUAUCAUAUGGUCUUUGGUGUUAAGCCUUCACUCGUUAACAUGUUAGGCAUCUCUCAACAAAUGAAGCUAUAUCUUUCUUUAUAUCUAUUCACUAAAAUUUUCCUUCCUAGUCCUAGUACUUUUUGUGCUUCCUUGGUGGGCAGUAUAUAACGUGGAAUGAGCCUCGCUCAUUACCUCAUUUUUGAGUUUCUCAUCAUGUGGGAUACACAAUCUUUUCUCAAACAUUAACGUUAUCCGAUGUCUCGUGAUAACGUCUCGGCUUGCUUGAUCGUAUUACUAAAUGUAUUUUCUCCAAGGUCUCAUCCUUCCCUCGUGCAUCUAACACUUUUCCUCUCAAAUUAGGUGUUACUAUCAUUGGGGCAAUAAUACCUUCCACUGAUUCCGUUAGUUGAACCACUUCUAAACUCAUUCUACAAAAUCUUUUAUGUGUCCCUGCUCGAGAGCGAGGAGAAUCCCCACUUAGAUUCAGUUUUGCGACUCAAUGCAUCGGCUACUAUGUUAGCCCUGUCUGGGUGGUAGUUAAUACCACAAUCAUAAUCCUUUACUAGUUCAAGUCAUCUUUUCUAUCUUAUACUAAGAUCCCUUAUAAUGAGACAAUGUCCCAACAAUGUGACUCCACAGAGUCAAAAUUUGCACUUGCUGAACUUGGCAUAAGGACACUCUAUUCUCAACGUUUUUAAGACUGUCCUCAGGUGUUCCUUGUGAUCUUUCUCGUUCUUCGAGUAGAUCAAGACAUAAUCUAUGGAAAUAAGACAUACUUGUCUAAGUAUGGAUGGAACACUCGGUUCAUGAGGUCCUUGAACACAGUUGGUGCGUUGGUCAAUCCGAUUGACACCUCCAUGAAAUCAUAAUGGAUAUAUCUAGUCGGGCUGCUCUUAUCUCAUAGCAUGACGAUGUCUUCCAUAUUGUUUAUCAUGUCGAUGAUGUUGACGUGGUUGUUGCUGAUGUGGUUGCUGCCCUUGGUGUGGUUGGGGCAGAGCUUGGAUUGCUCGCAGAUGCGGUGCUCGAGCAGACGGGUUCGAGUUUUGGACCCGUCCCUUCUGGCUUCUGUGUAACAGUAUCAUUGACAGUCUUGCAGAAUCUUCUAUGGUUCUUGUUACACUUUGGGCAGGCCAGGACCCUCUGUUGGUCAUCCCCUAUUUGUUUAGGAGUACCCUGGUUUUCUUAGCCCUGUUGUUGGGAUGAUUGCCACUGCCAUAGCUUCCUUUUCGCUUGGCAAUUUCUACUGUUGUCCCAUUUGUUUUCUUUACGAGCAUCUUAAGGUAGUCUAUACCUUGACUGUGCGUGGGUUUUCCUUUACCAAUGGAUAGUAGUGACUAAAUAUGUGAGUCUCACUCAUUUCUUACUCCUGCGUAAAAUCUGUUUGGCUUGUUAGGGAAAUUCAAUAUCUCAUGACACAAUUCAUUUCCAAAUUCUUUAGCGUUUCUAUUGGUGUCCACCAUCUGGACAUGCCUUGACAUUCGAUUAAAAAGUUCAUCAUACUUGGUAAUUGUUCCAGCUCUCCGCUCGAGAUUCCAGAAGUAGCUUUAUUACUACCGAUUUGAAGAUCAAGAGACAGUUUGAUGCUUAAUGCAUCCUUCUAAUUGUGAAAACACCACUUUCUAGUGGUUAAAAGCUAAUGACAAACUAAGUCAUUAUAAUCGUAACUAUGCUCAUCGUGAUAAGACAAGAUCUUAUGGUGCGAGUCUAUCUAUUGGGAUACCGCUCUUCUUCAAGAUUACAAAUCUCGAUUGGCAACCACUAGGAUCUUAGUCAUGUGGAGAUGUUGGCAUAAGCAUUGUUACUGGUCUUUCUCUCGGCCUUGUUGCCUCAAUGUCCAUCGCUCUGCUAUGCGAUUUCGUGUAAGAUAAUCCCCAAUGGCUUGCCAAAGCCAUCUGGAUCUCGUGCCUUUGAUCGGCACAAAAAAAAAUUUCAGCCAUCUUUUAUUCCGUGUCUACUUGUUCUGGCGCAUAUCUCGACAUAUCACAGAACAUCGUGUUGUAUUGAGUACUUGUCAUUCUUCCUGCUUCAGAUUAUAAAAUUCAAUUUCUUUCUUUUUGUGAUAACUCUUAGAUAUAUAUACUUGUCAUAUAUUUCGGUCUUAAGCUGAUCCCCCGUUAAAUUCCCUAACUGCUUAGUUGUCAUCGUCUUCCUCCUUGCUUCCAACCAGAACUCAGGUGACCCAGGCAACUGAGAGGAUACGCAAGUAAGACGUUCCUGAUAUGUGCAACGCAAGAAAUUUAAAUGCGCUCAAUAGCUCGUACCCAAGUCUCAACUUCCGAUGGAUUUCUUAUCCUACUGAAGACAAGUGGUUUUGUCGUAGAGAUAGUUCCUCUAUUCUACGUUCUGGUUGUAUGGGUGUUGGGGCUAUUUUUUUUUCUAGCCCUAGUACCUUCAUUACCUUAGGGAAUUCUUCUCCCUCUUCUUGGAUGCCAUUGUUUCGGUGGCAUACUAAUGAGUCGACAUACAAUCAUCAAAACAUACAGUUGUAUAUCAUCACUUCUGUAAACCAUUUUUUUGAUUCUCAAAUCUUGAUCAUACUCUUUCUCAUGAAAGUAUAUAAAUAACAUAGCGGAAGUGACUUGCCGCAAAAGACUGAUAGGGUCGCUACAUAGACAUGGGAAAAUUAGUAUCAAUGAGGAUUAUUUCAUCAACAUUUGAAUAUAGAUAUGGUGAUCUAUCCAAGCAUUAUACAUGAUGAACUGGCUAUCUUGCAAGGUCAUCAUGAAAGGGCUCAUUUCCGAAAUGCCCUAUGAACCAGCGUUUCCGUACUAAUACUAGUCAAAAUAACUAAGCCAACAUAGGGGCAUACAAAAGCAUCGAAAUGAUCGUCGUUUUCGAAAUACACAAAUAACGUCCCACUAAAUGCACAAGAGAUUGUCUGUAUGCAUUACGUGCUUGACCCUUGGGUUGAAGCAUACGUGUUUGACUGAUUUAAUCUGAUGAGUAUCUGUUUAUCCUUGGGUCACAGAAAAUCUACCAACAGCUAGUAGAUCGCAAUGAUUCAAAUCACAAAUGGCAAUUAGGCAAAGUGUUUCAAUAAUUUGCCAAACAAUUGAAAAUGAAUAACCAUAGGGUAGAAAUGAAUUGACUGAAAGGUCGAAACGAAAUGACCUAAUAAUCUGAACCCGUUUGGCUUUUCAGAUGAAGGUUUAAAAUAUAUAGGUUUAAAGACCCAUAUAUGACGACUACUGAGAUUUUGGCCAUGUGGACUGGCCAGGUCCGACACAACUACUUCUCAGUCACUCGGAAAUACUUUUCCGAACUUGGUAACUCUUGUUCAUUGGCUGCAAAAGGUAUAUUUGGUCUAAAAUCACCACUUUCUUCUUAACAUCUUGAACAUGUCUUGAGAAUAUUUAAGCUUCUCAAACUUGGAGUCUGCCUCUAAUUUAAUGAAUCCUUAAACAUCUUCUAUAGCGAAAUAAGGUAGGCUCGACCUUACUCAACAAUCUUCCUCUACAUGAUCUUUAUUAGUACUUCUAGUACUUAGUGUUCCUUCACAUAGCGCUUGAAAUGCAACCAUAUAAUUUGAAGCACUCUUCCGUGUUAUUGAAAAGACCUUCUGAAUCAUCACCAUUCAAUAAGGAAAUAGCUUUUGCUCAUCUGAGACCUUUAUAGGGUAUGUGUCACCAUAUGUAAUGCUAAGUCAUGAAUGACCUUAGUCAAUGUCUCAUCCGGCUACCAGACUAAAUGCCUAAUCCAAGACGUUCUAACUGAGCGAUGUCCUCGAUAGGUUAAGGUAUGUAUACUUAUCUUGAGUAUAUCCUUAGGGUCUCAUUAGAAUCUUAAUUCAUUUGUUUCAGCAUUGAUCCACUGUCGGCGCUUCUAGCUAUUAUUAAACUCUAACCAUCUUCGAGAACUUCUCUCGUCUUACACACUUGCGUAAACUUUUAUGAUCAAUCAUAAUGGUUGGUAACUGCUAGUACCCAUAUCACUCUCGUCUUUCCAAUUCGUAGUAGGUGAUCGUAAUCAAUAGGGAUUCUCAGUCAUGUCCUCAUCUAUUGAGAUAGUACUGUAAGUAGAAUGGUUCCGAAUAUCUGAAACUAUAAGCUGAUAGCUUUAAUGUAAUAUUAUAACAUUAUAUACAAAGCAUUUUGACCCCUCGUAGUCUAACUCUGAGUUCAUACAUGAAUCAUGAAGGUUAUCCUCAACCAUAGCUAGUGAUAAUCGAGGCUAGAAGCGGUCUCAGCUUAUUAGGGAUUAGCUAACUGAUUACAUAAGUCGCACUCAUCGCUAUAAGCAAUAUCAUACUUAAACUAUCAUCGAAUAAGAAAUAGUCGAUUAGGUGCUCCGUCUCCGUGACAACCUGAAUGAAACUAUCCUGCAUCAGUGAUUCGUGCGUGGCACUCGCUUGCACUGCUUUCAUUGGAUUCUCUUCCUCUUUCUUAGCUCUUACAUGGCUAUAGUGAAAUAUAACUGAGUUUCUAGCUUCUAUUGUUCUUCUCGUAACAGUGAUCAUGCAUUCUUAACGCAUCUAAGUUCAUUGAGAUAUCUAAUCAAUCAAUAAAGCAUAAAACUUGAAUGUAAGCAUCAGUACAUUCAUAUAGAACGUGAACUUCUCAAUAUUUUAAAAUCAUUACCACCUUCUUUCUUGCUGAGCAUGACGAUGUGAUGAAGUGAUGAGCUUUGGUUGACUGACUCAUAUAUACUAGUGAUCAUACUAGAAAAAUGGGCUAACUCUAGGGUUCAGAGCAAAUGAACUGCUCUGAUACCACUCUGUCACGACCGGUCCUAAUUAAGGAUAAUUAAGCCGGGAAACCGUGACUAAUGGAGGGAGAUUAGAAGCGGGGUAGAAAGGGGAUAAUCAAACAAGGAAGGAUCGCAUUUCAUCAUUUAACAAAAGGAAUAUUUAUAAUAUAACAGAAGUUUAGUCGUAUAGACUCAAAUAACUAGUAAGUUCAGAUAACUCUGACUUAGCCAAAUAAACAUAAAACUUCUGAGUACGCAGCGGAAUAAGGUUCUGAUUACAUGUAUGAAGACAUGUAACCCUAGAGUUCUUUAAUACAUAAUAAGACAAAAGAAUUCCGCUCGUCACUUCAUCACCAUCGGCUACUGCUCAACCUGCACAUUUAGAAAUACAUGCAGGGCUGAGUACAAAAGUACUCAGUGGGCACAUAUGCCUACUAUGAAAUAUAACAUGCUUCGUAAAGAUGUAAAUUGUCAUGCCAUCAUAAACAGUACAGCAAGGGAGUUUUUCGCUAAAAGGCCCAAGCUUACUAAAUUCAGUUGUGAUUCUUAAAGUUCGACUGCAGUCUAAGUUCUCUUGUAAUCUAUCAUAUCUGGAACUGUGUGCCGGAGAGGUGGCCACCUCUCACGGUCACUUGACCGGCCAACCCGCUAGAUGACUCACGGUCACUGGUGUACACUAAUCCUGGCAGGAUAGCUAUCAACUGCUCAAGACCCGAAUUCGAUUGCAUAACUGGCAAAGCCACAUCAGAUAGAUAUCAUACCAAACAUUGAAACAUUUAUGGCAAGACAACAGUUGAAAUAAUUUUCAGUUCAAGGAUUUUGCAGUGAAAUAACUGUUCAAACAUAACAUUAAACUCAUUUGAUACAUAUGAAAGUAAACCCACCUGAUAGCAAAGCUUUGCUACAGAUUAGUGACUCCUUGACGAGCUCUUAUUCUUGCGCUCGACCUUUAAUCCGAGAAAAUAACGUAAGACUUUAGAUCGAGAGAAAAUUCUCAAUUAAAUGAGAAUGCGUAAUUUAACUAUGCAUGAAUCUCGUAUGCAUGAACUAUUAUUCUGAGAUAAUAAUCAGGGAAUUUCUAUUGUUAAUCCAGAUCAUCGGAUUUAAAUAAAAACUAAGUCUCGUCUCAUGAAGCCGGAUAAUUAACAAAAAUUAAUCCGUUCUCUUCGGGGUGUUCUAAUCCGUCAAUUAAAUAAACCCCGCUCCUCGUAGUCAAAAGAAAAUAAAUAAAUACUUCAGCUUAUUCGAUUUAUAACCUCAUAAUUAAUCGGCUUAAUAAAUAGGAAUAAGUAAUGUUAUAAGAUUAAAUAAUUAAAAGGCUCAACAUAAGGCAGCCUAAUAAUUAAUUAAGCAGGGGUGGGCCUGAAUUAAAUAAAUCAUGGCAGCCCAAAUAAAAUAAUGAGGGGCUCCAAAUAACAAUAUUAAUAAUUUUGAGCUCAAAUGUGUGAAUUAAAUAAUUGGCUCAAAUGAAUAAAUAAAUCUGGACGGCCUAUAGAACAUAUAUGAGGCGGCCCAACGGAAUAAAAUACGAGGCCCGAACAGUGAAUGAAAUCGGCCCAAUUACUGAAUAAACGAUUGGACUCAAUUAAAUAAUGCAUGGCCCAAUGAAUAAAUCUCCAGCCCAUUCUAAUUAAUUUAACUUCAGCCCAAGAUAAAAUAAAACAAAAGCCCAAAGAAAUUAAAAUGAAAAAGCCCAAUCUUUAGCCCAACAACAAAAAUAACAAAAAUAAAAGCCCAACAUCCAUUUUUCUCCCCCCCCCAAGUCUCUCGGUUCUCUCUCUCAAUAUGUCUCUGCGCCCUCUCUCUCUCUCCACGCGAGUCCUGCCGCCGCCGUCUCCGGCUGUUUCAGCCGCCAUCGAUCCGGCGCCCUUCUUUCACGUCGGCCACCCUUCUCCUUCCACGUUCUCUCUUCUCACAGCGCCUUUCAAAUCUAUGAAGGAAACCCAAAAAGGGAAGCCCCAAAUUUUAUUUCCUCCUCUGCCUGAACCCGCCGCCGCCGCUGCUGAGGAACCGGCGAGUGGCCGUCGUUCUAAGCUUCAUGUUCGGUUGAGGGCGCCGCCCCUCUCAUCCGAUUCACCUUCCUCAGUCUCGACGAAGCAACCCAACCGAGCCCUAGGUUCCUUCGGCUCAAGCGACAUCGCCGCCACUGCCUGGGCUCGAUCGCGCUUCAGAAAUUCCGGCGGAGUCGACGCCGCUCUUCGGCUUUGCCUGAAAACUGGCGUCCCUCCUCCCACUUCACAGAUGCGAGGUAGAAAGGAGGUGAGCCCUAAUUUCCUGGAUCAGAAAUCGCCUCCACCGCCGUCACCGGAAAACCAGCGAGCGAGGUUGCUUCUGUCGCCAUUCUAAGGUCCGGCGAGGUCGGCUCCCUCCGUAGCUGUCGGUGCUGGGUGAAGGCACCGCGAACCGCUGUCGUUGCUCUUCCGGGCGAUGGUGAGGCAGACGCAAUUUCAGGAUACACAACUCAAAAGAAUUGAGCCCUAGCUUCUCUUCCACAAGGCGUCGCCGCUCUGUGAUUCGGCGAGAGCCUCACCGUCGUCGUCGCCGGGUUCUCCCCUGAUCUUGCCCGACAAGCAGCAUAGCUCUGCCUCCGCCGAUGCUCCUCGGUUCGGCGAAACAGGGCAACCUCCCCUCCUUAAUGAAAGCUAAGUUCAUUCUUAAUACUCUAUUGUGAACGAAACUCAAAGUUUGUUGUAAACCCAGUUCAUAUUUCUAUUUAGUUCUAGCAUUUCUAUAAUUCGAUUAUGCAGUGGGUAAAACUAGCCAUAGUAGUUUGUUUAUCAUGCUUAAGUGUAGAGUAUGUAUGAUGGGAAAGUAGUAUAUGGAGCUCAAUGAAUACCUUGAAUGCUUUGCGAAUGUUUGGUGCAUGGUUGGCUGCUGCUGUUGUUGAAUCCAGAGGAUAGGAACUGAAAUAAACUGUGGAUUGCUUUCAUUCNAACUAUGCAUGAAUCUCGUAUGCAUGAACUAUUAUUCUGAGAUAAUAAUCAGGGAAUUUCUAUUGUUAAUCCAGAUUAUCGGAUUUAAACAAAAGCUAAGUCUCGUCUCAUGAAGCCGGAUAAUUAACAAAAAUUAAUCCGUUCUCUUCGGGGUGUUCUAAUCCGUCAAUUAAAUAAACCCUGCUCCUCGUAGUCAAAAGAAAAUAAAUAAAUACUUCAGCUUAUUCGAUUUAUAACCUCAUAAUUAAUCAGCUUAAUAAAUAGGAAUAAGUAAUGUUAUAAGAUUAAAUAAUUAAAAGGCUCAACAUAAGGCAACCUAAUAAUUAAUUAAGCAGGGGUGGGCCUGAAUUAAAUAAAUCAUGGCAGCCCAAAUAAAAUAAUGAGGGGCUCCAAAUAACAAUACUAAUAAUUUUGAGCUCAAAUGUGUGAAUUAAAUAAUUGGCUCAAAUGAAUAAAUAAAUCUGGACGGCCUAUAGAACAUAUAUGAGGCGGCCCAACGGAAUAAAAUACGAGGCCCGAACAGUGAAUGAAAUCGGCCCAAUUACUGAAUAAACGAUUGGACUCAAUUAAAUAAUGCAUGGCCCAAUGAAUAAAUCUCCAGCCCAUUCUAAUUAAUUUAACUUCAGCCCAAGAUAAAAUAAAACAAAAGCCCAAAGAAAUUAAAAUGAAAAAGCCCAAUCUUUAGCCCAACAACAAAAUAACAAAAUAAAAGCCCAACAUCCAUUUUUCUCCCCCCCCCCAAGUCUCUCGGUUCUCUCUCUCAAUAUGUCUCUGCGCCCUCUCUCUCUCUCCACGCGAGUCCUGCCGCCGCCGUCUCCGGCUGUUUCAGCCGCCAUCGAUCCGGCGCCCUUCUUUCACGUCGGCCACCCUUCUCCUUCCACGUUCUCUCUUCUCACAGCGCCUUUCAAAUCUAUGAAGGAAACCCAAAAAGGGAAGCCCCAAAUUUUAUUUCCUCCUCUGCCUGAACCCGCCGCCGCCGCUGCUGAGGAACCGGCGAGUGGCCGUCGUUCUAAGCUUCAUGUUCGGUUGAGGGCGCCGCCCCUCUCAUCCGAUUCACCUUCCUCAGUCUCGACGAAGCAACCCAACCGAGCCCUAGGUUCCUUCGGCUCAAGCGACAUCGCCGCCACUGCCUGGGCUCGAUCGCGCUUCAGAAAUUCCGGCGGAGUCGACGCCGCUCUUCGGCUUUGCCUGAAACUGGCGUCCCUCCUCCCACUUCACAGAUGCGAGGUAGAAAGGAGGUGAGCCCUAAUUUCCUGAAUCAGAAAUCGUCACUUCUCUGUCAUUUCCGGCGAGUCGACGCUGCACCCUGACUACGGCGCCGUCCUCUCGGCGCUCCUCACUUUCAGGUACCUCCAAAGGAGCCCUAAUUUCUACCUCUUAGGCUCGUCGCGCCUGAAACUCACCACGCCGCCGGGCCUCAUUCUCCCUUGGCUGGCCGGAGCUUGUGGGUUCUCGCCGUCUUCUACGACGGUCAUCAUCGCUGGAGUUUGUUCGCCAUGGAUGCCGCUGACGCUGCACCUCUCUGGCGAGGCCGUGCCCUACUGUUGGCGCUGCUCUGCUCGGUUCCUUCGCCGCGUUGCCACGCCGUCUCGAGUCGUUGCCACUCUAUCCAUCGGGACAGAAAUUCCCUUUGGUUCUAGCUCUCCGAACCAUCAUUCUCGGCAGUUCACACUCCCCCUGUUUGAUCAGUCACCGGUCAUCAAUUCAACACUCAAGCCUAAGCCGAGCUCUCUCGGCUCGGUUUCAAACUAAAGUAAUAGGAUGCAGUUAAACAAGGUAAAGUUUUCUUGUUUUCUUUCUGGUUGUGGUUGAGCUAAUCAUCUAGUUCUCUAUCAUUCUAUAGUUGUAGUAUUUGUAUUUCUAUACAACUGAAAACAUAUGCUUGAGGGUAUGAAGCAUGGAAUUGAACUGAAAUGAGAUGGUGUAAAUACCUUGCGUAUUUUGUGCUUGGUUGGCUGAUGCAUUUUUCUUUAGUUCAGUGGGGAUUUGCUGAAAUAAGUUGUGAUGUGCUUUGUCACAAUUGCAGGAAAAAAAAAUAAUGGAAGAAGGUGAAAAAUCAAGCCAAGGCUUACCUUAAGUUUAAGCAGAAGCUUGAAUGAGCUCUCUCUCUCUCUCAUUCUCUUGUUGGCGUGUGAAGAAGUGAUGAGAAUUGCUUGGCUGAUGAUUUAAAAGAUGAAGUUGUUGGCUGAUACUACAAGGGUGUGAAUUGUGUCUGCCUUUAGAGUAGGUGUAGUCAUAGUUUGCGGCUGAGGUGAUGGGCUGUAGGUGGUUGAGUGACAUGGUCAAAAUUUGCAGCUGUUCUGCACUCCUCCGCACGUCCCCUUUUUCCUCCUUUUUAUGGAAUAGGGUAGUCUUAUUGUAGGAGUAGGAAAUAUGGUGAUUGUAAGUGUAAAAGCUUUGACGUGAUGAUACAAAAAUCCCUCUAAUUCGAUCAUUUUGUAACUAAUUAUUAGUAUCUGUAAUAUUGCGCAUUCAUAGUCGAAUACUAAUUACUCUAAUAAAUCUCGUACUUCAAUAUCUGAUUUCUUGCGUGCUAAAUAAUUCUAAAUUAAAUCUGUAGCUUUAAUUAGCUUAAUAAGUCAAAAUCAAUCCACGACUUCAAGAAGAUAAUAAAAUAAUAUUUCUAUCACUUGUAAAAUAAUAACACGACUUUACUGAUCUUAAUUGGGGAUUAAAAAGUUUACAAACCCUCUUUUCAUGUCUGGGUCCUAUCCGACUGUUACUGUUUUGUGAUUCAUCAUUUUUAUUGAAAUCUUCUACAGAUCACCUCGGGGUCAUCAUUCCAGGAGUCCAAGGAGGAGAUUCUGAUCAUGGUGGCAUGUGAGAGUUUUUGGCACUUUGAUUUAGAGUGAAGAUACAAAUGUGAAUCUUUGUUAACUUUUAACAAUGUGUACGAUUGUUGUUUCUGUUGUCAGUUUUCGUUCAUUGACUUCAUUUCAGCUGUAUUAACGUAUUUAUGAGGCUUCUUUGGAUUGCUCUUCCUGGCUUGCUAUUUAUAUAGGUUGGUACUUUAGUUGAAGGAUGUUCCAAUGUUGUGUUCUUAUUGAUUCCGAUCAGUGUAUUCAUUGCCUUUUUGAUUGGUAUUUGUGCUUGUCUUGUUGUAAGAUCAUCAUUUUGUUUUGGGAUAAUCAAAAUUUGUCAUUAACUUUUACGUUUUUUUAAAUCUAUAUAUAUAUAAAAGCUCAUCCAACUUCACAAUUUUUCCCGCCCAAAACUAGAGUGUAAUUUCUAUACCAAUCACUAUUAGUCCUAUCUUAAAUUUGGUAAUUAACAAUUAAUUAAAGCAUUAAAUAUGAUAAUUAGUUGAUAUUAUAAAUAUUGUUAUAAACUAGAGAGAAUAGAGAAGAGAAUAUGUAUUAAGCGUAUUCAAUAUGAGGGCCAAAGGCCUCUAUUUAUACAAGUAGGAAGCUAGGGUUUUAGGGAGAUUUCUUGGUCAACACACAUAAGAUAUAUCUAGAAGAUAUAUUUACAACACUUCCCCUUGAUUGACCAAUCCCUAAAACAAAAAUGUUGCCUCAUUAAAACCUUGCUAGGAAAACCCAAUGGGACAAAACCUAGUCGAAGGAAAAAGAGUACAACUGCUUCCCCUGAACUUGAGAUCAUUGAAUAUCUUUGAGUCGACGUAUGCCGAUCUCGUAUACCAACUUUCUGAAUGUCGAUGUUGGUAAUGCCUUGGUGAAUAAGUCCGCCAGAUUAUCACUUGAGCAAAUUUGUUGAACGUUGAUAUCGCAUCCUUUGAAGGUCGUGUGUGUAGAAGAGCUUGGGAGAAAUAUGCUUUGUUCUAUCGCCUUUGAUGUAUCCUUCCUUGAGUUGCGCGAUGCAAGCAACAUUGUCUUCAUAUAAAAUUGUUGGUUUGGCCUUUGAUGAAGCUAACUCGCACGACUCUUGGAUAUGACUCUUCACAUUUCUCAACCAUACACAUUCUCGACUUAUUUUGUGGAUUGCAAUGAUUUCAGAAUGAUUUGAGGACGUUACAGUCAAGGUUCACUUCACAUACUUCCAUGAUAUAGCAGUUCCACCACAUGUGAAAACAUAUCCAGUUUGUGAUUUAGCUUCAUGCAUGUGGAUCGGAUAAAAAUCCUGCAUCUGAAUACCCCACCAGAGUAUUAUCAGAAUUUUCUUGAUAAUAUAAUCCAAGUUCAGUGGUACCCUUUAGAUAACGUAGAAUGUGUUUAACACUAUUCCAAUGUCUCAAAGUGGGUGCAUCGCUAAAUCUUGCUAUAAGAUUGACAGAAAAAGCUAUAUCUGGUCUAAUAUUAUUAGCUAGACAAGUCAACGCUCCAAUUGCACUUAGAUAUGGUACUUCUGGACCAAGUAUUGUUUCACCCUCUUCAAUUGGUCGAAAUGGAUAUUCUUAGUAUCAAUAGAUCUAACGACCACUGGUGAUGCUAAUGAAUGUGCAUUAUCCAUGUAAAAGCGUUUUAACACUUUUUCUGUAUAUGUAGAUUGAUGGAUAAACGUUCCUCCACGGAUACGUUCCAUUUGCAAACCAAGACAAAACUUUGUCUUUCUCAAAUCUUUCAUCUCAAUUAUUUCUUCAAAUAUUCAGCAGUUUUAUUGAGCUCUUCAGGAGUCCCAAUUAAAUUUAAAUCAUCAACAUAAACUGCUAUGAUUGCAAAUCCACUUUCGGUUUUCUUAAUGAAAACACAAUGGCAGAUAUCUUUAUUCUUGUAUCCUUUUUUUUCAAAAGAUACUUGCUCAGUCUAUUGUACCACAUACGACUGGACUGUUUCAACCCAUACAACGAUUUUUGCAGCUUUAUUGAAUAUAUAUUUUUGGGUUUUGACUGCAAUUCUUCAGGCAUUUUAAAUCCUUCGGGAAUUUUCAUAUAUAUGCCAUUAUCUAAUGACCCAUAUAGAUAAGCAGUUACUACAUCCAUAAGGCGCAUAUCAAGCCUUUGUGACACAUCCAGACUAAUCAAAAAUCUGAAAGUAAUAGCGUCCAUUACUGGAGAGAGAGUAUGUUUUCUCAUAAUCAAUUCCUGGUUUUUGUGAGAAACCUUGUGCUACGAGUUUUUGCUCUAUAUCUCGUAACUUCAUUUUUCUCGGUUCUCUUUCUAACAAAGAUCCACCUGUAUUCAACAUGGAUUUUAGAUUGCGUAGUUAGGGCUAUAUAUCCAAAUACUUUCCGGUUAUCACAGGAAUUUAAUUCCCUUUCUAUAGCUUCUUUCCACUUUGGCCAAUCAAGUCUCUGUUUGCAUUGUGCAACAGAUUUAUGUUCAGGAUCCUGAUAUUUAAGAGUUGAAGAGCUAUAUGAAAGGCAAAUAUAUCAUCAACGAUGAUAUUUUCUCUCUCUAGUAUCUGAUUUGAAUGUAAAUAAUUUAUUGAGAUCUCAUGAAUUUCAGAUACUUGUAAUUCUUCAGGAAUUAAAUCGCUUUUAUUUGGUUGAUUAGUCAUUUUCGUCAUUGUUUGGUUUCCAUCUUGUCCCUUUCUUUUUCUAGGCAUAGAAUCUUUGGAACCAACUGGUCGACCAUGUUUUUGACGAAUUUUAGACUCAUUUGCUGCCAAAGUUAUUUGUCCUUCAAGGACAUCAAUUUUAGCUGGAGUAUUUGCAGCAUGUAUGUGAGAUUGUGUCAUUUUUCUUGUAUCUACAAAAGCAUCAGGGAUUUGAUUUGCAAUCUUUUGCAAAUGAAUAAUAUUUUCAAUUUCUUGUUCACAUUGAUUUGUUCUAGAAUCAAAAUGUGAUAAGUUUUUCUCAUUCCAAGAGAGUUCCUUGUGCUUUUCUGGAUGUAGAUUUGUUCAUCCUAAUGUUGGAAAUGUCAUUUUGUCAAAAUGACAAUAUGCAAAACGUGCAGUAAACAAAUCACCUGUUAAAGGUUCUAUAUACCUUAUAACCGAGGGUGAAUCAAAUCCAACAUAUAUCCCAAGUCUUUGUUGGGGACCCAUUUUUAUUCGUUGUGGGGGGUGCAAUUGGGACUUAAACCGUGCAACCAAAAGUUCCGUAAGUGAAGAAACAUCAGGUUCUCGGCCAAAGAUAAUUUCCAUUUUGAAGCAUGUAAAAUACGAUUAAAGUAAUCUGAAUUUUAACUUAAUCUAAUACAAAGAGGUACGAUAAUCUGAAUAGCAAAUAUUAACAGCAAAUUAAAGUGAUCCAACAGUUGAAUCCAAAAGUUGAACUAUCAAAAUAUUCAUUUGAAUAUUGUACCAAUCAAAUCCAAAAUCUCUAACAAUAUCAAAAAUCAACGAGCAUAAAUUUAUCAGAAUAAUAUAGAAUAGUACCUAGAAAUAGUCGAACUCAAUUAUGAAAACUAGUACUCCUAUCAUAUUAUGAAUUACGCAAUUUCUAAAAAUUAAUCAUUAUUCAACCAAGAUAUCAUCAAACGUAUUUUGAAUUAUCCAUUAUUUAGAGGCAUAAAAAAAACAAAGACACCUAAAACUAUAAAAAUUAGAAAAACCAUAAACCUUGACAUUUUAGUAGUGCACAGAACCCAUCGAUAUCAUAUUAUCAAAUGUCCAUAAUCAUGCGCCAUUGAGGUAUAAGAGUCUUUGAUUCGAGAUCCCUUCGAUCAAAAUUUCUAGAUGCCUUAUGUCAAUUAUUUUCUGCUAUUUGCAACUGUAAUUAUAUACUUCUAUUAAUACAAGAAUAUUACCUUGAUGGAAAGAUACGAUUCUUUCCUAGGGCAUACCUCCAAUUUUUUUUUUACGAUCAAAGAGACAUGAUGAGAAAAUUAGAACUAUCGUGCUGAUAACGUGUUAUAAACUAGAGAGAANNNNNNNNNNNNNNNNNNNNNNNNNNNNNNNNNNNNNNNNNNNNNNNNNNNNNNNNNNNNNNNNNNNNNNNNNNNNNNNNNNNNNNNNNNNNNNNNNNNNNNNNNNNNNNNNNNNNNNNNNNNNNNNNNNNNNNNNNNNNNNNNNNNNNNNNNNNNNNNNNNNNNNNNNNNNNNNNNNNNNNNNNNNNNNNNNNNNNNNNNNNNNNNNNNNNNNNNNNNNNNNNNNNGGUUAUAUGUAUACACAUGUAUAUAAUCUAAUACAGUACAUAACAUAUGUAUAUACAUAUCAAUGUACUUAUUUUUUGUGAUUUAUUUCAUAUAAUAUAGAUAGUUUAUAAUUAGUGCAUAACAUAUGUAUAUUUAUGAUGAUAUAUAUAUAUAUUUUGUUUAUGGUAAUUAGUUCACACCUACAAAUAUUAUAGUAUAGUAAUUAAUGAUUCCUUCAAAUAUAUUCAUUGUCCAUUAUAUAUAAUGUAAGAAUAAUGAAUUACAUUAUAACAUGAAAUAUGAUAAUUUCUCACAUAAUUUCAAAUUUUCAAUUAUUCCAUUAAAAUUCUAAUUUUUUUUUUGAAAUAUUUAUACCAAUUAUAUUUGAUCUAUAGAUUCUAAAAGAAUAGCUUUCUUUCUCAAGUAAUAAAUAACUUUUCUACUAAUCUCUUUAUCUUUAUGUCAACGCUAAUCUUCUUAUUUAUUCGUUAAUUUUCUACUAAUAUUCUUAUUGUAUGUAAAAGAAACUAUUCUCAUAAAUAAUAAGUUAAAUUUUUCUACUAAAAUUAACUUACUAAUUUUAGUAUUUUUUUUUAGUUUGUCUUUAUUUCGUACUACUCCAAAUCAUAUUGGUAUUUUUGUUAUAAAUUUUCUAUUAUUUAAUUAAAAUAUAGUUAAUUUUGUAUCUCUAAAAUAUAUUAGUUAUAUAGAUAUAAACUAUGAACCAAAGAUUGGCCAAAAUAAUUAAAAAGUCACUUUAAGAUAUAAACUGUGAACCAUUUUUUUGCAUUUAGAUCAUAAAGAUCUACAGUGAAUUCAUCAUUUUAUUGGAUGGUCCUGGGUUCCAAUCCUCUAUGAGCCCCCCUCCCCCCCCAAAUCAUCACUUUUACUGCAAAUGAACUAUCAUUGCACCCCGUGCAAUACACAUGAAAUAUUUUCGUAUUUUCAUAUAUAUAAGCACAACCAUUUUCAAAAAUAGUAAAUUAUUUUUUCCUGCCAAAAAUCACUUUACUAUUUUUAGAAAUAAUUAUAUUUUUUAAAUUUUAAAUGGCAUGUCAUAUUUAUGUAUUGAUAAUUUUGGAUCAACAAUUAAUAAUUAAUGUUACAAUGACAUAACUCAUGACAACACAUUAAUUUUAAUAUUUUAACUUGAAUGUUAUUUCUAUAGUGACAUGUAAUAAACUUAAAGAAGAUUACUUAUAUACAAUUAAUAAUAUAUUAUGUUAUAUAAAUGGUAUAUUCCAUACAAUAUGUGUGUGUGUGUGUGUGUAUAUAUAUAUAUAUAUAUAUAUAUAUUUAUCGACUUUAAUUUAUAAUAGAUAAGAUAUUAUAGUCUAUGAAUGUUCAUUAAUUUAAUCUAAUAUAUAUCUGGUGAAACGAGAAAUAAUACGGUAAAUAAAAGCAGUAAACGACACCGGAUUUACGUGGUUCGGUCGAGAAGACCUACGUCCACGGGGUUUUUGGGGGGUUUUCCACUAUAAUCGAGAGAGUGUUUUACAUUUUACAAGUUGUUGGCUAAGAAAGAAUGAUUGGAUUGAGAGCAUGAGAGCCAAGAGUAAAUUGCAGUGUUCAAGGUAAAAGAUAACGUGUCUCUCCAAAGUGUGCAUGUACGCGUAUUUAUAGACGAAUACAAGCUAAGGGUAGAAAAGUAAUUUCGCCUACCGAACACGCUCUUCGCGUGGUCAAGGGCAAAAUAGUAAAUUCGACUUUAGGCCGGAGCUUUCCCCGCCCUUUUGGUGAUUUCUCUGGCGGAGUUCGCUUCUCUGACAAGAGCCGCACCUCUGGCGAAGGUGACCCCUCAGGCUAAGGUGAUCCCUCUGGCGAAGAUGACCCCUCUGGCGAAGGUGACCCCUCUGGCGAAUAUGAUCCCUCUGGCGAGUAUGAUCCCUCUGGCGAAGAUGAUCCCUCUGGCGGGCAUGAUCCCUCUGGCGGGUAUGAUCCCUCUGGCGGGCAUGAUCCCUCUGGCGGGUAUGAUCCCUCUGGUGGGUACGAUCCCUCUGGCGGGCACGAUCCCUCUGGCGGUCGUGAUCCCUCUGGCGAGUAUGAUCCCUCUGGCGGGCGUGAUCCCUCUGGCGAAGGUGAUCCCUCUGGCUAAGGCGACUUCUCUGACGAUAAUGACUUCUCUGGGGAGAGUGAUUUCUCUGGCAAGAGUGAUUUCUCUGGCGAGAGUGACUUCUCUGACGAUAAUGACUUCUCUGGCGAGAGUGAUUUCUCGGGCGAGAGUGAUUUCUCUUGCGAGAGUGACUUCUUUGACGAUAAUGACUUCUCUGGCGAGAGUGAUUUCUCUGGCGAUGAACGACUUCUCUGAAAAGGUGGUCCCUCUGGCACAAUCCACUUCUCUAAUAAAGCCCGCUCCUCUGAUUUAUAUUAUUUCUCUGCUCUGCAUAUACUACUCCUCAUCAGCUACUCCCCCUGGUCUGGUUGAACCGGGUAUUCUUCGUGUUCAACCAGCGAAGUGUUGUUAAAAGUUAGCCUUGUGCUGUUUUCCUUAAUCCCUGCAAAUCAUGAAGACAUAAGAGUUUUAAUACUUGUAAGAAAGCAAAGAUAAACAUUUUCCCUUUGACUUCGGAAUUGUAAUUCCAAGUUAGAUUUCCUUCUUGUUUGUUGAAGGUUGAUAAAGAUAUAUGUCCGUCUUUCGAUCUGAUUUUGUGUUUGCUUGUCCCUGAUGCCCUCCUGUUGCUUUAUCUGUGGCGUGAACUUUUAUUCCAAAGACUUUAAGAUACGACGAUUGUUCCCUUUUUGUAGAGUUGAGUGUUUAUCUUUUUGAUCGAAGUGUUGGUGAUCCCUCUGCCUUUGCUAGGACUGGUAGCUUUAUUGAAACCUUCCUUUGGAAUUUUGCUAACUCCUCUCUUGAUGAUUUCGCUGACUCCUUUGGCGGGGACUUUGCUGAUUCCUCCGGCGAGGAUUCCGCUGACUAUUCUGGCGAGGAUUUCGCUGAUUCCUCUGGCGAGGAUUCCGCUGACUCCUCUGGCGAGAAUUUUGCUGACUCCUUUGGCGAGGAUUUCGCUAACUCCUCUGGCGAGGACUUCGCUGACUCCUCUGCUGCUGCUGUCUCCAAGCCUUUUGAUGUUGCUCCUCUGCCCUGACUGAUAUGAACCUCGCCGGUAACCCCUUGAACUUCACCGGAAUGAACAAAUAAAGAUGCGCGGAAGACUUGAGAUGACAAAUAAUAUAAAGAUAAAGGUGGAAGUUUGUCCCAAAACCCCUGAAUCUAUUCUACGUCGUUUCUAGAGAGCGGAUCCCUAACCCCAACGUAUGAAUGAUGCAGCAACUCGGAGACGCUGAAUGACACACGGCGAGGGAUGAUGAACUCGUCGAUUCGUCGAUAUGUUGAAUUCUUGUUUGGAUAAUCAAGAAGAAUUCGAAACUUGAGAGAGAAUAAACUCACAAUAUUAUUAUCAAAAUUCGUCCCCCUUCGUCCAACACAUAGCAACCCUAUUUAUAGGGAACAAGAAACCCUAACGUAAAUAAGGAAACAAACGUAACCAAAGAAAACAAAGAAACUUGUUCAGUAAGUCAAAAAAACCCUAGCGAGAAAAAAAAAACCAUCUGCUCUGGAAAAGUGCAGAGGAAUCAAGUCUGCUCUGGCGGAACGAUUCCUCUGCUCUGGCAAAGCUUCUCUGCUCUGGAGCGACUUCGCUGCUCUGGAGCGACUUCAAAUUUAUCUUAAAAGAAAUCAUAAAUCCACACGACAAAAGAGUAUAAAUUUUAGUGUGCUCAAAACAAUCAUUAAACUUCUUCUCAUCUUUAUUUUCCUUAUACGCGUUAGUUUAAUUCUUUAAUUCACUCUAGCAUUAAUGUAUUGUCAAAUAAUAAAUAUGGACAUGCUAUGAAUAUACUUGUAUAAUUUUCUUUUACAAUGAUUUUCUUAAUCAUUUUGCAGAAUUCAAUCAGCCCAUAUAACUGGGACGAAUGAAGUAUUUUGAAAAAAAUCAAAGUUGUAUAUUAUACAUCAAAUAAUAAAAAUUCUAGAAAAUCUUUUUUACUACUAUGCAUAAAUAAAGUUUUAGAAAAAUUUUAUUUCUUAAUAGAAACCUAAAAUAAAAACAGAUGAAUAUUUUGAUGGACAUUUUAACUAGCUANNNNNNNNNNNNNNNNNNNNNNNNNNNNNNNNNNNNNNNNNNNNNNNNNNNNNNNNNNNNNNNNNNNNNNNNNNNNNNNNNNNNNNNNNNNNNNNNNNNNNNNNNNNNNNNNNNNNNNNNNNNNNNNNNNNNNNNNNNNNNNNNNNNNNNNNNNNNNNNNNNNNNNNNNNNNNNNNNNNNNNNNNNNNNNNNNNNNNNNNNNNNNNNNNNNNNNNNNNNNNNNNNNNNNNNNNNNNNNNNNNNNNNNNNNNNNNNNNNNNNNNNNNNNNNNNNNNNNNNNNNNNNNNNNNNNNNNNNNNNNNNNNNNNNNNNNNNNNNNNNNNNNNNNNNNNNNNNNNNNNNNNNNNNNNNNNNNNNNNNNNNNNNNNNNNNNNNNNNNNNNNNNNNNNNNNNNNNNNNNNNNNNNNNNNNNNNNNNNNNNNNNNNNNNNNNNNNNNNNNNNNNNNNNNNNNNNNNNNNNNNNNNNNNNNNNNNNNNNNNNNNNNNNNNNNNNNNNNNNNNNNNNNNNNNNNNNNNNNNNNNNNNNNNNNNNNNNNNNNNNNNNNNNNNNNNNNNNNNNNNNNNNNNNNNNNNNNNNNNNNNNNNNNNNNNNNNNNNNNNNNNNNNNNNNNNNNNNNNNNNNNNNNNNNNNNNNNNNNNNNNNNNNNNNNNNNNNNNNNNNNNNNNNNNNNNNNNNNNNNNNNNNNNNNNNNNNNNNNNNNNNNNNNNNNNNNNNNNNNNNNNNNNNNNNNNNNNNNNNNNNNNNNNNNNNNNNNNNNNNNNNNNNNNNNNNNNNNNNNNNNNNNNNNNNNNNNNNNNNNNNNNNNNNNNNNNNNNNNNNNNNNNNNNNNNNNNNNNNNNNNNNNNNNNNNNNNNNNNNNNNNNNNNNNNNNNNNNNNUAAUUUUCUUUUACAAUGAUUUUCUUAAUCAUUUUGCAUAAUUCAAUCAGCCCAUAUAACUGGGACGAAUGAAGUAUUUUGAAAAAAAUCAAAGUUGUAUAUUAUACAUCAAAUAAUAAAAAUUCUAGAAAAUCUUUUUACUACUAUGCAUAAAUAAAGUUUUAGAAAAAAUUUAUUUCUUAAUAGAAACCUAAAAUAAAAACAGAUGAAUAUUUUGAUGGACAUUUUAACUAGCUAAUAAUGAUAGUUGAUAAAAAUAUGUUGUUAAUUGAUAUUGGUCAUUGAUUUAACUUACAUACAACUAUAAAAAAGUCACAUUUAUUUAAACAAUUAUAGUAUUAGUGAGAUCUCUCUUAUAUAAGUUUAAAAAAUUAUCAAUAUUAUCUUUUAAGUUAUAAAAAUAUUAAUAUAAUAUAAAAAGACAUUCAACAUUAAAAAGUAUAGAUUACUUAUACUUUUAAAUAAUUUAGUUAAAUAACUAUUACCGUGCAUCGCACGGGAGCAAAACUAGUAAGACUUAAAUAGCACAGCCAAAAAGCACAUAAUAACCCCUCGUUUUUCUACUUAUUUGUCUACUCAUUACUCAUUAGCACAACCCUCGUUUUUCUUCAAAAAUCCCUUUAGCCCUUCCCCUCCUAUCCCCAAAUCUAAACCUAGCUAAAUAUCUGCUUCAACUAGUGUUAUACCCGUGCUUCGCACGGUAUGAAUAUUCAUACAUAUUUGUCAUGUAUAGUAGAAUUACUAUAUAAUUGUAAAAAUAUAUUUAAUUGAUACAAAACAUAAUACAUGGAAUUUAAACAAAAUUGAAAAUUUACAUUAUAUAAUAUAAAAAAUAGGAAUUAAAAAACAAAAAGAGUUUCAUAUCAUACAGUUUAUAUUAUAAGACGGUACAACAUAAAUAUAAUGAUAUACAUAGAAUAUUAAAUUAGUGAUUGUGAAAAUUUAUACAUUGCUAUUGAAAUAUAAUUUAUCAGGUAAACAUACCAUGAAGAUAACAAAUUCUUUUUGAUAUAAGCAUGCCCUGAAGAUAACAAAUUCUUUUUUUAAAAUUUUGAAAGAAUCCAAUAGUUUAUGCCAAACGCAUUAAUGCAUUUGUUUUAUCAUUUUGCAAGUAAACUUAUACUAUUUUCUAUGAUUUCUUAUUUUUUUUUACAAAAGGUAGUGUUUGUAAAAAAAAUAAAAUAAGAGAUAAUAUCUUUCUCUAUCUUUUUUAUAUCUUUCUUCCGUAAUGUUAACUAAACAUUCGAUACCACAAUCUUCUUAAAUUUUUUUAAAAUUAUAUUUACUUGUUUACAUAAAUAUGCGGCACAGAAAAGGAUAUGUCGUAUGCGCGACAGAAAGGGAUAUACUAAUUUGAUGUACUAACAAUUAAUAAAAAUUAAUGAAAUAUUGGUAAAUUUAAUGAUGUAACUAAAAAUGGUCCAUAGUACUUAAGAUAAUGAAGAUAAUAAAUAUACUAAUUUGACAACUACAUAAGGAGAUGCAGAUUAAUCUAACAUAUACAUAAGUUGGAGUAAAAAAUAUAUAAAAAAUUAUACUACCAUUUUACUUUUGUAUUUAAGUGCAUAAUUAUGAAAAAAAAAUCAUCUUAAAUACUACAACAAACAUAAUAAUAAUAUAGUGGUCGUGUCUUCUAUUAAACAGAGAAGUAAAAUAUAAAUUACAAAUUUCGAAAAAAUUCUUUAUAAACCACAUUAUCAGUACUAUUACAUUCUUCAUCACCAUCACCACAUACCAAGAUUUUUAAACCUUGCCGACUGAUGACCCUUGAGAUAGCAAUAUAAAGUUGAUCAUGACUGAACACAAGUUUCUUCAAAUACAAGCUUACAUGUGCCAAUGAUUGUCCUUGACUUUUAUUAAUGGUCAUUGCAUAUGAAACAACCAAUGAAAACUGUCGUCUUUGGAAUUUGAAAGGCAAUCUUAUAUCAGAAGGUAUCAUAUUGAGCAUAUGGAUCAAAACUAAUUGACCAACAUUGUGACCACUUAGUAAUUUUUCCUCCAACACAUGAGAACCCAACUUUUGUAAUCACAAGUCGAAUGUCAUUACACAGUUCAUUAUGAUGAUCAAUAUUUCUCAAAAGCAUUAUUGGAGUCCCAACUUUCAAGAACAAUUCAUGAUUUGGCAAACCAAAACACUUCAAACUAUUCAAAAACUCAGGAGUGUGAAUAUCGUUGAUCUAUAUCAUCUACUUGAAUCAUAUCUGCAAGAACUAUUUGAACUAAAGUACAGUUUACCAUCUCCAACCCCCAAAUUAGUCAUGUAUUCAUUAAUGGAAUGAACUGCAUCUAAAGUAGGAGCAAGUAUUUCCCUAUUAUCCAAGUAAGACAAAUCAAAGUUAUCACUAUGAAACAAUGGAUAUGUGCUAGAUACGAUAGUUCUUAACGGAUCACCACCGCUCUUAAGCACAAUAUCAUCAGGUAAUCUAACCACAGGAACACCAUCACUAUAACUCCCAACUAAUCCAUCUCUAACAUCAGCAAUCCAACUGGAAAAUUCUUCCAAUUCAGUGGUCAUUAUUCCCAUACAUUUGUUUUAGACGCAUAUUCUUUGUCAACCUCAACACUUUGCAACGGCUCCAAAUGUAUGACGAAUUUAUCGUUGCAUUAACUAUAUCAUAUGUCUAUUACCUUCAGGGAUAACGGGUAAUAUUUGCCGAAAAUCACCACCAAAUACAACAGUUUUACCAUCAAACGACACAUCUAAUCUUUGAUUCAUCACGCACUCACAUUAUACCAUGAAUACUUCUAUCUAAAGCUUCAAAACAAUACUUGUGCACCAUAGGAGCUUCGUCCCAUAUAAUAAGCUUUGUCCUCAAAAUUAACUCUACCAAUGGACUUUCCUUAUUUUAUAAUACACAUAGAAUCCUCAUUGAUACUAGUGGGAAUCUUGAAACGUGAAUGCGUUGUUCUUCCACCAGGAAAUAACAAUGAAGCAAUUCCACUUGAUGCAACAUUCAAAAUAAUUUCCCCAUUUGAACGAAUAGCAGCAGACAAUUACUUCCAUAUGAAAGUUUUUCCUGUUCCUCAAUAUGAAAGUUAUUCCAGUCCCCACUUGAUGAAUAUUUCUUAACACUAAUAUUAAUAUCUAUUCAAUUAUAAAAAAUGAAUUUAUACCUCUAAAGAAUAUUUAUAUAUUAUACUCCAUCCGUCCCAUUAAAAGUGGCAUGUAUUUCAUUUUGGGUUGUCCCACUGUAAGUGGCAUAUUUCCACAAAUGGCAAAGUUUAACCCUUUUAAAUGUGGACCCCAUCACUUUUAACACAUUUACACAUUCUCCUUAAUUCUAGUGCCGAAAAGUUUUGAGCAACUUAUAGUGGACGGAGGAAGUAAUUAAAUUAUAAUGUACGUUUGGACAAACUAAAAUAUAACAGCAAUUGAUUAACAAUUAUAAAAAUUAAGAUAAAUUGAUUAUAAAAAUAAUUCCUACAUUUAUAUAAGAGCAUUUCCAAUGUAAAGUUGCAAAUGAGAUGCAUCCUCAUAAAAAUUCAUUGGGUGUUGUAUGUUGAGUAGGUAUGAUUAGGAGAGAGGGGAUGCAAUAUUGCAUCCCCUAUAAUUGGCAUAAUGUGGGGCCAUUCGAUAUUUUUUACUUUAAUUUAUUUUCUAUUUUUUGUUUUACACAAAAUCUUGCGUACACCCAGGUGUACCGUACAAUUGGGUUGAUCCGUACUCAAAAUAGUGUUAAUUACUCCCUCUGUCCCAUUAGUAGUGUCCCACUUUCUUUUUGGGCUAUCCCAUUAGUAGUGUCUCAUUCUCUUUAUUCUUUCUAUUAAUUUAUCAUAUUAAUGUCUUCUCCUUUUUUUUUCUCUCUCUCUCUAUGAACUACUAUAGUUUAUCUCUAUUUAAUUUAUAAUAAUUAUUUUUAAUUAUUAAUCUCGACAAUUGUGCAGUAGUUCUUUUGAUUUACAAUUUUGUUAUUAUUUCGAAAGGUGCUUAUAUAUUGCCAAAUAGUAGCACUUUUUUCUUAAAUUUACUUUUUUUGUGAGUUCCUAUUUUUUUUAUUUAGUAUGCAUUCCUAUUUUACUUUUUUCAUGUUAUACGGUUUCCAUUAAAUAAAAAUCUUUAUUCUUUCUAAUAUUUAUAAAAUAAUUAAUUUAAUAUUAAAUUAAUUUAAGUGGGUUGAAAAUAGGUCCACAAUGAUGUCAGCAAAAAAUUGAAUUUUAAAAAGGUAUUAUUGGAAGUGAAAUAAGAACGGGGAAUAUGAUGAUGUGUAUAUGAUGAUGCUACUAAAAACCUUAAAAUUAGGAUGUAGUGUUGGAGAUGGUCUAAAUGAAUAAGUUGUUUAGCUCAUUGAGAUAUCUCAUAAUACAAUCCAUGCAAUAAGUAGUUUUUUCCUAUAAUUUUUAAAGUGAGCAACAUGAAUUACUAUAGUUAUACAAAUAAAUUUACAAUCAAAAUAACAAAAGUUCGUCAAUAUGAAAUUCAUAUACAAAUUUAAUUUAUAAAAUAGAAUCGUGUUCUGUGUCAAGAAUAAAUAAAAUAAAAAUAAAAACAUUCACACUCCUCAUCAUUUUUAAAAACACGCCACCCAUAUUACAUAAUAGUAAUUGGGGUAUUAUUUUGUAAAUAAUAUAUUAUAUUAAUAGAUAUUUUGCUACAUAUCCAUAUUUUUUGUAAAAAAUAUUCACUUUUUCUUUUUAUGUAGAGUAAACCCAAUCAAAGAUGUUAUCCAAAUUCAAGUAUUUAAUAAUCAAUUUUUAUAAGAGUACUGAAAAGAUACGUGUGCACAAUUUUUGUAAAUAAUUUUAAGAAAGAUUUAUAAUCAAUUAAUUGGAUAGAGUUGAGAAAAUAUAAAUAAAAAAACAUAAAAUAUAUAUAUUAUUUUUAAUUUUAAUUAUAUUUUAUAAUUAAUUUAAAUACAAUGUUACUAAACUAACCUUACCUUUCAAUAUAAUUUAUAAUUCUAAAUCCUAACGCACACAAAAGUCAACACGACAACAACGCACACAACUUUCAACACUCCAACUCCGGUCGCCACCACAGCCGCACCGUUCGCUCUCUCCAAAUGUGUGCCGUCCGUCACCGCCGCACGCAGAGGCAACAACUCUUCAAGGUACAAACCGUCUCUGCCCAUGCGCACUGCACGCCGCUCUUCAGUCAUCGCAUCGGAGCCGCCGUACCACCGCCUCCAAUUGUGGCUGCUCUGCUGGCAGCCUCGCGCCAUUGCGCCGCACCAAGGUAGCUCCUCAAGCCAUCAUCGCCGCACCGCAACAAUCCUCAGACAUCGUUGUUCCAUAAGCUAACGCAAGCUUUUUGUUCCUCUUUUGUUCUAAGGAGUUAUGAUUCUUAAUUUGGUGAGGUUUUUUAAUUUGCAAGAUUUGUUUGUAAGAUAUAAACCAUUUAUUUGGUUAGAUUUUCAAUUUCUGAAAUUGGAUUGCUGAAUUUGAAUGCUCAAUUGUGGUUGAGCUUUGAAUUGAAAAACAUGCAGAUUUUUUUUUUCUUUUUUCUUUCGAAUGUUCAAUUUCUUUCUGAUUUUGAUUGUUUGAUUUAUUAUUAUUAUUAUUAUUAUUAUUAUUAUGAAUGUUCAAAAUUUCUUUGAAUGCAGAUUUUGGAAUGUUCAAUUUCUUUCAUUUUGAUGCAGAUUUUGAAUGUUCAAUUUCUUUCGAUUUUUCAAUGUACAAUUUUGGUUGAAACCUUUUGCUAUUAAUUUGUCAAAUUAGAACUAUGUUCUUAUAUGCUUUAAUUUUGCCUCUGAGAUUUUUUUAUUAGUUAUCGAUUUUGAGCUUAUUUGCGGUUUGAAUUAAAAAAAAACUUUGCUAUUUAAUUGCCGAAACCUUUGAGCCUGAAACCUUUGGGCCUGAAAAGAUCAAGCCCAUGGACUCUUAAACAUAGGAAAAUUCAUAUUCAUACUAUUAUAAAAGCCCAACUAUAAUAACAAUACAAUAAAUAGUCAUCUAUCAUUUGAUUUUAGGGUUUAGAAUAGGGGUGAGCAAAAUACCCGAAAUCCGAAUAUCCGAUCCGAUCCAAUCCGAAAUUUAAACUUUGGUUCGGAUUAAUCGGAUCUUUGGAUCGGAUCGGAUUGAAUUUUAAGAAAAUUCGUUAUUUCGAUCGGAUCUAUUCACAAUAACUUCGAAAUCGAAUUAUUAUUAUAUAUAUAUAUAUAUUGAAUAUGUUAAUUUAUAUAUAUAUAAAUUUUGAAUUAUUGAAUAUGUUAAAAAGUAAAACCUAAACCCUAAUUUCCUAACUAAAUCAGCGCCGCACACACAGCCACAACUCCACCCACCACCGCGUCUGACUCCCCAUCCUCUCCAGUCUCCACCACCGGGGCGUUCCGCGCCGACGCCGUCCCACCCCGCCGGCCCCACCCCACCUACUCUCGCCUGCAAUCCCCACCACGCCACCUCCGCGCUUGCAAUCCCCCAGAGCAGCUCGAAGCUCGAGCGCAGAGCGCCGCAGAUCUGCGCCUCUCUUCCCGACGGCCGACGCCCUCCACCUCUGACCUCAGAGUUUCAGACGCCCUCCCCAGAGCACCUCAUCGGCGCGUCAUUCCUUCUAGGCUGCAGGUAGGUUCGAUUUAGUUUUUAGUGAACCUCAAGAAUGUUGAAAAUUGAUGCUUAAUUAUGACUUAUGACUUAUGAGUUAUGAUUGUGUUCGAAUUUUGUUGAUGUGUUCGAAUUUUUCAGCCUUAUGAAUUGGUGCAGUUGUUUCAAUUUUGUUCGAAUGAAUUGGUGCAGCCUUAUGAAUUGUGUUCGAAUUUUUCAGCCUUAUGAAUUGGUGCAGUUGUUUCAAUUUUGUUAGAAUGAAUUGGUGUAGCCUUAUGAAUUGUGUUCGAAUUUUUCAGCAUAGAUUCUUCAGUUGGAUUUUCGGAUUGUUAGGCGUAUGUAUUUCGGAUUUCUUGUCAUUUUGGAUUUUCGGAUUUUCGGAUUUUGCUUAUAUUUCGGAUUUUUUCGGUUUGGAUCGGAUUUUAUCCGAAAACUUCGGAUUUUCGGAUUCGGAUCAACGGAUUAUAUGGUUCGGAUUGGAUUUUAUUUUCUUCAAACUUCGGAUUUUCGAUCCGGCAAAAAUCCGAUCCGUAAUCCGAUGUUCCUAGACUUUAGAAGCAAACACAUAGGCGCCGCUAGACGCCUUAGAAUCUUCUCAAGUCACCUAAUUCCCCUGCCUCCCUUGGUUCCCCUUCUCCCUCGUCUCAUCUUCAAUUCCAGGCGCCUGGAGAUACAACAACAGAUUGAAGAAAAAUUAUCUUCUCAUCGUCUACAUCUUCCCCCUUCUCCUUAAAUCUGUAGAUCUUCUCAAAUCACACUUAAUUCCCUUGCUCCCUUCUGCAUCUUCCCCUUCUCCCUCGUCUGUUCUGCAUCUUCGCCUUCUCCCUUGUCUGCAUCUUCAAUUCCAACGCUACCCUUUUCCCUCAUCUGCAUCUUCCCUUUCUCUCUCGUCUGCAUCCGUCGCUUUUGUUAUUGCAGGCUGAAGAAGCAAGGUAAGCUACGGCAAUAUACAAAAAUCACUUGGGGAUUUGAACGCUAAGUUGCUCCAAUGUGAACUGCUUGCUUUCCCUUUUUUUAAAAAAUCUCAUUUGCAAUCCUAGUUCACAGUUACAUUAAAUUUAUCUUGUUUUCUCAUAUGUUUCUGUUUUCUUCAUAUUUCUUUAGAAAAAAAUUAUUUUUGUGCUAGGUAGAUUAUAUUAAUGUCUUUUGAUAAAUUUAAAUAAAUAUGACUUUUAUGAAUUUCUUUAAUUUUUUUUAAAUAAAAAAUAGUAUAAUUUUCAGUUGUCAUGAUUUACUUUGUUCUAUAUAGUUGUAAUUUUUUUUUUACUUUGAGAGGCUAUAAUUUUGUGGCAAAGCUCAUCUAUUGUUUUUGUUUAAUUGUGUUAUUGUGUAGAUUUGCGAGGAACACCCUUGUGAGAAACUUCACAACAACACAUGUAAGUUUUUUAUGAUUUUUUUAAUAAAUAAAGAUGAUUUUGAUGUUUUUAGGGAGUUUUUUUAAAUAAAUAAAAUACGAUUAUUUCAUUUUGAUUUUAGUGCAGAUUUUGAUAUGUAUAGAUUAGUAUUAUCAAAGCUUUGAAAACCUUACAGCUAAGUAUUUUCAUAUGUGCGUCAAUUUAAGUAUUUUCAUAUGUGCGUCAAUCUUUGAAAAGCUUUGGGUUUCUGAUUGGUGUAGUUUGUUUUCUUGUAAAAUGAUUUCUUUUAUUUAGGAUGCUGAUGGGUAUUGUUUCUUGAGGUUUCAUGUUAAGCUAUAUACAUGGAUUUGAAUUAUUAUUGAAUUUACUAAGGUUAUUUGCAAGUCAAACAUCUCGAUUGAGCUUAAAUAUUUCUGUGAUUUGAAGCUCAUUUUGUUGUUUUUUGGAUUGUGUGCUAAGUAAAUAAAUUUGAUGUAUUCUAAAUCUGAAUACAGAUUUAGUUGGUCUGGUUUGUUGAAAUUUUCAGUGGAUGAUAUAGAUAAGAUUUAGAUAUGAAUUUGAAGUAAAAUCUGAAAAUUUUCCCGCUAACAGCAGCUAGUAUGCUCAGGUUUUGUUAAAAAACCACUGUUUUGGCAGCUAGUGUACUUAGAUUGAAUGUCUUUUGAUAAGAAAAAUAAAUACAGAAAAAAAAAAUUCAUUUCUUUUUUCAUCUCGUUUCAAUCGAAAAUAUUCAAUAUCAAUACUCCUUGCAUCAUAUAGAAGAAUCAUUAGGAGCCAUUAUAUAUUAUAUUUACAUUCAUUUGUAGCAAAAAAAAGGUAACAGAAAUGGUAGAUAACAUGAUAGUAUUAAAUUUCUCUUAUGAAAAUAACAUAUGAUUUUUUUUUCUCCUUGAUGAUAAUAUAUAUAAAUCAUGAAUAUAUACUAAAACCAUUUUUCUUGUGGGUGUUGCAAUAGGAGAGGUUCCAUUUUCAUGCUCCAGAUUAAAUUUCUCUUAUGAAAAUAACAUUAUAUGAUUUUUUUUCUCCUUGAUGAUAAUAAUCAUGAAUAUAUACUAAAACCAUUUUUCUUUUCGGUGUAGCAGAUUGUAGAGGUUCCAUUUUCAUGCUCCAGAUCUUCACCUGCAUACAAAAUUAAAAAAUUACUAUCAAUUGCAAAUAUCAUUGUUUUAGAAUUUAUUGUAAUAAUUGGGUUGUAAAUUUUCCAAAAAAAAAAAUAUAAAUAGAAGGACCACAUAAAAAUUAUAAAACACAAAAUGACAAAAAAUAAUUAGAGCAACCAAGAAUAGAGAGAGAAAGUUACCUUAGUGAAAUAUGGUCUGAAAUGAUUUGGUAUUUAUAGGCUGAGUAUUCAUCAAUUUGGCUCCAAUGUUGGUUAUUUAUGAAUUUCAAAUGUGUAUCUGGGCGCCAGUUUUUGGAGCUAAAUUCUAAAGAACCAGCUGUAUAAAGCAAAAGUAAAUAUUAAAAUAUUAAAUUUUUACAGUUUUGAUGCAGUUUGUACACGCAAUGACAGAUUAUAUAUCUGCGCAGCCUCUGCUUUCCACAUGCACAAACAGAAGCAACAUAUAUGCAAUAAGAAAUAUAAAAUUUUGGAAUUUUUAAUGCAGUCACAAACUUGAGCCCGAAGUCACAAAUUUUACCCAGCGGAUAGAAAAGCUCGAUAUUUACUGGAUAAAAGGCAGCUACUUUUGGCGAGAAACACGUUCCCCAAAAAUCUAUACUUUAAUAUUAGUAUAGAUGGCGAAUGCGGAGGCGGAGGCCGUCGAUUUCGAGCCUGAGGAGGACGAUCUUAUGGACGAGGAUGUCGGCGAUGGCUCCCCCAACCGAGCCACCGUUCCUCGCCUGAAGUCCGCCAUCACCGGCGGCGGCUCCUCCACCGCUCCAAAGAAGACCAAGGGCCGCGGGUUUCGCGACGAGGCCGCUGCUGAAGCGGACCGAAAUGCUCGCAUGUCCGCCCCCUUCGAUUCGCUCGAUUCAGAAGGCGGUCCUGGCCCCGAACGAUGUCAGUAUCCAAAACCCUAAUUAUUUUUGAAUUAUUCCGUUUUUUAUUUUUCCAUUUAGGUUAUUUGUGUGAAUUCACCUUGCUUCUAACCGUUCUGUUGAUAUCUUUGUUCGGACAUAGUUGCUGUAUUAGAAAUUUGAAAACAUGUUAUAUUUUAGAUCAGUUUCAGUAGAACCAUUUUGGUGUAUAGUAUAAUUGAGCUUGAUACUCUCGCUUGGGUUGCUUUUUGGGUAGUGUUUACAUUUUCCCUUGCACUCAUAGUGUGGGAGAAGUGAGCUCUAGAUGUACUACUGAUUGAAUUUGUUCGGGUGUUUGACACUGUUGUUUGUUGCAAAUUCGAAGUGGAGGCAUGUUUGAUUAGAUGGCACCAUUUGUUUUUCAUAAAAACUUCAAUUGGAUAUUGGGAUAGAAGUUGAGGUCUAGUUGUGAUUGCACUUUUGUAGCUAUUGAAGGAUGGAUUAUUCUGGUUACUGGAGUUCAUGAAGAGGCUCAAGAGGACGAUCUGCAAAACGCAUUUGGUGAUUUUGGAGAGAUAAAGAAUUUACACUUGAAUCUCGAUCGUCGUACGGGUUUUGUCAAGGUAUAUAAAUCUUGCGUUCUUUUACGAUUCGUUAUGAAAGUUACCUGCUAUAUACUAAUUAUGUAACAUGUUAAAGAGAAAUCUAAUGACAUUCUAUAUGAUGUUUAUCAGGAUUAACUUUAAAUGUUAUGUAAAUCUUCUUCUUCUUCUUCCACAUUUUUACAUUUUACACUUUGUUGAAUUUGAAGGCAUACCAUCCCUUUCUGCAACCGCUUUAGAUGAUAUUAUAACAUAGAUUCUCUGUAUCAGCAAUUGAGGAUCCUGUAAAAUAGUUUAAUGUUAUAGCCCGGAUGAACAUUUUGAGUCUUACAAACUACCCUUGUGUGUAGAUGGGCUCCAAGAAAAGAUUAUUAUUUACUCUGAGUUGCCUAAGCAGCAUAUUUGCAUCUCUGAAGCAGUCUUUACUCACAAAGGGAUUAGUCAGCAUGUUUCUUUUUCUGCUCGACACCCUCAUGUUUUUCUCGAUAAUAAUCUAUUUAUCUUUCCCUUGACUAUGUCGCUUGUAUAUCCAUUGUCCACUAAAUGUGUUAUGGUAUUUUCUAGGGCUAUGCUCUAAUUGAAUUUGAGAAGUUUGAGGAGGCACAGAGAGCCAUAAAUGAGAUGAAUGGAACUGAACUCCUAACCCAGACCAUGAAUGUUGACUGGGCGUUCAGCAAAGGUCCAUUCAGAAGAAGGAACAUUAGGAGGAGGUAUGUGAUCUCAAAUUCUCUGCAACAACAAUAUAAGUCCCUCUGUUCUUUCUAAAUGUCUAACUCAAAUUAUGGGUUCUUAUUACUGUUGCUCAUAGUAUAGGACUAGGAAAUAGCUGUACCAAACAUGAUAGUGCUCCCCAUGUACUUUUGGAGCCAGAGGUAAUGUGCAGAGCUUGGGAAAUACUGAUACUGGAAAUGUGCAUGUGUCACUUAUUACCUUAACAGACAAAUACAUCAUUUGGAAUGUUGUUGAGGGGGCAUGUUAAAUAUUUUAAUUAUCAGUUAGGGUUUGUAAUAAUUCAGACAUGGUGAAUCAAUGUUAGGAUACGUAACCUUGAAAAAUCUCUCCACUUUGAAAAUAUGUUAGAUGACACUCUUCAAAUCUAGUUUUGAGUGACCCAUAUUAGGUUGGUAAUAAUUUUGAAUUGUCUUGUAGUGGGAGUUGGAACAACCACAUUAUAAAAAGGGCAUGUAAUUGGGGAUUAAAAAGUUUACAAACCCUCUUUUCAUGUCUGGAUCCUAUCCGACUGUUACUGUUUUGUGAUUCAUCAUUUUUAUUGAAAUCUUCUACAGAUCACCUCGGGGUCAUCAUUCCAGGAGUCCAAGGACGAGAUUCUGAUCAUGGUGGCAUGUGAGAGUUUUUGGCACUUUGAUUUAGAGUGAAGAUACAAAUGUGAAUCUUUGUUAACUUUUAACAAUGUGUACGAUUGUUGUUUCUGUUGUCAGUUUUCGUUCAUUGACUUCAUUUCAGCUGUAAUAACGUAUUUAUGAGGCUUCUUUGGAUUGCUCUUCCUGGCUUGCUAUUUAUAUAGGUUGGUACUUUAGUUGAAGGAUGUUCCAAUGUUGUGUUCUUAUUGAUUCCGAUCAGUGUAUUCAUUGCCUUUUUGAUUGGUAUUUGUGCUUGUCUUGUUGUAAGAUCAUCAUUUUGUUUUGGGAUAAUCAUAAUUUGUCAUUAACUUUUACGUUUUUUUUAAAUUCUAUAUAUAUAUAAAAGCUCAUCCAACUUCACAAUUUUUUUCCCGCCCAAAACUAGAGUGUAAUUUCUAUACCAAUCACUAUUUAGUCCUAUCUUAAAUUUGGUAAUUAACAAUUAAUUAAAGCAUUAAAUAUGAUAAUUAGUUGAUAUUAUAAAUAUUGUUAUAAUAUAAAAAGACAUUCAACAUUAAAAAGUAUAGAUUACUUAUACUUUUAAAUAAUUUAGUUAAAUAACUAUUACCGUGCAUCGCACGGGAGCAAAACUAGUAAGACUUAAAUAGCACAGCCAAAAAGCACAUAAUAACCCCUCGUUUUUCUACUUAUUUGUCUACUCAUUAGCACAACCCUCGUUUUUCUUCAAAAUCCCUUUAGCCCUUCCCCUCCUAUCCCCAAAUCUAAACCUAGCUAAAUAUCUGCUUCAAUGGCGAAUGCGGAGGCGGAGGCCGUCGAUUUCGAGCCUGAGGAGGACGAUCUUAUGGACGAGGAUGUCGGCGAUGGCUCCCCCAACCGAGCCACCGUUCCUCGCCUGAAGUCCGCCAUCACCGGCGGCGGCUCCUCCACCGCUCCAAAGAAGACCAAGGGCCGCGGGUUUCGCGACGAGGCCGCUGCUGAAGCGGACCGAAAUGCUCGCAUGUCCGCCCCCUUCGAUUCGCUCGAUUCAGAAGGCGGUCCUGGCCCCGAACGAUGUCAGUAUCCAAAACCCUAAUUAUUUUUGAAUUAUUCCGUUUUUAUUUUUCCAUUUAGGUUAUUUGUGUGAAUUCACCUUGCUUCUAACCGUUCUGUUGAUAUCUUUGUUCGGACAUAGUUGCUGUAUUAGAAAUUUGAAAACAUGUUAUAUUUUAGAUCAGUUUCAGUAGAACCAUUUUGGUGUAUAGUAUAAUUGAGCUUGAUACUCUCGCUUGGGUUGCUUUUUGGGUAGUGUUUACAUUUUCCCUUGCACUCAUAGUGUGGGAGAAGUGAGCUCUAGAUGUACUACUGAUUGAAUUUGUUCGGGUGUUUGACACUGUUGUUUGGUGCAAAUUCGAAGUGGAGGCAUGUUUGAUUAGAUGGCACCAUUUGUUUUUCAUAAAAACUUCAAUUGGAUAUUGGGAUAGAAGUUGAGGUCUAGUUGUGAUUGCACUUUUGUAGCUAUUGAAGGAUGGAUUAUUCUGGUUACUGGAGUUCAUGAAGAGGCUCAAGAGGACGAUCUGCAAAACGCAUUUGGUGAUUUUGGAGAGAUAAAGAAUUUACACUUGAAUCUCGAUCGUCGUACGGGUUUUGUCAAGGUAUAUAAAUCUUGCGUUCUUUUACGAUUCGUUAUGAAAGUUACCUGCUAUAUACUAAUUAUGUAACAUGUUAAAGAGAAAUCUAAUGACAUUCUAUAUGAUGUUUAUCAGGAUUAACUUUAAAUGUUAUGUAAAUCUUCUUCUUCUUCUUCCACAUUUUUACAUUUUACACUUUGUUGAAUUUGAAGGCAUACCAUCCCUUUCUGCAACCGCUUUAGAUGAUAUUAUAACAUAGAUUCUCUGUAUCAGCAAUUGAGGAUCCUGUAAAAUAGUUUAAUGUUAUAGCCCGGAUGAACAUUUUGAGUCUUACAAACUACCCUUGUGUGUAGAUGGGCUCCAAGAAAAGAUUAUUAUUUACUCUGAGUUGCCUAAGCAGCAUAUUUGCAUCUCUGAAGCAGUCUUUACUCACAAAGGGAUUAGUCAGCAUGUUUCUUUUUCUGCUCGACACCCUCAUGUUUUUCUCGAUAAUAAUCUAUUUAUCUUUCCCUUGACUAUGUCGCUUGUAUAUCCAUUGUCCACUAAAUGUGUUAUGGUAUUUUCUAGGGCUAUGCUCUAAUUGAAUUUGAGAAGUUUGAGGAGGCACAGAGAGCCAUAAAUGAGAUGAAUGGAACUGAACUCCUAACCCAGACCAUGAAUGUUGACUGGGCGUUCAGCAAAGGUCCAUUCAGAAGAAGGAACAUUAGGAGGAGGUAUGUGAUCUCAAAUUCUCUGCAACAACAAUAUAAGUCCCUCUGUUCUUUCUAAAUGUCUAACUCAAAUUAUGGGUUCUUAUUACUGUUGCUCAUAGUAUAGGACUAGGAAAUAGCUGUACCAAACAUGAUAGUGCUCCCAUGACUUUUGGAGCCAGAGGUAAUGUGCAGAGCUUGGGAAAUACUGAUACUGGAAAUGUGCAUGUGUCACUUAUUACCUUAACAGACAAAUACAACAUUUGGAAUGUUGUUGAGGGGGCACGUUAAAUAUUUUAAUUAUCAGUUAGGGUUUGUAAUAAUUCAGACAUGGUGAAUCAAUGUUAGGAUACGUAACCUUGAAAAAUCUCUCCACUUUGAAUAUGUUAGAUGACACUCUUCAUAUCUAGUUUUGAGUGACCCAUAUUAGGUUGGUAAUAAUUUUGAAUUGUCUUGUAGUGGGAGUUGGAACAACCACAUUAUAAAAAGGGCAUGUAAUUGGGGAUUAAAAAGUUUACAAACCCUCUUUUCAUGUCUGGAUCCUAUCCGACUGUUACUGUUUUGUGAUUCAUCAUUUUUAUUGAAAUCUUCUACAGAUCACCUCGGGGUCAUCAUUCCAGGAGUCCAAGGAGGAGAUUCUGAUCAUGGUGGCAUGUGAGAGUUUUUGGCACUUUGAUUUAGAGUGAAGAUACAAAUGUGAAUCUUUGUUAACUUUUAACAAUGUGUACGAUUGUUGUUUCUGUUGUCAGUUUUCGUUCAUUGACUUCAUUUCAGCUGUAUUAACGUAUUUAUGAGGCUUCUUUGGAUUGCUCUUCCUGGCUUGCUAUUUAUAUAGGUUGGUACUUUAGUUGAAGGAUGUUCCAAUGUUGUGUUCUUAUUGAUUCCGAUCAGUGUAUUCAUUGCCUUUUUGAUUGGUAUUUGUGCUUGUCUUGUUGUAAGAUCAUCAUUUUGUUUUGGGAUAAUCAUAAUUUGUCAUUAACUUUUACGUUUUUUUUAAAUCUAUGUAUAUAUAUAAAAGCUCAUCCAACUUCACAAUUUUUUUCCCGCCCAAAACUAGAGUGUAAUUUCUAUACCAAUCACUAUUUAGUCCUAUCUUAAAUUUGGUAAUUAACAAUUAAUUAAAGCAUUAAAUAUGAUAAUUAGUUGAUAUUAUAAAUAUUGUUAUAAUAUAAAAAGACAUUCAACAUUAAAAAGUAUAGAUUACUUAUACUUUUAAAUAAUUUAGUUAAAUAACUAUUACCGUGCAUCGCACGGGAGCAAAACUAGUAAGACUUAAAUAGCACAGCCAAAAAGCACAUAAUAACCCCUCGUUUUUCUACUUAUUUGUCUACUCAUUAGCACAACCCUCGUUUUUCUUCAAAAUCCCUUUAGCCCUUCCCCUCCUAUCCCCAAAUCUAAACCUAGCUAAAUAUCUGCUUCAAUGGCGAAUGCGGAGGCGGAGGCCGUCGAUUUCGAGCCUGAGGAGGACGAUCUUAUGGACGAGGAUGUCGGCGAUGGCUCCCCCAACCGAGCCACCGUUCCUCGCCUGAAGUCCGCCAUCACCGGCGGCGGCUCCUCCACCGCUCCAAAGAAGACCAAGGGCCGCGGGUUUCGCGACGAGGCCGCUGCUGAAGCGGACCGAAAUGCUCGCAUGUCCGCCCCCUUCGAUUCGCUCGAUUCAGAAGGCGGUCCUGGCCCCGAACGAUGUCAGUAUCCAAAACCCUAAUUAUUUUUGAAUUAUUCCGUUUUUUAUUUUUCCAUUUAGGUUAUUUGUGUGAAUUCACCUUGCUUCUAACCGUUCUGUUGAUAUCUUUGUUCGGACAUAGUUGCUGUAUUAGAAAUUUGAAAACAUGUUAUAUUUUAGAUCAGUUUCAGUAGAACCAUUUUGGUGUAUAUUAUAAUCGAGCUUGAUACUCUCGCUUGGGUUGCUUUUUGGGUAGUGUUUACAUUUUCCCUUGCACUCAUAGUGUGGGAGAAGUGAGCUCUAGAUGUACUACUGAUUGAAUUUGUUCGGGUGUUUGACACUGUUGUUUGUUGCAAAUUCGAAGUGGAGGCAUGUUUGAUUAGAUGACACCAUUUGUUUUUCAUAAAAACUUCAAUUGGAUAUUGGGAUAGAAGUUGAGGUCUAGUUGUGAUUGCACUUUUGUAGCUAUUGAAGGAUGGAUUAUUCUGGUUACUGGAGUUCAUGAAGAGGCUCAAGAGGACGAUCUGCAAAACGCAUUUGGUGAUUUUGGAGAGUUAAAGAAUUUACACUUGAAUCUCGAUCGUCGUACGAGUUUUGUCAAGGUAUACAAAUCUUGCGUUCUUUUACGAUUCGUUAUGAAAGUUACCUGCUAUAUACUAAUUAUGUAACAUGUUAAAGAGAAAUCUAAUGACAUUCUAUAUGAUGUUUAUCAGGAUUAACUUUAAAUGUUAUGUAAAUCUUCUUCUUCUUCUUCCACAUUUUUACAUUUUACACUUUGUUGAAUUUGAAGGCAUACCAUCCCUUUCUGCAACCGCUUUAGAUGAUAUUAUAACAUAGAUUACUCUGUAUCAGCAAUUGAGGAUCCUGUAAAAUAGUUUAAUGUUAUAGCCCGGAUGAACAUUUUGAGUCUUACAAACUACCCUUGUGUGUAGAUGGGCUCCAAGAAAAGAUUAUUAUUUACUCUGAGUUGCCUAACCAGCAUAUUUGCAUCUCUGAAGCAGUCUUUACUCACAAAGGGAUUAGUCAGCAUGUUUCUUUUUCUGCUCGACACCCUCAUGUUUUUCUCGAUAAUAAUCUAUUUAUCUUUCCCUUGACUAUGUCGCUUGUAUAUCCAUUGUCCACUAAAUGUGUUAUGGUAUUUUCUAGGGCUAUGCUCUAAUUGAAUUUGAGAAGUUUGAGGAGGCACAGAGAGCCAUAAAUGAGAUGAAUGGAACUGAACUCCUAACCCAGACCAUGAAUGUUGACUGGGCGUUCAGCAAAGGUCCAUUCAGAAGAAGGAACAUUAGGAGGAGGUAUGUGAUCUCAAAUUCUCUGCAACAACAAUAUAAGUCCCUCUGUUCUUUCUAAAUGUCUAACUCAAAUUAUGGGUUCUUAUUACUGUUGCUCAUAGUAUAGGACUAGGAAAUAGUUGUACCAAACAUGAUAGUGCUCCCCAUGUACUUUUGGAGCCAGAGGUAAUGUGCAGAGCUUGGGAAAUACUGAUACUGGAAAUGUGCAUGUGUCACUUAUUACCUUAACAGACAAAUACAUCAUUUGGAAUGUUGUUGAGGGGGCAUGUUAAAUAUUUUAAUUAUCAGUUAGGGUUUGUAAUAAUUCAGACAUGGUGAAUCAAUGUUAGGAUACGUAACCUUGAAAAAUCUCUCCACUUUGAAUAUGUUAGAUGACACUCUUCAAAUCUAGUUUUGAGUGACCCAUAUUAGGUUGGUAAUAAUUUUGAAUUGUCUUGUAGUGGGAGUUGGAACAACCACAUUAUAAAAAGGGCAUGUAAUUGGGGAUUAAAAAGUUUACAAACCCUCUUUUCAUGUCUGGAUCCUAUCCGACUGUUACUGUUUUGUGAUUCAUCAUUUUUAUUGAAAUCUUCUACAGAUCACCUCGGGGUCAUCAUUCCAGGAGUCCAAGGAGGAGAUUCUGAUCAUGGUGGCAUGUGAGAGUUUUUGGCACUUUGAUUUAGAGUGAAGAUACAAAUGUGAAUCUUUGUUAACUUUUAACAAUGUGUACGAUUGUUGUUUCUGUUGUCAGUUUUCGUUCAUUGACUUCAUUUCAGCUGUAUUAACGUAUUUAUGAGGCUUCUUUGGAUUGCUCUUCCUGGCUUGCUAUUUAUAUAGGUUGGUACUUUAGUUGAAGGAUGUUCCAAUGUUGUGUUCUUAUUGAUUCCGAUCAGUGUAUUCAUUGCCUUUUUGAUUGGUAUUUGUGCUUGUCUUGUUGUAAGAUCAUCAUUUUGUUUUGGGAUAAUCAAAAUUUGUCAUUAACUUUUACGUUUUUUUUUAAAUCUAUAUAUAUAAAAGCUCAUCCAACUUCACAAUUUUUUCCCGCCCAAAACUAGAGUGUAAUUUCUAUACCAAUCACUAUUUAGUCCUAUCUUAAAUUUGGUAAUUAACAAUUAAUUAAAGCAUUAAAUAUGAUAAUGUCACGACCGGCCCUAAUUAAGGAUAAUUAAGCCAGGGAAACCGUGACUAAUGGAGGGAGAUUAGAAGCGGGGUAGAAAGGGGAUAAUCAAACAAGGAAGGAUCGCAUUUCAUCAUUUAACAAAAGGGAUAUUUAUAAUAUAACAGAGGUUUAGUCGUAUAGACUCAAAUAACUAAUAAGUUCAGAUAACUCUGACUUAGCCAAAAUAACAUAAAACUUCUGAGUACGCAGCGGAAUAAGGUUCUGAUUACAUGUAUGAAGACAUGUAACCCUAGAGUUUUUCAUAGCAUAUAAUAUUGCGACAAAAGAGGAUUCCACUCGUCACUUCAUCACCAUCGUCUACUGCUCAACCUGCACAUUUAGAAACACAUGCAGGGCUGAGUACAAAGGUACUCAGUGGGCACAUAUGCCUACUAUGAAAUAUAACAUGCUUCGUAAAGAUUUAAAUUGUCAUGCCAUCAUAAACAGUACAACAAGGGGUUUUUCGCUAAAAAGGCCCAAGCUUACUAAAUUCAGUUGUGAUUCUUAAAGUUCGACUGCAGUCUAAGUUCUCUUGUAAUCUAUCAUAUCUGGAACUGUGUGCCGGAGAGGUGGCCACCUCUCACGGUCACUUGACCGGCCAACCCGCUAGAUGACUCACGGUCACUGGUGUACACUAGCCCUGGCAGGAUAGCUAUCAACUGCUCAGGACCCGAAUUCGAUUGCAUAAUAACUGGCAAAGCCACAUCAGAUAGAUAUCAUACCAAACAUUGAAACAUUUAUGGCAAGACAACAUUUGAAAUAAUUUUCAGUUCAAUGAUUUUGCAAUGAAAUAACUGUUCAAACAUAACAUUAAACUCAUUUGAUAUAUAUGAAAGUAACCCACCUGAUAGCAAAGCUUUGCUACAGAUUAGUGACUCCUUGACGAGCUCUUAUUCUUUGCGCUCGACCUUUAAUCCGAGAAAAUAACGUAAGACUUUAAAUCGAGAGAAAAUUCUCAAUUAAAUGAGAAUGCGUAAUUUAACUAUGCAUGAAUCUCGUAUGCAUGAUCUAUUAUUCUGAGAUAAUAAUCAGGGAAUUUCUAUUGUUAAUCCAGAUUAUCGGAUUUAAACAAAAGCUAAGUCUCGUCUCAUGAAGCCGGAUAAUUAACAAAAAUUAAUCCGUUCUCUUCGGGGUGUUCUAAUCCGUCAAUUAAAUAAACCCCGCUCCUCGUAGUCAAAAGAAAAUAAAUAAAUACUUCAGCUUAUUCGAUUUAUAACCUCAUAAUUAAUCAGCUUAAUAAAUAGGAAUAAGUAAUGUUAUAAGAUUAAAUAAUUAAAAGGCUCAACAUAAGGCAACCUAAUAAUUAAUUAAGCAGGGGUGGGCCUGAAUUAAAUAAAUCAUGGCAGCCCAAAUAAAAUAAUGAGGGGCUCCAAAUAACAAUACUAAUAAUUUUGAGCUCAAAUGUGUGAAUUAAAUAAUUGGCUCAAAUGAAUAAAUAAAUCUGGACGGCCUAUAGAACAUAUAUGAGGCGGCCCAACGGAAUAAAAUACGAGGCCCGAAUAGUGAAUGAAAUCGGCCCAAUUACUGAAUAAACGAUUGGACUCAAUUAAAUAAUGCAUGGCCCAAUGAAUAAAUCUCCAGCCCAUUCUAAUUAAUUUAACUUCAGCCCAAGAUAAAAUAAAACAAAAGCCCAAAGAAAUUAAAAUGAAAAAGCCCAAUCUUUAGCCCAACAACAAAAAUAACAAAAAUAAAAGCCCAACAUCCAUUUUUCUCCCCCCCAAGUCUCUCGGUUCUCUCUCUCAAUAUGUCUCUGCGCCCUCUCUCUCUCUCCACGCGAGUCCUGCCGCCGCCGUCUCCGGCUGUUUCAGCCGCCAUCGAUCCGGCGCCCUUCUUUCACGUCGGCCACCCUUCUCCUUCCACGUUCUCUCUUCUCACAGCGCCUUUCAAAUCUAUGAAGGAAACCCAAAAAGGGAAGCCCCAAAUUUUAUUUCCUCCUCUGCCUGAACCCGCCGCCGCCGCUGCUGAGGAACCGGCGAGUGGCCGUCGUUCUAAGCUUCAUGUUCGGUUGAGGGCGCCGCCCCUCUCAUCCGAUUCACCUUCCUCAGUCUCGACGAAGCAACCCAACCGAGCCCUAGGUUCCUUCGGCUCAAGCGACAUCGCCGCCACUGCCUGGGCUCGAUCGCGCUUCAGAAAUUCCGGCGGAGUCGACGCCGCUCUUCGGCUUUGCCUGAAAACUGGCGUCCCUCCUCCCACUUCACAGAUGCGAGGUAGAAAGGAGGUGAGCCCUAAUUUCCUGAAUCAGAAAUCGUCACUUCUCUGUCAUUUCCGGCGAGUCGACGCUGCACCCUGACUACGGCGCCGUCCUCUCGGCGCUCCUCACUUUCAGGUACCUCCAAAGGAGCCCUAAUUUCUACCUCUUAGGCUCGUCGCGCCUGAAACUCACCACGCCGCCGGGCCUCAUUCUCCCUUGGCUGGCCGGAGCUUGUGGGUUCUCGCCGUCUUCUACGACGGUCAUCAUCGCUGGAGUUUGUUCGCCAUGGAUGCCGCUGACGCUGCACCUCUCUGGCGAGGCCGUGCCCUACUGUUGGCGCUGCUCUGCUCGGUUCCUUCGCCGCGUUGCCACGCCGUCUCGAGUCGUUGCCACUCUAUCCAUCGGGACAGAAAUUCCCUUUGGUUCUAGCUCUCCGAACCAUCAUUCUCGGCAGUUCACACCUCCCCCUUGUUGAUCAGUCACUGGUCCUCAAUUCAACACUCAAGCCUAAGCCGAGCUCUCUCGGCUCGGUUUCAAACUAAAGUAAUAGGAUGCAGUUAAACAAGGUAAAGUUUUCUUGUUUUCUUUCUGGUUGUGGUUGAGCUAAUCAUCUAGUUCUCUAUCAUUCUAUAGUUGUAGUAUUUGUAUUUCUAUACAACUGAAAACAUAUGCUUGAGGGUAUGAAGCAUGGAAUUGAACUGAAAUGAGAUGGUGUAAAUACCUUGCGUAUUUUGUGCUUGGUUGGCUGAUGCAUUUUUCUUUAGUUCAGUGGGGAUUUGCUGAAAUAAGUUGUGAUGUGCUUUGUCACAAUUGCAGGAAAAAAAAAUAUGGAAGAAGGUGAAAAAUCAAGCCAAGGCUUACCUUAAGUUUAAGCAGAAGCUUGAAUGAGCUCUCUCUCUCUCUCAUUCUCUUGUUGGCGUGUGAAGAAGUGAUGAGAAUUGCUUGGCUGAUGAUUUAAAAGAUGAAGUUGUUGGCUGAUACUACAAGGGUGUGAAUUGUGUCUGCCUUUAGAGUAGGUGUAGUCAUAGUUUGCGGCUGAGGUGAUGGGCUGUAGGUGGUUGAGUGACAUGGUCAAAAUUUGCAGCUGUUCUGCACUCCUCCGCACGCCCCUUUUUCCUCCUUUUUAUGGAAUAGGGUAGUCUUAUUGUAGGAGUAGGAAAUAUGGUGAUUGUAAGUGUAAAAGCUUUGACGUGAUGAUACAAAAAUCCCUCUAAUUCGAUCAUUUUGUAACUAAUUAUUAGUAUCUGUAAUAUUGCGCAUUCAUAGUCGAAUACUAAUUACUCUAAUAAAUCUCGUACUUCAAUAUCUGAUUUCUUGCGUGCUAAAUAAUUCUAAAUUAAAUCUGUAGCUUUAAUUAGCUUAAUAAGUCAAAAUCAAUCCACGACUUCAAGAAGAUAAUAAAAUAAUAUUUCUAUCACUUGUAAAUAAUAACACGACUUUACUGAUCUUAAUUGUGGAUUAAAAAGUUUACAAACCCUCUUUUCAUGUCUUUCGUUCCGACUUUUGCUGUUUUGUGAUUCAUUAUUUUUCUUUCAGUCUUCUUCAGCUCCCUCGUGGUUUUCCCUUAUUUAUGGUGUCUCCAUGAGAUUUUCACUGAGUGAUGGACUAGUUCCUAAUCAGUUGCACUUAUCAAUCCAAGUAUUGGUUUUUUUUUUUUUUUUUACUAAAUCUUGGACUAAACACGUGUUUUGGAUUUAAAAGAGACUUCCUGAGUUGGGAUAUGGAGAAAACAUUGGGCAUUCCCAUAACUUGGCAGUGACGCCUAUCCAUAAUAGGCUUUUAGGCAUAUUUCCUAGAAUCGUGUAUGGUCUCACAAGUNCGCUGAUCACCACGCUGAGCCUCCGUUUGUCCCGCCCCCAUUUCUCUCAACUAUUCAUUCCUCUCAAACUCUCUGGAGAAGAUGAAGAUGAAAGCCCUAAUUCCUCUCCAAUUCAGAAAUCGUCACCACCGCGGUUCUCCGCCCGUCCUAGGCGCCGACGACCGGUUUUUUCCGGAUUCUGGCGCUGAUCUGCUUCCGCGGACCCUCUUCUCACUCUCGCGCACACAAUUGAAGCAGAGGUUGAGACAUAGUUCUCUCGGCUCAGGCAAAAUCACCGCCGCCGCCGCGCACAGAACCGCCGGCCAUCAUCUUCUUGCGGCAUCCACCGCGAAUGACCCCGAUGAGACCAUGUCCGGUUGAGGGCGCCGCCCCUCUCAUCCGAUUCACCUUCCUCAGUCUCGACGAAGCAACCCAACCGAGCCCUAGGUUCCUUCGGCUCAAGCGACAUCGCCGCCACUGCCUGGGCUCGAUCGCGCUUCAGAAUUCCGGCGGAGUCGACGCCGCUCUUCGGCUUGCCGUCUCCUGAAAACUGGCGUCCCUCCUCUCACUUCACAGAUGCGAGGUAGAAAGGAGGUGAGCCCUAAUUUCCUGAAUCAGAAAUCGACAUGGUAACCUCCGCUGCCGCUCUGUGAACUGGCGAGAGCCUUCACUGUCGUCGUCGCCGGGUCUUCCCCUGAUCUCGCCCGACGAGCAGCAGAGCUCUGCCUCCGCCGAUGCUCCUCGGUUCGGCGAAACAGGGCAACCUCCCCUUCUUAAUGAAAGCUAAGUUCAUUCUUAAUACUCUAUUGUGAACGAAACUCAAAGUUUGUUGUAAACCCAGUUCAUAAUUCUAUUGAGCUCUAGCAUUUCUAUAAUUCGAUUAUGCAGUGGGUAAAACUAGCCAUAGUAGUUUGUUUAUCAUGCUUAAGUGUAGAGCAUGUAUGAUGGGAAAGUAGUAUAUGGAGCUCAAUGAAUACCUUGAAUGCUUUGCGAAUGUUUGCCUGUUUGGUGCAUGGUUGGUUGCUGCUGUUGUUGAAUCCAGAGGAUAGGAACUGAAAUGAACUGUGGAUUGCUUUCAUAGUGGAUGCAGGCUGAAAUUCAAGAAAGAAGUUUGCUGCUGAAUUGUUAAAGGCGUGAAUUUGGUAGUUAUACUUGAGUAUCUAGUCCUCUAUGCCAUGUGAAAGCCUUGAGAGAGAAUAGGUAGAGUUGCGGCUGAUUGGUCUCAUUUUUCUCUCCCGCAUGCUUGUAUGAUUGACAGCUUCUCUCUUUUUUUCUCUCCCGCAUGCUUGUAGGUAUGUAGCUGUAGUGUUUUGUGAUAGUGAUAGGUUUUGAUUGUAAGUAGGGAAUAGUGGUGAUGUAAAUAAUUCCCUACAGUCAUUGUGUAAAGUUGUAUCUGAAAAUCUAAUUUCUUUGUAUCAUCGCAUAUCUAUAAAAUCGAUUCUAGGUUUUGCUGAAUAACUAUGCUUCGAUAUAACAUCUCUACGAAUUAAAUAACUAAUUUAACUCGUUCUCAUUAGUCGGAACUAAAUCACGACUUUCAAGUAACUAAUAGAAAUAAAAUCUCUAUCGCAUAUAAAAUAACAACUUUAACUUGACUUUGCUAAGUCAAUUAUAAAUCUGAAAAUAUAAAUUAUUGACUGGCUCAAUAAUUUAUAUUGCGGUUUUUCUCACUCGAGCUAACAAGCACAACUAAAAUAAUAAUAGGCAUAGUAUACUUACAAUUUAGAAUCAUAGCUGAAAUUUUAAACAUAAAUAAUUACUGGGCUUUNUUUUUAUUAUUAUUAUUAUUUAGUGAAUGAUGCAACAAUAAUUAUCGCAUUACUGGUCUUAAUCAUAAAUAAAAGAGCGGGCUACUACAGAUGGCAGCGUCGAGCUUAUGCGGAAGCUGCAUGAAGCGUCGGAGACGGUCGACGCCGGCCACGUGGCUAGGAUGAAGAAUAGUGAGGUAUAUUUAAAAGGGGUUAUAAGUGCUGAGGCUCGAGCGAAUGAAAUGGUGGUUAGAUUUACUUUCUCGAGUAUGUGUGUGCAGGUUUCCUUUUUACGAAACGGAUUUCGGGUGGGGCAGACCCGUUUGGGUCGGGUUUCCCUACAAGAAUGGGGUAAUUUUUAUGGAUACCAAGAGUGAGGAUGGAAUAUAGAAGUAGUAAUUUAAUUAACCAAGCAAAAAUAUGGAAAAAUUCGCAGCUGAUUUAAUGUUAUUUGUUAAGUGUUGAAGAGUAAUUUGUAAUAAAAAGAAUUGAAUUAAUUAAUAUAUAAAUAAGGCAUUAAUGUAUUGCUCUGGUGUCUAUAAUUUUCAUUUAUAUAUAUGAAUGGAUUAUAUUGGAAAUUAAUAUUAUCAUUCGUCAAAAAUGAAAAUGAUUGCAUAAGUCAAUAUAUAAUAUUGUAUAAGUUGCAAUAUAUAAUAAAAAUCGCCGACAACUCUUUCUUCUUUCCUACACUCGGUUCCUUCCCUAAACCUCGUCGCUUUCAUCGUACUUCAUUUGUAUACUAUAAUAUACAUAUUUGUUCUCUCAUACAUAUUUGUUCUCUCAUUAGGACCUUUUUCUCUCACAAUGCUUUCUCAAUAUUCUUACAGGUUCAUUUGUCGAAUGACUUUAAUAACUUACAAAACUCUUAGAUAUUAAGCACUCUAUUUAAUUUAUAAUUAAUUUCUUACCAUUAUUUUAUAAUGUGCUAGAGCUUAUAAAAUAUCUAAAAAUACAUUUAGUAAAUUUUAAUUAAUUAACGUAGAUAUCUACGUGCUUGGUGGAGAAAAUUUAAUCAUAUAUAUCUCAACUUUAUUAAGAUUUUUCUGAAAUUUCCGUAUAAUUUUUACACUGUAUAUCUGAGACCUAAUAUCAAUUUUCUGAAAGUUUGGUACAAUUAAUUAUGAAAUUAAACAAUAGUUCAACCACCAAGUCUGUCUUCAUUUAUUAUACUACAUCCCAUAUAUUCCCAAGCCUCAAACCAGAAGCAUAAAGAUAUAUUAUUAAUUUAGUGAGAUGGCCAUACAUGGGUUUGUGUUGAUGGUGGUAGCUCCAAUAGUUCUUGUGUGGUACUUGGCAAUUAGAAGAGGCAAGAAACCCUCGGAGCCGACGACGUGGCCGGUGCUGGGGAUGCUGCCGGCGGUUCUCCUUAACCUCCGCCGCAUUCACGACUUCGCAAUAUAUUUUCACCAUAUAUUUUCAAGUUCCUGCUUAAGCUCCGUGAGAAGCCUUGGUUUCUCACCCUUACGAACCAUUAGUCUUCCAAUCAAAGCGUGCACAAAUUGAUUCACCUUGGUGACAAGAUGUUCUUUAGGGACCCGCAAAGUAGGUAUAGAGCCCGAUAAGUCCGGUUGAAGGGCGGUGUAUCUAUGAACCAAAACGUCUGGCUUACGUUCAAGUUUCCGUGGUUUCGUAAUUUCUGCAAAGGACGGAGGUAUCGGCCGGUUAGACGCCGUCGCCGAAGUAACCUCCGCAGCCUUUUCAGAAUCGUUUGAAACCCUAACUCCAAGAUUCGCAUGCAUGCUCUCGUUAACUGUCUCCAAAACCUUGUUGGGUUGCUGAUGGUCCGUGCUCAUCAUUCCAUCAGUCUCCAUGAUGAUCAGAUCCUGCCGGUGAGGUAACGUUUCAGAGUCAACAGAAACUUGCCGAGUAGGAGAGCGCUCCUUUGACAUAGCCCCCCGAUUAACCGGAGAGAAGUUGUUAGAAACUUGUGGUAGACGAAGACCUGCUCUGUCCGAUGACGGGGAGACCCGCGCGUGAUUCUCCGACGUCGGAAAAUCGACCAUAAUGAAGGCGGCGCGACUAGGGUUUAGUUGCCGAAAGUUUCAUGCUCUCAAAAACAAAGGGAAAUUUUGAGUUUUUUUUUUUUUUUGUGGAGAGCUCUCCAAUAUAUAACUAUAUAUAUAAUUAAUAGAUUAUAUCAAAUAUGAAGAACAACUUUAAAAACACUUCAACCAAAAAAAAAAUACAAAAAAAAAUACGCUUACAUAUACUUAUACAAUUAUUCUCAUUUCUCACGAAAGAUAUAACAUUUUCAUUAUAACAGAGGUUUUUAUUAGAACCUCUUCAGGGCUAGAAUAAAAACACUUUUAAGUGUAUAAAAUAUGGAUGAAUCUCAGCCCUUAGAUUAUCAAGAUCUACGGUUGAUUUGUAACCCUCCUGGACGAAUUCGUGAUCCUGGGUUCGAAUCCCAAAGGUAGCAAAUAUUUAUUUUUCACAAUUCGUAAUCAUGUUGGAUGAAUUCGUAACACUGUUGGAUAAAAUUCGUAAUUUGAAAAAACAUUUAUAUUUAUACAUUUAAGAGUGUUUUCAUCCUAGACUAUAUAUAUAUAUAUAUAUAUAUAUAAAUAAGUGUUGAGGCUCAUCGUUUCAUAUAUAAAGAGAAAGAAACAAUGGAGAUAGAAACUAAGGUAAUCUCAAUAGAGACCAUCAAACCAUCUUCUCCAACUCCAAAAUCUCUGCAAAAACACCAACUUUCCUUUCUUGAUCAAUAUACGCUUACAUCAUUCAGUCCAUUGGUCUUCUUCUACGCAUCAAACCCCCAAAUUCCCAACACCCAAAAAUCAAACCACCUCAAGAAAUCCUUGUCGGAAACCCUCUCGAUAUUCUACCCCCUCGCCGGCCGCCUCGUAGGCAACCUCUACGUCGAUGCGUCGAUGCCGGCGCACCCUUCUCCGAAGCCGAAGCCGACUGCGACCUCUCACAAGCCAUCACCAAUCCAAAUCCUAAAAUUUUGAAGAACUUUCUACCUUAUCAAGAGACAAAGGAUAUCCAAGAUGUUUGCGUGGCUGUUCGCGCCACCUAUUUCCGCUGGGGCGGCGUCGCCGUUGGGGUCCUCCUCUCGCACAAGAUCGCCGAUGCAGUAUCGUUCCUCUUUUUCGUUAACACCUGGUCCGCCGUCGCCAGAAACGGCGGUGCCGGCGACAUGCCGCUCCCAAAGUUCGACUCCGCCGCAUACUCUCCGCAGCUGGACAUCCCCGGGGUCGGGUUGCAACCCGCUACCGGAAUAAUGGUGGAGGAAGAGGUCGUCUCCAGAAUCUUCACGUUCCCGGAGUCAGAGAUCGCCGCCCUCCGGGAAAUAUACACCGUAGGGGGGCGCUGUCCGAGCCGGGUCGAGGCGCUGUCGACUUUUUUAUGGACCCGGUUCGUGUCCGCCGCGGGCAUUAGAUCCGACCCGAGUAGGAUCUGCAUGGUGCAUAAUGCGGUAAACCUACGAACCCGGGCCGACCCGCCGUUGCCUGGGUACCACUUCGGUAACUUCGUUUUAUCUUCGAGGGCGGAGGUGGCAGCCAAAGACGGCGGCGUCGAGGUUCUGCGGAAGGUGCGUGAAGCGUCGAAGGCGUUCGACGCCGGCUACGUGGCUAAGUUGAAGAACAGUGAGAUGUAUUUGAAAGAGGUUACGAGGGCUCAAGCUCAGGCUCGAGCCAAUAAAGGCAUGGUGAUUAGAUUCGUCUUCACGAGUUUGUGCAGGUUUCCUUUGUACGAAGCGGAUUUUGGGUGGGGCAGACCCGACCGGGUCCGGCACGGCGGAUUACCCUAUAAGAAUUUAGCACUUUUUAUGAAUACAAAGAGUGGGGAUGGAAUAGAGGCAUUGAUUCAAUUGACCAAACAAGAUAUGAAGAAAUUCGAAGCUCUGAAGAGCAGUUUGUAGUAAUGAAAAUUUUCAACCAUGUAAUAUAUAUUUUGACAAUUUUCGUCAAUGAUUGCACAUGUUCGAUCGAGGUUGUUUGAAAUGAACAGCAAGUUUCUAGAAUACUCCAUGCUGCUAAUAAUUAAACUAUAUGGAGUAUAUAUGUCCACCCACGUACGGCUCAAUAUUUACGGAGUAUAUUUUAAUGUGAAGAUUGAAUUGAACAAUGAGUUAAUUAAUAAUUGGUCAUAAUCCAUAUAAUUGAUACCCCUGUCCACAAAAAAACAAUCGUAAAAGUGGACGGCACGAAUUUUAAUAAAAUUAGUUAAGUUUAUUGUGGGUGAAGAAAGGGUUGCACAUGAAAGAUAGUAUUAAUAAUGAUAAUUAAUUGUAUUGUGAGUGGAGUUUAGGUCCCAUCAUGUGAUAGAAACUUUUCAAAAGUAAAAACAGAUUAAUUUUUGUGGAUGUCCCAAAAUAAUAAAAAAUUACUACUUUAAUUUUGUGGACGGAUGGAGUAUUUGAAUCGAGAUUAAUUGAUCAAUAUAGCUGGUUACUUCAUGAUUUGGAUUUAUAAGUUUUUUAUUUUAUUAAUUCUUUUGUUGGUAAAUGGUAGGAUCGAUUAUAUUAUACUCCCUUUGUCCUAUAAAAAUAUAUUACUUGGAGAAAUGACAUGGGUUUUAAAAAAUAUAGAUAGAUAAUAUGUUGAGUGGAGAAAAGAACCUACUACUUUUUAGAUAUAUUGUUUUUAAGAGAUAAAAAUAUAAGGAGUUGUGUGGGAUUAUGUCCUAAAAUAUACGUAUUAUAUUUUCAUAGGACGAACGAAAAUGAAAAAAGUAAUACAUUUUUAUGGGACGGAUAGAAUAUUAUAUUAUAUUGAAAAUAAUAAAUUUGAUAGUAAAAUAAUGAUAUCUCAUCCAAAAGGAGUGCAUGUGUGCUUAAAUAGUACUCCCUCCGCACUACAAAAAAACACGCGUUUAACGACCGAAAUUUUCGAUCGUUAAUUUUGCGGCCUUAACGACCGAUAUACGACCGUUUCACGACCGAUUUUAUUUUUUAACGACCGAAAAAUCGGUCGCUAAUUAUUUUUUUAAUAAUUUAAUAUUUUAUUUUUAUUAACGACCGAAAAUUCGGUCGUAAAAAUUAUUUUUUUAUAUUUUAAUUUUUUUUAAUGUUAACGACCGAAAAUUCGGUCGUUAAUAUAUAUUUUUUAUUUUUUUAACAAAAUAUUUUUUUAACGAUCGAAUUAUUCGGUCGUUAAUAUUAUUUUUUUAAUUUUUUAAUAUUUUUAAAUUAAAAAAAUAUUUUUUAAUUAAUUUUUUAAAGACCGAAUUUUUCGGUUGUUAAACUUAUUUUUAUUUUUUUUAUUUUUUAUUUAUUUAAAUUUUUUUUAUUAUUUAUUUUAUUUAUUAACGACCGAAUAAUCGGUCGUUAAUAUUAUUUUUUCAUUAAUUUUUAAAAUUUUUAAAUUUCGUUUUAUUUUUAUUUUACUUUUGAUUAUAUAUAUAUAUAAAAUUUCGUUUUUAUUUAAAUAUUAUUAAUAUAAAUAUUUAAUUAUUUUUUAUUAAUUUUCUAUUUAAUUAUUAUUUUCAAAUUAUAGAGAAUAUUUUAAAAAUGAUUGUUAUUUUCAUAAUAUUAUUCUAAAAAAAAUAGAUAAUAUUUAUUAUUAAUAAAAAUGUGAUUAUUAUUUACAAAUAAUAAUAAAUUAUUAGAUUUAUUGGAUUUAUUAUAAUAAAUUAUUAGACUUAUUGAUUUUUUAAAUUAUUAGAUUCAUUAUUUUCAAAAAUAUUAAUAAUUUUAUUAUUUUUAAAAUAAUAAAAUUAUUUUUGAAAUAUUAAUUUUAUUAAUAUUGAUUAUUUGAUUUAAUAAUUGAUUUUUGUUAGUAUAUUUGAUUGUUAUUUUUCAUACUCAUAUUUUCUUUCUUUUUUUAAUACGAUAAUAUUAAUUUUUUAUUAUUUUAAAUUCGAUCGUAUAUUUAUCGUCAAUGUUUCGUCGACACCACAAAUCUUAGUUAUUAUCUCGACAUAUUAUAAGGUUAUGAAUGAUUAAUGAUAUUUUAUAUUGAAUUAGAGUUUAAAUGAAUUAAUAGGUACUAUAUAUAUCAAUAAUACGAGUGUUCCCUAUUGGUGACUACUCGAAAAUAACUUCAAGGUUAAGCGUGCUUGACUUAGGUCACAAGUAAGAUGGGUGACCUACUGGGAAGUUCGUCAAAUGGUAUGCAAUUAAGGUCAAAAUACAUUAGAAAUACACUAAAAAUACUUGUGGGAUACAAAGAGAUUUAAAAAAAAAAAAAAAAUUCGAAAAAAAAAAUAUAUUUUUUUAUUAUUUUUAACGACCGAAAAUUCGGUCGUUAAAAAUAAAAUUUCGGUCGUUAAUUAAAAAAAAUUUAAAAAAAANCACUACAAGAAAACACGCGUUUAACGACCGUAAAAUUUCGGUCGUUAAUUUUUCGGCCUUAACGACCGAUUUACGACCGUUUAACGACCGAUUUUAUUUUUAUUUAUUUUAUUUUUAACGACCGAAAAUUCGGUCGCUAAUUAUUUUUUUAAUAUUUUAAUAUUUAAUUUUUCUUAACGACCGAAUUUUCGGUCGUAAAAAUUAAUAUAUAUAUUUUUAUUUUUUUAUUAAAAAAUUAUUUUUUUAAAAAAUAAUUUUUAAAAAAAAUAAAUUUUUAACGUACCGAAUUAUUCGGUCGUUAAUAUUAUUUUUAUUUUUAUAUUUUUUUAAUAUUUUUAAAAAUAAAAAAAUAUUUUUUUUAAUUAUUUUUUUUAAAGACCGUAAUUUUUCGGUCGUUAAAAUUAUUUUUAUUUAUUUUUAUUUAUUUUUAUUUAUUUAAUUUAUUUAUUUAUUUAUUUUAUUUAUUAACGACCGAAAUAAUCGGUCGUUAAUAUUAUUUUUCAAAUUUUAAAAAAUUUUUCAAGUUCAUUUAUAUUUUUAUUAAUUUUUAUUUUUCGAUUAUAUAUAAAUAUUUAAUUAUUUUUUAUUAAUUUUCUAUUUAAUUAGUUAUUUUCAAAAUUAUGGAGAUUAUUUUUAAUUAUUUAAUUAUUAUUUUUCGAUUAUUAUUUAAUUAUUAUUUUCUAUAGAAAUAAUUAAUUAUUUAAUUAUUAUUUUUUCGAUUAUUAUUUUAUUUUUAUUUUUCUAUUUCUAUUUAUUUAUUUUUAUUUAAUUUUCUAUUUAAUAUUAUUUUAAUUAUUUUACAAAUUUAAUUAUUUUUUAUUAAUUUUCUAUUUAAUUAUUUUCGAUUAUAUAUAAAUAUUUAAUUAUUUUUUAUUAUUUUCAAAUUAUUUUAUUUUUAUUAUUUAAUUAUUAUUUUCAAAUAAUAAUAAAUUAUUAGAUUUAUUAUAAUAAAUUAUUAGACUUAUUAGAUUUUCUGAAUUAUUGUUGUAUACGAUUAUUAUUUUUCAUACUCAUAUUUCUUUCUUUAUUUAAUUACGAUAAUAUUAAUUUUUUAUUAUUUUUAAUUCGAUCGUAUAUUUAUCGUAAAUGUUUAAUGAUAUUUUAUAUUAUCUCGACAUAUUAUAAGGUUAUGAAUGAUUAAUGAUAUUUUAUAUUGAAUUAGAGUUUAAAUGAAUUAAUAGGUACUAUAUAUAUCAAUAAUACGAGUGUUCUGUACUGGUGACUACUCGAAAGGAACUCCAAGGUUAAGCGUGCUUGACUUAGAGCACAAGUAAGAUGGGUGACCUACUGGGAAGUUCGUCAAAUACAUUAGAAAUACACUAAAAUACUUGUGGAUACAAGAUAUAUAUAUAUAUAUAUAUAUAUAUUUUCGAAAAAAAAUUAUUUUUUUUAUUAAUUUUUAACGACCGAAUUUUCGGUCGUUAACAAUAAAAUUUCGGUCGUUAUUUAAAAAAAUAAAAAAAGUUAUUAUUAUUAAUGACCGAAAAAAACGGUUGUUAAAUCGGUCGUUAAAAAUAUUAACGACCGAUUUUUGGGUUUUAACGACCGAAAUUUUGGUCGUUAGAGCCGCAUUUUCUUGUAGUGCCGUCCCACUAAAAGUGGUCUGUAUUCCAUUUUGAAUCGUCCUACUAUAAGUGGUCUAUUUCCACAAAUGAUAAAAAUAAAUCAUUUAAAAAAGUGUGGACCCUACCACUUUAACACAUUUACAUCUUCUCCUUAAUUUUUGUGCCGAAAAGUUUUGAGCCACUUAUAUUAAAAUGGAGGGAGUAAGUGGGAAUGGACAUAAUUAAAUUUUAAAUCUUAAUUUGUUUAUUAGAAGUUAUAUUUUACACACACACACACAUAUAUAUAUAUAUAUUCUUGUUUUCAUAAGUUAAAUAUGAUUAUCGAUUCUUGUUCUUGAUCCAUUCACAAUACAAUAUAUAGUAAGUGAGAAUAUAUGGACAUAACUUUAAAAUUUUAAUUUGUUUUAUUAGAAGUUAAAUUUAAUUAGUACUGCAUGGUGCAUUUUAUUUAGGUUCGCAAAUAUUGAACUUAAAUUACAAUUUUUUUUAGACUGAAUUAUGAAAGUUUAAAUUUGUUGGGUAUUGAUUUGUCAAACCUCUAACACAAAACUCUCCAUUUGAUUCCAUAGUUGAUUACGCAAUAUAUAUAUCUUAAUAUAUCAUAUACUAUAAUCACUUAGUAGGACAGUUCUAAACUUCUAAGUGGUCUUGAAUUGUUGAUUCCUUCAGCAAAAUAUCUUUUACUUAUAGUAUUAAGUAAGGACUCGUAUUUUAGGAUUAGAAUAUCUUCACGUAUAUAAUAAGGUUUCAAAAGAAUAUUUACUUAUAUACUGCUCCAUAUAUUAAAAUAUUAAUUCAUACCUUUUGUAUACAUAGGCAAGAUAUAUCUCCUAUAGAUAAAAGUUUAUAUGUUUGAGCAGGAGUAGGACUCAAUUUCUAGGCAAACCUCUUGGCUCACCUGGGAUACGUACACAUAUAAAGUAAAAUUAACGUAACCUUACUUAUUAUAUAUAUGUUGAUUUCUAGAGAACAUAUAAAAUAAAACUAACGUAACCUUACUUAUUAUAUAUAUGUUUGAGUUCAAGUAUUGUCUCGAUCUCUUCUUCAUUACUUAAGUAUGGAGCAUAGUCAUGAUGAUAUUGAUAAGCCGUCCGUAAGUAAAAAAAAGUUCUUUUUGAAGAGUUAGGGGUUUAAUUAAUUAAUCUCUUGAAAUUCAAUUAAUUUUGUGAUGCAGGUGGAUGCUUGCUGUGUUGCUUUGGGGUUGAUUGUGUUAGUUGAGAUAUUCUUGAGUCUUGUUGUUAUUGAAGGCCUUUUGGUGGUGGCUGUGCUGUUGACGUCGUUGAUUUGCCACAUUGUUUGGUUUGCUUCUUUCCGCUUCAUAAUACUAAUACGGCAAAAGGAUCGUUGGUUCAUAGUUAGAGUUGUGUUGUGGCAAAUAGUUAGUCUUGCGCUCAACACGUCGGCCACCAUCGCCGGUGUCGCUACGACAUUCCACGGGUGGCGCUUCCGUCGAUUUCUGCUCCAGUGGGCUGCGCUCCUUUACGUAUUCUGCUUCCUAAUAUUCCUCAUUGUAGGCAUGUUUUGUGCCGAUGGCUGCUGCACGCAGCCGCCGUCCAACGCCACGGAUCAACCGGCCUCCCUGGUAUAGUUCAGUUUCAGUUUAUAAUUUGAUGAUUUUUUUUUUCCAUCGGUUUUUCAGUUUCCAUUGAGAUCUAUGACUCAAUCAUAAACAUAUCGUAUUUUUCUUGCUUGCACGAGCGAGUUUAAUGAGUUGUAAGUCAAACAAAAUCAUAAUUCUACUUAAAUCUAUUUUCGUUCGAUUUUAAUGAGUUGUAAGUCCAAGAAAAAAUCGAUUUUUCGCUUCCAUCGAUUUUUUUUUCAUAGAGAUUUAAAUCGAAUUUUCGAUUGCACUUAAUUCAACAUAGAAACUAAAAAUUAAGAUCGAAAUAAAAUUGUGGCAAACAUAUGAAUUAUGACAUGCAGACUUAAAGAAAAUUAUUUUCACUUAUAACGAAUUAUGGCCGAAAUUACGAAAGAGGAUGAAAUCCGAAAAACUUAAAAGUUCCUAGUAUUAGUAUUUGUACCCGACUACCCGUGCAAUGCACGAAUUUUGUUUUUAAAUUUUUAUAUUUAUAUAAAUAUAAUAUUAAUUCAAUAAUCAUACUUACAAAUAUAAUAAAAAAAUUAAUUUUAACUAAAUAAAUUGGAAUUGAAUACUGAAAAAUGAAAAAAGUAAAGAAUAAUUCACAAUUAUAAAAUUUGAUAUUAUGACAAUUGAAAAAAAAAAUUAAAAAUAGAUUUAUUCAAACAAAAUAUAAUAGAGAAUUUUUUUUAAAAUAUAAUAUUUAAACAAAUAUAACUUUUAUAUUUUAUAUCAACUAUUUACAUAAAAUAUAAGCUCUUAUCGUGAUCUUUAAUUUGAUAUGCAUAUUAAAUAUUUUAUAAUUAAUCGAAUUUCUAAAUUUUGGAAAUAAAUAAAAUAAGAAGUUAACUAAAAAGAAAAUAAAAAGAAUAUAUAUUUUACAUAGUGAAAUGUAAAAUGUGGUUAUGUGGCUAUGUGGCUAGCCUGAAGAAUAGUGAAAUGUGUUUGAAAAAAGCUACAAGGGCUCAAGCUCAACUCGAUAAAAAUGUGGUGGUUAGAUUCGUCUUCACAAGUUUGUGCGGGUUUCCUUUGUACGAAGCGGAUUUUGGGUGGGGUAGACCGGACCGGGUCGAGCACGGCGGGUUUUCCUACAAGAAUUUAGCAUUUUUUAUGGAUACAAAGAGUGGGGAUGGAAUAGAGGUAUUGAUUCAAUUGAACAAACAAGAUAUAUAUGGAGAAAUUCGAAGCCCAUCUAAUGUUGAAGAGCAAUUCGUAAUGAAAUAUUUCUAUCACGUAAUAUUUCUCUCCGGAAAAGGUACACCGGCGCAGGGGGUGCCGUCCGAGCCGGGUGGAUGCGUUGUUGGCUUUUAUAUGGACCCGGGUCGGGUCCGCGGCGGGCAUUUGAUCCGACCCGGAUAAGAUCUGCAUGGUGCAUAAUGCGGUCAACCUACAGAGCCGGGCCGACCCGCCGCUAUCCGGAUACCACUUCGGUAACUUGGUUAGUUGGUUAUAUCUUCGAAGGUGGAGGUGGCGGCCAGGGAUGGUGUCACGACCGGCCCUAAUUAAGGAUAAUUAAGCCGGGGAAACCGUGACUAAUGGAGGGAGAUUAGGAGCGGGGUAGAAAGGGAAAUAAUCAAACAAGAAAGGAUCGCAGUAUCAUUGUUAACAACAGGGAUAUUUAUAAUAUAACGGAGUUUUAGUCGUAUAGACUCAAAUAACUAGUAAGUUCGGAUAACUCCGACUUAGCCAAAAUAACAUAAAACUUCUGAGUACGCAGCGGAAUAAGGUUCUGAUUACAUGUAUGAAGACAUGUAUCCCUAGAGUUCAUUAAUACAUAAUAAGACAAAAGAGUCCCGCUCGUCACUUCAUCACCAUCGGCAGCUGCUCAACCUGCACAUUUAGAAAUAUAUGCAGGGCUGAGUACAAAAGUACUCAGUGGGCACAUAUGCCUACUAUGAAAUAUAACAUGCUUCGUAAAGUUGUAAAUUGUCAUGCCAUCAUAAACAGUACAGCAAGGGAGUUUUUCGCUAAAAAGGCCCAAGCUUACUAAAUUCAUUUGUGAUUCUUAAAGUUCGACUGCAGUCUAAGUUCUCUUGUAAUCUAUCAUAUCUGGAACUGUGUGCCGGAGAGGUGGCCACCUCUCACGGUCACUUGACCGGCCAACCCGCUAGAUGACUCACGGUCACUGGUGUACACUAGUCCUAGCAGGAUAGCUAUCAACUGCUCAGGACCCGAAUUCGAUUGCAUCAUUGGCAAAGCCAAAGCAGAUAGAUAUCAUACUAAAAUUUAAACAUUUUAUGGCAAGACAAUACUUGAAAUAACUUUAACUCAAAGAUUUUGUCAUGAAAUAACUUGCUUGAAUGUAACAUUUAAACUCAUUUGAUAUAUAUGAAAGUAAUGCCCACCUGAUAGCAAAGCUUUGCUACAGAUUAGUGACUCCUUGACGAGCUCUUAUUCUUGCGCUCGACCUUUAAUCCGAGAAAAUAACGUAAGACUUUAGAUCGAGAGAAAAUUCUCAAUUAAAUGAGAAUGCGUAAUUUAACUAUGCAUGAAUCUCGUAUGCAUGAACUAUUAUUCUGAGAUAAUAAUCAGGGAAUUUCUAUUGUUAAUCCAGAUCAUCGGAUUUAAAUAAAAACUAAGUCUCGUCUCAUGAAGCCGGAUAAUUAACAAAAAUUAAUCCGUUCUCUUCGGGGUGUUCUAAUCCGUCAAUUAAAUAAACCCCGCUCCUCGUAGUCAAAAGAAAAUAAAUAAAUACUUCAGCUUAUUCGAUUUAUAACCUCAUAAUUAAUCAGCUUAAUAAAUAGGAAUAAGUAAUGUUAUAAGAUUAAAUAAUUAAAAGGCUCAACAUAAGGCAACCUAAUAAUUAAUUAAGCAGGGGUGGGCCUGAAUUAAAUAAAUCAUGGCAGCCCAAAUAAAAUAAUGAGGGGCUCCAAAUAACAAUAUUAAUAAUUUUGAGCUCAAAUGUGUGAAUUAAAUAAUUGGCUCAAAUGAAUAAAUAAAUCUGGACGGCCUAUAGAACAUAUAUGAGGCGGCCCAACGGAAUAAAAUACGAGGCCCGAAUAGUGAAUGAAAUCGGCCCAAUUACUGAAUAAACGAUUGGACUCAAUUAAAUAAUGCCUGGCCCAAUGAAUAAAUCUCCAGCCCAUUCUAAUUAAUUUAACUUCAGCCCAAGAUAAAAAUAAACAAAAGCCCAAAGAAAUUAAAAUGAAAAAGCCCAAUCUUUAGCCCAACAACAAAAAUAACAAAAAUAAAAGCCCAACAUCCAUUUUUCUCCCCCCCCCAAAUCUCUCGGUUCUCUCUCUCUCAAUGAAAAUCAGACGCCUCUUUUUUUUUUCUCCCUCAACCGAUCUCUCCCUCUCUCUCGACCGCUCUACGCGAGCUCCGCCGCGAACGGCUCCGGCGAGGGGUCCAGCGCCGCCGCCGCUGAUCACCACGCUGAGCCUCCGUUUGUCCCGCCCCCAUUUCUCUCAACUAUUCCUUCCUCUCAAACUCUCUGGAGAAGAUGAAGAUGAAAGCCCUAAUUCCUCUCCAAUUCAGAAAUCGUCACCACCGCGGUUCUCCGCCCGUCCUAGGCGCCGACGACCGGUUUUUCCGGAUUCUGGCGCUGAUCUGCUUCCGCGGACCCUCUUCUCACUCUCGCGCACACAAUUGAAGCAGAGGUUGAGACAUAGUUCUCUCGGCUCAGGCAAAAUCACCGCCGCCGCCGCGCACAGAACCGCCGGCCAUCAUCUUCUUGCGGCAUCCGCCGCGAAUGACCCCGAUGAGACCAUGUCCGGUUGAGGGCGCCGCCCCUCUCAUCCGAUUCACCUUCCUCAGUCUCGACGAAGCAACCCAACCGAGCCCUAGGUUCCUUCGGCUCAAGCGACAUCGCCGCCACUGCCUGGGCUCGAUCGCGCUUCAGAAAUUCCGGCGGAGUCGACGCCGCUCUUCGGCUUUGCCGUCUCCUGAAAACUGGCGUCCCUCCUCUCACUUCACAGAUGCGAGGUAGAAAGGAGGUGAGCCCUAAUUUCCUGAAUCAGAAAUCGACAUGGUAACCUCCGCUGCCGCUCUGUGAACUGGCGAGAGCCUUCACUGUCGUCGUCGCCGGGUCCUCCCCUGAUCUCGCCCGACGAGCAGCAGAGCUCUGCCUCCGCCGAUGCUCCUCGGUUCGGCGAAACAGGGCAACCUCCCCUUCUUAAUGAAAGCUAAGUUCAUUCUUAAUACUCUAUUGUGAACGAAACUCAAAGUUUGUUGUAAACCCAGUUCAUAAUUCUAUUGAGCUCUAGCAUUUCUAUAAUUCGAUUAUGCAGUGGGUAAAACUAGCCAUAGUAGUUUGUUUAUCAUGCUUAAGUGUAGAGCAUGUAUGAUGGGAAAGUAGUAUAUGGAGCUCAAUGAAUACCUUGAAUGCUUUGCGAAUGUUUGCCUGUUUGGUGCAUGGUUGGUUGCUGCUGUUGUUGAAUCCAGAGGAUAGGAACUGAAAUGAACUGUGGAUUGCUUUCAUAGUGAAUGCAGGCUGAAAUUCAAGAAGGAAGUUUGCUGCUGAAUUGUUAAAGGCGUGAAUUUGGUAGUUAUACUUGAGUAUCUAAUCCUCUAUGCCAUGUGAAAGCCUUGAGAGAGAAUAGGUAGAGUUGCGGCUGAUUGACAGUCUUCUCUCAUUUUUCUCUCCCGCAUGCUUGUAUGAUUGACAGCUUCUCUCGUUAUCUUCCGCAUGCUUGUAGGUAUGUAGCUGUAGUGUUUUGUGAUAGUGAUAGGUUUUGAUUGUAAGUAGAGAAUAGUGGUGAUGUAAAUAAUUCCCUACAGUCAUUGUGUAAAGUUGUAUCUGAAAAUCUAAUUUCUUUGUAUCAUCGUAUAUCUAUAAAAUUGGUUCUAGAUUUUGCUGAAUAACUAUGCUUCGAUAUAACAUCUCUACGAAUUAAAUAACUAAUUGAACUCGUUCUCAUUAGUCGGAACUAAAUCAUGACUUUCAAGUAACUAAUAGAAAUAAAAUCUCUAUCGCAUAUAAAAUAACAACUUUAAGUUGACUUUGCUAAGUCAGUUAUAGAUUUGAAAAUAUAAAUUAUUAACUGGCUCAAUAAUUCAUAUCCCGAUUCUCUCACGCGAAGCUAACAAGCAUAACUAAAAUAAUAAUAGGCAAAGAAUACAUAUAAUUUAGAAUCAUAGUUGAAUUCUAAAUAUAAAUAAUUACUGGGCUUUUUAAUUACUGAAAGAUGCAAUAAUAAUUAUCGCAUUACUGGUCUUAAUCAUAAAUAAAAGAGCGGGCUACUACAUAUACCCCUCUUAACAUAAAUUUCGUCCAAAAUAUAUAUUAAAAUGUUAUAACAACUUGCCAUGUUAUUUGUUUAACAUCUUUUUAUUAUAUAUAGUCAAUUCAAUACUAUAACAUCAAUACUUUUAUUUUGAAAAUAUUAAUCAGGUUGUAUUUAAACUAUCUACAGAGUUACCUAGGUUGAAAUAAGGAAAUUUACCAAAAUAAACAAUGACACAAAAGUAAACCUACUAUUGGUAAUCGAAUUCUAAGCUCUAUCAACAAGAAAAUUACAAACGGGUUUCGCCCGUUAACGCAUAGCAUUUCCUCGAACACCUGUUGUGCACUCGCAGCCCUGCGCUCUCUGAAUUAUCUCAAAACACCUUCCCCUCGAUCAGAUCCGUUUGAGAAUUAAAGAAAUUCAAACACAUGAAAAUGAUUUACAAACUUUUUUUGUUUGUCCAGUUAUAGUUUUCUUAUAUAGCAUUAAACUUAAGGACAAUUGUAAAAUAUGAUAAAUUAUUAUUAUUAUUAUUAUUAUUAUUAUUAUUAUUAUUAUUAUUAAAGUGUGCAUUGUCUAUUAAAGUUUGAUUACAAUAAGAAUCAUUUAGUAUCUAAAAUUGUUCAAAAUUGUGAUUAUAUAUUAAUUAAUGGCAUAUUUGGUAUACUUUUAUUUAAAACUAUAUUAGUGACUGCAAUGUUCUUUUUGACAUGUUAAAAUUAUUGGUAAAAGAUUGUGCUAUAAUUCACCAUUGGUCCUUGCAGAAAACACAAUCAUUCUUAGUACAAUCAUUUUUUUUAUUAAUGAAAUAAUAAAAUGUAAAGGUGGAAAUCGUAGAAGAUGGAAAAUCUCAAUAUAUCUUUGAAACAAUUGUGCCAAAUCGCAGAAGCCGUGGCAUAAAUCAUACUAGUUGAGUCUUCUUGGCAAGGGCUAUGAGUUCUCAAGUCUUCAACAAUUGUAUAGUAGCAAUCUUCACUAUCUUUUUAUAAGUAUCACAUCGCAACAGACGCCCUUUAGAGAAGGCACAGGUCUUGUGCAUAUGUCAUCCAAAAGUCGAGACUUGCAUUCCGGCCGCCAAUUUUUGUAGCAUCUUUUCAGGUCUUUAAUCGGCCAACUUUCAAACGCCUCAAUUUCCUUUGAUACAAUUAGCAUUACCACCAAAGCUAUAUCCACAUCACCGUAUUUGAUUUUGUGUAGCAUGCUAUAUGAUUUUUCUUUUUCUUUUCAAUCCUGUCUUUUUAUGAAAUAUUACUUCGUUUUGCUUCUAUAAAUACAACCCAACUUAUUAAGACUUUGUUAAAUUGUAGGACUCGAAACCUACAUAAAUUAAAUAAGUAUUUAUCAUCAUCUUAAAUUCAUAUUAUGUUCAUUACAAGUUAAUAAAUAGGUUAACUUAUAACAUAUGAUAUAAUUACUUGAUCUAGAAAUUAAUGAUAUUUUGGUUGAUUAAUUGCUCUAGAGAAAAUAUUAAUUAAGAAGCCAUGCAUUAAUCGAAAACUUGUUCUCUUUUUCAUUAGUUGACUCGAUAUACUACGUACAAGAUACAAGGAAAUUAAUAAGAAAGAAACUAUAGUGUGCCUAAUGGCGGUCUAGUGAUAGGAUGCUUAAUGCCUAACAUCAAAUAUUUUUGGGUUUGAGUUCACUGUGAUGCUUAAAGUCUUAAUAUGUUGCGUUGUAAGCAAAACGAAAUAAUAUUUCAUCAAAGAAACAAAAAUUGAAAAAAAGAAUAAAAAAAUCUUAUAAGCAUGGCUACAGCAAAAACAAAUUCCAUGAUUCCGAUCAUAGCUUUGCUGGUAAGAGCAUACACAAUGGGCUUACUUGAUAGCCUACUUGAUAGUGGGGGACCACAUUGAGUAAGUAGUGCUGCAUUGGGGUUACUUGAUAGCCUACUUUAUUUUUUUAGUUUUGAUUUUUAUGCUUUUCAUUUAAAUUUAAUUGCUCAAAUUUAAAUAACACAAUUUAUUUCAAAUUUAAAUUGCAUUAAUUAUAAAAUCCUAAAUAUUACAUAAAACUUUAAUAAAAUAAAAACAAUUCCUAAAAAUUAACUCUCUGGCCCUAGAGGUCCGAAACGUGCCCAAAGGUGCUCCACCAAAUCAUUUCGAAGCUGAGCAUGUAGAUGUCUAUCUCGAAGAAUUGAAUCUCUUCGCACGUAGUCCUCGAAGGACACCAGUGUUUGUUGAGCACUCUCCGUCGAAGUGCUGCUAGACGCCCCGUCGUCAUCUCUCCAAUUGAGAGUCACUUCACCUUCGUGCUCCACAAUCAUAUUGUGGAGAAUGAUGCAACACAACAUGAUGUCCUUGAGGUGCUGUACGUACCAGUUGCGCGUCGGACUACGAAUGAUUCCCCACCGGGCCUGAAGGACUCCGAAGGCGCGUUCGACAUCCUUCUGUGCCGAUUCUUGCAUCUUCUUGAACCUCGCCUCCUUCGGAUUGGUCGCCAUUGGUGGACUCUUGACGAAGUAACGCCACUCCGGAUAUAUGCCGUCACACAAGUAGUAGCCCAUCCGGUAUUCGUGCUGGUUGGCAUGGAAGACCACCGGCGCCGCCGUUCCUCCUAACACGUCGGAGAAGAGAGGUGACUGAUUCAGCAUAUUGAUAUCGUUGUUCGAACCAGCGACGCCGAAGAAGGCGUGCCAAAUCCACAAAUCGUGGGAUGCAACGGCCUCGAAUAUCAAGGUGGGCUCUCCCUGAUCACCGCGUGUGUAGGCACCGUGCCACGCCUUUGGGCAAUUCUUCCACGCCCAAUGCAUACAGUCUAAGCUCCCGAGCAUCCCGAAAAAACUGUGUCGCGCCUCGUGCAUAUGAAGGAGACGUUGGACGUCCGUGGGCGUUGGCCGGCGCAGGUAAUAGGCUCCGAAAGCCCGGAUGACUGCCCUGUAGAACUUCUUGAGGCAUACACGCCCGGUGGAGUCGGCGACUUUGAGAUACUCGUCGAAUACAUCCGCACUAACCCCGGUGGCUAAUUGACGGAUAGCCGAUGUGCAUUUCUACAAAGGAGAGAGAGAGUCUCGACCGAGUGCAUCAGUGCUCAUAUGGAAUAAAGUAUCUUCACCUUGAACAACAUCGACGAUGCGCAAGAACAGCUCAAUCUGCAUUCGAAAACGACGUCGGAAAAAAGUAGGACCAUACGUCGAAUUGUCGUUGAAGUAGUCUUGUAGUAGCCCGCUCUUUUAAUUAUGAUUAAAACUAGUAAAUGCAAUUUUUUUUAUAAAUGAAUCCAGUUUAUGGUCCUGAUUUUUUUUAUAUAUCAGAAACGGAGUUAUUAUUUUAGCUUUAUAUUUUUUUUAAGUAUGAGAAAAACGCGACGAGGAUUAUUGAGUCAUUCAAUAAUUUAUUAUCCAGUUUAAUAACUGACUUAGCAAAGUCAAGUUAUUAAUUUAUAUGCGAUAGAAAUAUUAUUUCUAUUAUUUACUUGAAGUCGUGAUUAAUUUUCGAUUUAUAAAACGAGUUAAAUUAGAUAUUUAAUUCAUAGAUUGAUAUAACGAAGCGUCGUUAUUUAGUAGAACCCAAUAUUAGUUUUACAAAUACUUGUAACUUCAAUACUUUACAAAUCAUUAUUUUUCCACUCCCUAAUGUUUCCUACACUAUAUACGCAUCCACUCCACCAAAUUCCAUUAUACCUACCUCCCCACCACUACUUUACUUUUCCCCCACCACAUUAGUGCACCACCAACUCCACUACCCUAUGCUCCCCACCAACUCCAACACUUCACCCAUUCCUUCCAUUUCGCACCAGCAAUCAUAAAGAGAAGGAAGACUUGGCUACUUUGCCAAGAUUUCAAGCUGCUCCAGUCCAGUGGUACCCCAACACUCGAAGCUAGAGUUUAUUGGGUGAAAAACCGUGCAUGAGGUAAGGCAGCGAAUCUGCCAUAAGCACACUGCUCCGGCAGUGUUUUGCAAGGCGAUUCCAGCCAUCCAAACGGUUCCCAAAAAUUCCCAAAUUAAUUGUGUAUUAUCUUUCAUAUGUUUUCUAUACUUUGGUAAAAUCUCAGAAGGUUUGAAGCUCUUAUGAUUUAUUUAUGAAUUUGUAAACAUCACUGCCCAUCUAGAAUAUAUUUUUGGUAAACAAUCUUUGGGAGGCCAUAAGUAAAGUUUCAAUCGGUGAAAACCUUUGAAACUUGAAUAUGUCACUCUAGACUCCCGUAUCUUUCUUUUGACAUCGGCCUCACUAUUUUUGAAUAAGGGAAACAACCGGUAUAAAUUCUUGAAAUCUAGUUCUUAUUCCAUGUACCAUCCAGUAGAUUUUACAAACCUACGACUUUGAGGUGGCAAAGCCCGACUUAAAUCUUUGAUUCUCAAGCCUAUCUUUCUACUGAAUAUUCACUGACAUGUUGGGAACUUACUUGCUUAGUUUUAGAAUUUUUGGUGAAGCCUAAAAGUUGGUUUUCUGAUUUAUGUUAUGAAUCUGCCAAAACUUGAACGCUUUUUGUGCACUGAACUUUAGACAGUCAUAUCUUCUAAACCAUGAAUGUUCUUAGAGUAAAUCCAACUGGAGAGUGUUAUGAUCUCUCCCUAGUUUCCAGAUUGACCCUUGGGGUUCCCAGUGGAGUUUUGUAAAGGGAGAUAUGAAUUUUUAAAGAAAGCCCACUGACUUGGUUGUAAUCUGGAAAUCUGAAAUUUUCAGAUUUUUGCUUGUUAAAUACCCAUCUUUGAGAGGGCAUAUCUUGCUCGUUUGAAUUGUUUUUCAUUCGAUUCAAAUUGGAGAAUGAUCCUUGAAAUGUCUAGUUUCCAGAAUGUCUUUUGGAGCAUCAUUUGGAGAUCCGAGGCAGAUUUGGUGUCUGUUGCAAAAACUACCCCUUAAGAGCUCAAGUUGUUAGAAUUUAUUUUCUAUGUAUCAAAGUUUAUUUUAAAGGAUGUUUCAUGAAAGAUUUCGUAUAUGUGCGUAACAAGUUUGGGACUAUUUAUUUUAAAUGAGGUCCGUUCUUUAUUUAAAUUAUGAUGGACUUUUAAUGAAUAUUUUUGGGAUUAAACUCUUAUUUCUUGAUUUAUAUAAAUUAUUUUUUUUAAGGACUUAUAAAUAUGAAUUUCGUAGGCCUACUGACCUACUGUGAUCGACGGUUUGUCGAUGUCUAAUAGCUUUGAAAAUUUUAUAGCAAGUCCUGACAUGAGUCUUGAGUACCCUGGUAAAAUUUCAAGCCAUUCCAACUUCGUUUGAUACUUCUUUAAAAUGCAAAACCUAAACUGCACAUAACUACCGAGAAUUUCAGAGAACAGAUGAAAGAGUCAUUUAUUUCAGUAGCUUCCUGUGUGAUCUAGCUUUCCAAAUUUUUAUGGUAUUAACCUUAUUGUGUUACUAGAUAUCCACCAAAGUUGAGCCCAGUUUGACAACGUUUACUAUUUGUCAAAAAUCCAAGUUUUCGAUUGUUCAAAACUGCCGAACAUGGUAGAUCGUGGUAAAAACGUCAUAUCUCUCAAACCACUUGGAGUUUUCGACUCUACUUUUUUUUUAUAUGAAACUAGAUUCGAAGAUCUUUCUUUCGUAUGAGUCUCGAGUCCAGGAGAUGUCGGAGUCAGAACAGAUUAAAUUUUGAAGUUGAGUCAGUGUAAAAACAGAGCAUGUUUUGAUGAUGUUUGAUUGUCGAUUCCUUAUGUGCCUUAUGUGUUUGUGUUGCCUAUGUGUUUGAAUGAGAUUAGACGAGGUAUGAUUGAUUUUUGACUGUCUUUAAUGUAACGAAUUAUGGAUGCUAGAACCCUAAAACAUAAAAGAUACCCUAGGCACGUAGAAUUAGACUUUGUCUUAUGACAAUUCUUCACGAACUUAUCGACUCUUCAUCAAUGAAGGUCCGGGCGACAGAAAGUGAAGCCGAAGAAGAAAGACUCCACGCCAGCUUUAAGAACAAUUGAGGUGGGCAAUUCUUACGCGUAAAUAAAAUGCUAUGCAUGUUAUGCUUUAAAUGCAAAUUGGAUCUUCAAGUAUGGUAUGCUUUAUUAGCUUAAAUGAGUUAGCUUUAUAUGAUACGUAAAUGAUUACGCUUAUUUACGCUUGAAUGCUUUACGCUGAUAAGUUUAUGCUUGUUGAUGCUUGCGUCUGUUGGGGGAGGCCUCCCUCAAAGUACGAUGCCGUGUCCGCUGAGGAGGGCCUUCCUCACGGCGCGAUCGCCCGUGUCCGCUGAGAGAGGCCUCCUGCGGCGCGAUGCCAUAUGCCAGUGUUACAGCGUCUAUUGGGGGAGGCCUCCCUCAAUAGUACGAUGCCGUGACCGCUGAGGAGGCUCCCCUCACGGCGAUGCCCGUGUUCGUUGGGGAAGGCCUUCUCCAGACACGAUGUGUUAUGAUUAUGAUGAAGAAUGCCUAUGCUUUUAUGAAUUGGAAAUGUUUAAUGAGCAAAGAUUGAAAGAAACUAUGCCUCUUAUGCGAUUGUGAUUGUUUGAUUUAUGUUAUAUGCUUGGCAACUGCCCACUAGUACUCUUGUACUAGCCCUUCGUAUGUUUAUGUUUGUGCAGGUUGAGCUGUGAUGGGCGAUGAAGUGUUGUUGCUGAGUGGAGUUUUUGUCGAACCUAAAGUAGGCUCAGAAAGGAUACAUGUCUUCAUACAUGUAUCUCAGUUAUGCUUUCCGCUGUAAACACUGAUUAUUUCAGUUACGCCUUCCGUUGCAAACUCUGAUAAAGUUUUACUCAAGCCUCUAACGAUGCCUUUUUCCUUUUAAGGAAUAUAACGCGUAUACAAGUUCUUUGAGUACCCUUUUUAUGCGAACUAUGCCUUUUUCCUUUUUAAGGAAUAUUUCACGCGUAUUCAAGCUCUUUGAGUAUUCUUUUAUGCACCCCUUUCUAAACCCGCUUCUUAAUUUCCCUUCCCCAGUCAUGGUUUUCCCGGAUUAAUUAUCCUUAAUUAAGGCCGGUCGUGACAAGUCUUGCAUAAGACGUACAUGGGCCUCCUCACGAUCACGAUGUACGUAUGAUCGGGGACGUUUGUCACGCGCCGGAUCUGGCGCCGGUUGGGAGGAGUAUGGAGCAAGCACUUGCUUCAGCAACUCUACCCACUCCAUGAACCUUUCAGCUACAUCGUCGGAAUCAGGCGAAGAAUCAUGUUGGGGUUCCGCCAUUUUUAGAAGAACAAAGAUGGGAUCUUUUAACAAAAAAUGAAGGAGGAAGAAGGAGGUAGAAGGAGUGGAUUGUAAUGUGUGAUGAAUGAGGGAAGGAGGUAGUAUUUAUAGAGAGAAAAGAGAGAGAGAAAAAAAAGGAAAAAGGCCAAACAACUAUUUUAGCCGUUGGUUAAAAAAAAAGGAAAAUAGCCGUUGCACUACUUCAAAUUUAAAGUUUAUAUAUAUAUUUAAUUAAGGCGCGUGCAAUGCAAGCGCCAUAUCUCUCUCUCUCACUCGUGCAUACUCGAAGGCUCGAGCACGCCUCGAGUAAGGCCCCUCCGCAACGCCCUACUUGAGUAAGACAUCGAGUAGGCGCGUUGCGGGUGCUCUAAUACUAUAUGUGAAGAGAUUGGAAAAAUUGAGGCGUUUGAAAGUGUAAUGCCCCGUUCUUUUAAAUACAUAUUAGAUUAAAUAUGUGCAUUAGUUAUAAAAUUCUUUUAAUUAUUUAUUGUGACUAUUUUGUUAAAAUAAUAUUAUUUCAGCAAAAGUCGGUAUAAGAGAUACAGAGCUGCGACUUAAUAUUCAGUCAUGAAUCAAACCAAUAAUUAAAUUAUUGGAUUAGCUACACGUUUGAGACUUUGCAUUACCAGUUGAUUGAUUCAAUCAAUAGUAUUAGAAAUUUUAGAUUUAUAACCGAUUUCAUAAAUUGUGUUAUUUAAAUCAAAUUGAUAGAAUUAUAACUUGAGCUUAUGUGAAUAAUAAUUUUAUUAUUUCACGUUAUGUGUGUUUAGUAUUAAGUCGUGAAUUAAUUUCGACUUUCACGUAUUAAAUCCCAAGUUUGAGGAUUUAAUUUAUAUAAAUACGACAAAUAUUUAAUUAGCAAGAAUUGGAGAAUUAUUACAGAAACGAAUAAGAACUAGGAGCUGAGAAACUAGAUCACGGCAAAUCAAAAUCCUACUACACGUAUGUCUCGAUUUUUCCUCCAACACAUCAUUACUGCAGCAUUUCUUUUCACAGCUGCAAUAUCUUCCAUGCAAUCCAUCACACCCAAAAAGCCCCAUUUUCAGGAGAAAAUGAUCACGCUGAGAGCAAAGUUUUCAAAGGCGGCUGAAGAAAAUCUUCAGCAAUCUACAAAUUUUCAAAGCUGCAUUUAAAUUCUCCAACUCCCUACACCAAAAAUUCCAUUAUCAUUACUCCCAUUGUCGCAUAAAUUCAUCUAUAAAUUCACCCGAUUGAUUCAGCUUCAAAUCAAUAAACUUCAAUUAUCAGCUCAUCACUACACCUAUAUCACUCCCGCAAAAGCAAUACUCCACUGUAGUGAAAAUUUUAAAUUUCUUACUUGCAAGAGCUCAAGUGAGCUCCCUGUUUCUUCGCCGACCGGCCACUAGGCUGUGAACCGGGAACGUGUACUCAUUCCUCCAUCUUUAGGCUACCAAAUCCAACAAUCGAAAGGCCGAAGCCUUCUCUGUAUUUUCCUGACCAAAGGCCGCAAUAUCCUUCGGCGGCCAACGUCGAAUUCCCGACUUAGCCACCGGCCAACUUACGGCCUUCGUUUCUCACUAUCCUUACGACGAAAAAGGAUCAAGAAACCACCGUUGUGUAGCCUGAUCUACCUCGCACGAGGAAAACUAAGUCGUAGACCUUCGCAGCUAAACACCAUCGGGGAACGACGACCAGAAAACCCCCGACGAACAACUUCCAUUAGUGCUCACUUGGACAGGGGUAAGUUGACGCCCUUGUUUCGAUGUGUUCCCGUUUCUAUUGUAUUAUGGGAAAUUUCUGGGGUAUAUAUGGGAGUGUGGUGAAUAUUUGUGCAAAGUUUCAUGUCAUUUGAACUUUGUUUACUACCCUUUUAAAAUUCAACAAGUCUACUGCUAGUAUCUGCUGAAACUGUCGUGAGGCAGAUGAUUAGGUUAAUUAUUUCAGUAACCAUAUGAUGAUAUUUAGCUCUCACAAUUUUUAUUUUAUGAAUAUAUAUGUGUUAGCUAUCUGCAUAUAAAAUUUGAGGUCAUUCCGGUAACGUUUGCUAUUUUUCAAAAAUCUGGACUUUCAGUUGGCAGAAAAUGCCGAAUCUGGUAGGCGAUGGGCAAAUCGCUAUAUCUCUUAAACUACUUGGAGUUUUGCAGCAUACUUUUUUUUCAAUUAAACUAGACUCAAAGAGGUUUCUAUUGAUAUAAAAUUCGACUCCAUACGAGUUCGGAGUAAAAGCAUUUUAUUAGUUGAAGUUGAGUCUAUACAGCUUUGUUGAGAUUGAAAUGAUUCAAAAUAAUUCAUAUUAAGGAUUUUAAAGUUUUAUUGUUGAUAAAAUAUCACUUUUAAUUUAUAAAUGAGCUAUUGACAUAUAUAAAUAUUUUGAGAAGGAUUUCAUGAGAAUUUGUUGGUAGAAUUAUAGUAGAUGGAAAAGUUGAUAAAUGAAUUAUUGAAGAUUUAUUAAUUGUUAAAUGGUUAAAAUAUUGAAAUUAUUAGAUCUUCUCGAAAAUUUCUUUUUAUAGUUAACUUCUUUUAUUAUUUUUCCUAAAAUCUCACAGUGAAAUUUUCAUUAGGACUUAAGAUUUAGAAUUUAUUAAUGACUUAGUAGUUCUUUUAAUAGUAGCAAUAUACAUUGGUGAUUGGCAUUAUAAAAUGGGAUUUCCUACAUCCUCAAAGGUACAUGAAGUAUUUCGAUAAAGGAAGAACGAUUGUAUAUGAGUUAGAUACAGUCGUUUAAGGAAAUAUGGGUAGUUAGAGAAAUGAGUGAAUAGUGAUUCACUGCAUUUGUUGUUAUCUUUUCUAUUAUUCACUCGAACACAUGUUUUCGUGUUAUCAAAGGUUCAAAUAAACAAAAGCGCCUGAGUAACCUAUCGCGCUAAGGAAAGAGAAUCAUUUUCUUAAGUAGCAAAACACUGCAACCAGGUAGGCAUUACUUUCAUAUAUAUCAAAUGAAUUUAACUGUUACGUUCAAGCAAGUUAUUUCAUGACAAAAUCUUUGAAUUUGAAGUUAAUUCAAGUAUUGUCUUGCCAUAAAAUGUUUUAAUUUCAGUAUGAUAUCUAUCUGAUAUGGCUUUGCCAGUUAUCAUGUAAUCGAAUUCGGGUCUUGAGCAGUUGAUAGCUAUCCUGCCUUGGCUAGUGUACACCAGUGACUGUGAGUCAUCGAGCGGGUUGGCCGGUCAAGUGUCCAUGAGAGGUGGCCACCUCUCCGGCACACAGAUUCAGAUAUGAUAGAUUACAAAAGAACUUAGUCUGAUCAGACGUAACUUUAGAAUCACAAGAAUUUAGUAUGCUUAGGGCCUUUUUAAGUAAAAACCCUUGGUUAUACUAUUGAAAUGGCAUGACAAUUUACAUUAUUAUGUAUGUAUAUGAUUUUCGGCAUAUGUCUACUGAGUACUUUGUACUCAGCCCUGCAUGUAUUUCUAAAUGUGCAGGUUGAGCAGUGAUGAGUGAUGAUGGGGUGUCGUCGGAGCUUUUGCAUAUUUACUAAAUAAACUCUUGGCGAUACAUGUCUUCAUACAUGUAUCACGUUCUCAUUUCCGCUGCGAACACUCAGUUAUGAUGCAGUUUAUCCUAUUAUGUUGGAUUGUCAAAUCAAGUUAUUGUAUAAACACUUAAAUCGGAUACUCAUGACCGAUUACUCGUUAUUAUCUAUAUAUAUGUGUGACUUAUUCUCAUAUGAUGUCUAAAUCUUAAUUUAAUUCAUUUAUAAUUAUUUAUCACCCCUUUCUGUCCCCUCUCCUAAUUUCCCUUCCCUAGUCACGGUUUCCCGGCUUACCUAUCCUUAGUUAAGUCCGGUCGUGACAUUAUAGUUGUAAGAAGAGUCGGGCUUUGGGCUAUAGUGCACAUGAUUAUGGGCUUACUGACGUGGCAUGAUUUAUUUUCUCUUGGAGUAGUAAAUUUUUUUAUUGGUUUUGGCUUGGGGUGGCUGGGGUCGGUGGUUUUGGGGGGUAGACAGGGCAGGGGGUAGUAAAAAAAAAAUUUCGUUGGCACUUAUGGCACUAAUAGUGCCACAAGUGCCUGACCCGACCUGCGUGCCUGAUCCUACCCGGCACGCGACCCGCGCUCCUGACCCUACCCAGUCCGCCCAAUUAAGGGCAAAAACGUCCCAACGCUAUAACUGCUGAAUUGAAAUUUUAUUGAGAAAAAGAAGAAAAGAAAAGACGAAAAACAAAAGUCGCAAAACAAAAACAAGAAAAACCCAUUGAAGGCACAUCAGACGCAAACUAACGAGGUUUGAAAAAACAUAACGGCGGGGACCAAAGGGGACAACACCGUGAGAGCAAAAAAGUCAUGAAAGGUGCAGGAGCUCCGGGGCUGGAGCCCCAUGACAAUCAAAAGUCAAGAGCAUCAUCCUCAGUAUGAAUAUCAGAAUCCAUGAUGUCCCCCCAACGUUGAGUAGAGACCGCCGUCAUCACAAGACCGGUUGCAUCCCUGGGAGCAGAAACAGUAAAAGCGGAGAGAGUAAGGCCUUUGGCCGUGGCUUCUUGGAUCUUACUCUGGAAAACCGAUAUAUCCGAAGGCACAUUGCAGCUCUGAAUAGCAGGAUGUCGUAGCCGGUGCUUUAUAGAGGUAUCAGAGACCCCCUGUUCCCAGAUUGCUUUGUAGUGCCCUUAGGGCGCCCGCGGCCACGCUUGACGUCUGUCGUAGGAGCUUCGGUGAGCUCGGCCAUAACAGGUGUAUCAAGUACAGUAGAGGUUUGUUGAACCGACGAGUCUGAAGCUGGGCGAGCCUGAUGAGGAGAUUGUUGAUCGCCAGUUGCUUGAGCUGAGUUGGAAGGAGUCGGGGCUGUGUCGAAGAUAGAUCCCGGGGUAAUAUCCUUAGCAUCAUCAACAAUAUGUUCGAAAACAUCGUCAUUGAGCUCCAAAUGUUCCAAAACGGAGAAAGAAUUGGAAUGAGAUUCUGUCAUACCAUGCGGAGGGAUGUUCGUAACAGAUUUCCCAUCAGCCUCACUUCUCUGAGCUUGUGGUUCAGCGAUUUGAUCUAAGCUUUUAUCCGGUAUUAUAUCCGUAUCAGUAACGGCCUCUUUUCCCGAAACCACAAGAGCAUCAAAGGAAUUACCAUUCCUAUUCGGAUCAGUGUGAGAAGUUUGCUCGGCAACCUUGUUAACAUUCCUAUUCGGAUCAGUAGAUGGGGUAUGCUCGACUCUAUGCCAUCUCGGAGUCUUGCGAGCUUUAACCUUCUUGAACUCUUCGCCCAGAUUAGUGUCCGGAAUCGGAGGAGAAUUAUUCUCAACAGAAGAGUUUUUCCUACAAUCAUUGGUAGUAUGGACUAUGGCCAAUGAUAUGACAAGAGUGACAAUAGUAAGGUAAAUUUUCAUACCCGAACUCAACCUCAAAUGAGCGAUCGCCGCAUUUAACAUCAAUAUAGUCGGGAACCUCUGCCGUAAUAUCCAUCUCAACGAGCACACGGGUAAAAUGACCUACGAAGGCAUUCGCAGAUUGGCCAUCAAUCUUAAUAGGCGCUCCCACAUGAAGAGCGAUGCCAGAAAUCACUUCAGGAUGCCAAAAUUCGUGAGGCAAAUGAAAAAUACGGAUCCAAACUUGAGCUAAAGUGGCAGUUGCUUUGUAAGGAUCGAAGAAAGGUACCCAAGCCUGAAGGCGAAGCAUCCCCGAGCGAAGACGCCAGGAGGGUUUGGCAUUAGCAGCCGCAAAUUUAUGUUUUAUGAUCCAUUUUUUCAAUGAGUGGCCAAAGCUAUAAAAAUGGCCAAAAUUUAUGUUUUUUCAAUGAGUGGCCAUAAUUUGUGUUUUAUGAUCCAUUUUGGCUAUUCCAAAAUUUUACUCUAUACUUUAUGUCAAAUCUUAGAAAAAAAUAUUAUAAUGAUAUUUUUCUAUUUUUCUAAUAUUAUAAAUAUCUGAAGAAAGAAAGAGAGUAAAAUAAAAUGGUUCAAAUAAGUUCAAAGAAAGGAGAAUAUAAAAUAGAACCUAAACCUUGUAUAUUAAAGAUUAUACAUAACACAAACUUAACAAAUUUUGGUAUUUUUUUUAAACUUUAAAAUUUAUAUAGUUCAAAAUAUUAUCUACUCUAUCUCAAAUUUGAGAUAGUUCUUUGAUAUUUGAUUAUUAUUUUCUAUAAAUUAAAAUUAAUAAAUAUUUUUAUAAUUCGUCUCAACGUUUGUUGUAAAGUGCAUCAUAUUUUUUAAUUAUAAGUUUUUAUUUACAUAUUUUUAUGUUAUGUUUGAUAAAGUAAUCCUAACGAAUAAAUUGAUGUUUUAUUUGUUCUUUUUAUCAAAAGAGAAGAGAACAUGAUAAAUUUUGUGGAGAGAGAUUAAUAUAUAGAUAAUAUAAUAACGUGGAGUGAAUAAGGAGAGAGGGGGGAAAAAUGAAAGAAUAUAGAAAAAGAAAGAGGAGAGAGAAAUAUAAUCACUUUAAAAUUUUAAAUUAUAAUAACUUAUUUAUUUCAAAUUCACAUUUAAUGAUUUUUAUAUCAAAUUAAAAAUCUUGUCAUGAUCUUUAAUUUAAAAUACGUGUCGAAUAUAUUUUCAUAAAUUAAAUUUAAAGAUUUUAGAAAAUCAUCUAAAUAUGAAAAAUAGGUUAGAAGAGAGAAAAAUUUGGAAUUGAGAAAAAAUGGGUGAAUGUAUAAGAAAAUGAGGAGAGAGACUGACUGAAUUAGAAAUUUUAUUAGAGAAAAAGAAAAACGAAAGUAACAAAGAAAACC
This 96162-nucleotide long non-coding RNA is filed under the name Salvia miltiorrhiza (redroot sage). RNAcentral describes it as "long non-coding RNA (SMIL_LNC006168)". The record is from RNAcentral. Lineage: Eukaryota; Viridiplantae; Streptophyta; Magnoliopsida; Lamiales; Lamiaceae.